CGGUGUCCAUGACGGCGGCGACGAGCUCCUGCUCGUUGACAACGAAGCGGAUCGGGCCAGCACUGCCGAGCACAGUGAUGCUGAUCAAGAGCCUGUUGCCCUUGGCGGUGCUCUGGUUCUUCUUCUGCUUGUACAGCAACAUCUUCGUCGUUUUGUUAUCGAAAUCAAAUAAAUCAAUCGAACAGCAAAAAGCCAGACAACACAAAAUCUAAGUUUCUUUUUUUCUUCCUAGUUCCCUCUUUCCCAACAAGUUAUUGAUUCAAUUCAACAAAAUAAUCAAAAAAAUCGACGGACGGCGGCGGCGAUCAGUGAAAAUCCGGGUGCGAUAAUCAAAAACGGACGAUGAGAAAGAGGAAGAUGGGGGGAGAGAGCUCUGGUUGCAGAUUUACGGGUCGACUCCGAGGCAGCGGUAGUACCAGCCUUCCUUGCAGGAGCCGAAGGCGAAUGCGGACGCGGCGGAGAUCGGGAGGAUAGCGCUCGCCCUUGAUUGUUUCAGGGAGCGCAUGAAAUUACUGCCGCUUAAGAUUUCCACCAUUCACAACUUGCUUGCUUCGAAUCGUGAUGUAAUUUUGAUAAAGGGUAGAAUACCGUGAGUUUCUGGAGAGGACCAAUUGGAACCGUAACAGGAAAUCCGAUCGAAAGAGGAAGAAAAUUGGGAAUUUAGGGUUAGGGUUUCGUCGAGUACAGAGGCGGCUCUCUCUCUCUCUCUCUCUCUCUCUCUCUCUCUCUCUCUCUCUAAUCAAAUCCUCUGUUUUGCUUUGAGCUUUUUGUUGAGAUGAAAUUUUGGGAGAGGAGCCCCUGCUUUUAUAUUUGCAUUUCGGUUUAUUCCUGACUUCGUUCCGUGGAAUGAUUGGGUUUGUUGGGUGUAAAUUUUACUGCCACCGACUUCCCCAAAUUUACCGCUUCCUCCUCGCGUCUUCCUACCGUCAUACCGUGUCAGUUUUUAACCGUUGGAAAUUUUUUUUUUUUUUGGGUCAAAAGAUAGGCUUUAUUUAUAAUCUAAUUGAAAUGUCUACAUCUAUAGCAAGAAUAUUAAAUAAAAACUCAAGGUCUAUAUUGUCCUAAACAAAUGGACCACCAUAUUUGGCAUUGGCUGAUUUUUUCCGAUUAGUAAGGAGCUACCAAUUUCCCAUUAAUAUUCCAGUCAUAACUUUUCACAUUUUGACUAAGAGACUCUUUGAAGAUGUAACUCUCUAUAGACUUUCUCUCACCUUAUUGUUUAAGGUUAAUUUUUGUUUGAAUGUUACAAAAUAUUGUGCUAAAAAUAUAAGGUAUCAGAGAGUUCACGAAGAGUAGUACUUAACCUAAUUACACUUUUUUUCUUGGUGAGCAAGUCCAGAAGAAAACACCUUUGAACUGACCAACAUAUAUCGUUUUGAGGUAUUGGUUAAUUUUUUCCGAUUUGUAAGGAGCUGUCAAUUUCUCUAUAAACUUUAAUUUUAGCCGAUUACCUCUUUGAACUUUAUAAUUGGCUAAUUUCCCUCAUGAACUUUAAUUUUAAUCGAUUAUCCCGUGAACUUUUAUUAUUGACCAAUUUCUCUCUGAGCUUUAAUACCCCCUAAACCCUAAAACUCAAACGGAAAAAGGUACAAAGAGAACUAGCGGAAGAAAAGAAGAAGAAAAUAAUAAUUUGUUGUCUGCAUUAGGGAUAAAAUUACUUUUUUUUUUGCAAUUAUAAAAUUAAAGUUAAGAAGAAAGUUGGCUAAUAGUAAAAGUUUAAGGUUAAUCGACUAAAACUAAAGCUCAAAAAGAAAAUUUGUCAAUUACAAAAGUUUGUGUGAUAACUGGCUAAUAUAAAAGUUCAUUAUAAAAUUGGCAGCUCUUUACAAACUCAGGAGGAGGAUGGAGAACUCGACAAAUACCUUUAUCGUUUUUUCACUCUACUUUGUUAGGAUAAAAAAAAUAAGAUAAAAAUGCGUUUGGUUGGUGGAAUUAGAGAGAAAUUAUUGGAUCUGGUAUUUAUCACCCUUGGGAUGAAAAAUUAAGAAUAAAAAAUGGAAGUAAGAGUAUUCGUAAACCCUUGAGUUGAGAUGAAUCAUGUAUAUGAAAAGGUAUGAGCAAGACAGUUUAUGCAAAUACUCAAUUGAAAAUGACAUUAUUAUUAUUAUUAUACUCCUAUAUAAAAAUAAAUAAUAUUGAACACUAUACAAGUUUUUUCCUCGUUUUCUAAUAUAUAAAAAGGACAUUUCUCAUAUGCGAUGUACGGAUACAAACUGACCUACCCAAAACGCACCAACCGUGCCUUGGUGGGCAAAUGAGAGAGAGAGAGAGAGAGAGAGUGAGAGAUGCUGAAUUAUUUUGUCUAAUACUAAUUUGUCUGGGAUAAGUGGGUGGCAUGGGCUGUAAACCUUUGACAUAAAAGAGCAUAAUCUCUUUGACCCCGACUAAUUAGAGUUAAGAACAUGAUCAAGUGGCAUUUGUUUAGAGUGAAAUUUAGGUAUACAAAAGUCUUGGUUUCUUGGUUGCUUUGUCGACUUAUAGUCAUUCACAGUUGAAUUUGAUAUUAAAGGUGAAGAUCCAAACAUUAAAGACACGUUCAGUCCUUAUUCAGCCUUAAAUAUGCAAUCCAAGGUGAGUAAUUAUGUAUUUUCUAAUUACUUGGUGACUAUAAGUUGGCGUUGUAUCGUUUUUUGGUAAAUGAUAUAUAUUUCUUGUUUGUAUGUUUCUCUCAUGACGGUAAACACACACAAAAAUAUAUAUACAGAAGAUUGGACUCAAGAUUUUGCCAUUUGUUAGCUUGAAAGCUGGCCAGUAAAGUUCAUGCCACGAAAUUGCAUAUAUACAUAUACAUAUAUAUAUAUAUAUAUAUGUAUAUGAGGUAGGAUAGAUUUGAUGAGAUUUCAUGGUGUUCUUAAUCUGAUGGAGAUAUGAGGUAGGAUAGAUUUGAACCGAUAUUUCUCAACGAUGCUAAAACAGCGACAUCACAACACAAGAUAAUUUAAAGGCGCCGUGGAUGUGCAUACAACAUAGCAAAUGAGUGAUAUAAGCCGUAUACGUGGUCCCUCUGAAGAAGAGAAUGCAUGCAUGUGUUAACAUCUCAGCUCUUCCCCACAUGUCUUGAACAAUUUCCAUGUGACUAUUGACAGUAUAUUGAAAGCCAACUUUUUUCGCUCUAGUUUCAUAUUUUUUAUACGUAAAUUAAGUUAAUUGGCCAGAGCAAUGACGUACUCAUUUAAAAUAUAAUUCGAAUCCUCUUUUUUGUAGAUUAGAAAAUGUUUGUUUAGAUAGCACUUCUGCUUAUCCACGUUUUUUUCCUAAGUGUUUCUUCCUUUGAGAAUGUGUUGACAUUUUAACUAAUUAAAAAUCUUUAUAGAAACUUAUAAGUUAUUCCUAAAAGACAAACUUAGCAAGUUUCUUUUAGACAAGUUGUUCAACUGGAGAUUACGGGUCAACAUAAUGUUGAGGGAGAAAUGUUAAGGGGCUCUGUUAAAAGUGAGAUUUUCUAUGGUUUAUUUGUUACUUUAUGUUUUUGACAUAAUAUUUUGGCUUGUUAUAGUAACACUCCACAUUUGUUUUUUCAAUUAAAAUUUAUCUUAAUACAUUCCACAUGUAUUUUCAUAAUUCCCUCACACCCCACACUCUCAACAUAUAUCUUAAAUUUUCUACAUACAUCUCAUACUCUUCACAAUAGUUUCUUUCUUCGGUUUUUGUCUCUGCUACGUACCAUUUGAUACAAAAUCAUUCACGUCAUACAAGGAUCAAUUUGCUCAACUUUUUCCCUUACAUUAUUGUUUAGUAACAAGGAUUUGCUCAACAUUUUUCUAACUAGUGAACAUUGAUUACUGAGGGGGUGUACCCCAAAAAUGACAAUACAUUUUAACCUUCAUCCACUUGUGACGGUACAUUUUGAACAAGGUUUGGGCCCCAAGUUCAGGCAGCCCCACGAAACUGGAAUUCACUUCUCAAUGUUUGAGGAUACAAUGUUACUGAAAGUAGUUGACUUGGAUAUAUAUCCUAUAGAUGUGCCCUCCUGCCUACGAUAGAUCAGAGGGAAGCCCCGUGUCUAUAACAACAAACUCCUAGAUAACUCAAACUGUUUUAGAAAGAGAAAGGUGAAUUCCAAGUUAGUCUUAGGGUUGUCAAGCAGAUUCUUUGGGUGAAUGGGAUGAGGUAUGAACUACAUGAGAUAUAUGGCAUUGGUAAUUCAGUUGAAGGUGACGUGCACAAAUAAUGUGUAAUUUUCAUGUCUGAACCAUAAAAAUUGACGUAAACUGUGAUGUAUCAGGGAGUCCUUAAAAAGUUCAACUUUAAGAGAGUCUCUUUAGCAUUAUCGUGCUAAGGUUAUGAAUCGGAGUGAUCAAAUUGUAGGUAUAUAGUACAAUAAUAUGAUAUUACUUGAUACAAAAGGUGCAACUUGAGAAGGUUCAUGUGACCCCUCUACGCCUAUAUAUACAUGCAUUCGGCCAACAACAUUUGUCCCUUCAAUGGGCCAAUACGCCGUCGGACACGUCGGACAGUUAGACUUGUUAGUCAAAUUCCCAAACGAGCCGACCCAGGCAUGUGAUCCAAUUGAAAAGGUAGAUGGGUCAAUCCAAAACCUAAUAUACACAAAAUCAUAGGCCGGCCCAACCGAAAUCCAAAUAGCGACUCACUCAAGGGGUGGCAAAGCGACAAGGGCGGCGGACCACUUCCAAACCCUUAAGUCAAUUUCAGCAGUGAUCGGUGGUUGUGUGGUCUGUCUGUGAAUGGUUGCCCUAAUGACAUUUCCACCACUUUCAUGCCCUUCAAUUCCAUGCAACGCAUCCUCGUAAAUAUCUUCUUAUCAUAUCAUAUCUUCACCAAUCCAGGAAAAAAAAAAAAAAAUCUCAAAAAAAAAGAACCAGGAAGUUGUUAUUGUUAUUGUUUUCGCGAAUUACGAUGAACAACAUCCUCGGACUUCUCCGGCUUCGGAUAAAGCGAGGAAUAAACCUCGCCAUCCGCGACGUCAAGACGAGUGAUCCGUACGUGAUGGUUACCAUGGGAUCGCAGAAACUGAAGACGAAAGUGAUAAAAAGGAACUGCAACCCUCAAUGGGACCAGGAUCUGACGCUUUCGAUCACCGACUUGGAAGAACCCAUCCAUCUGCAAGUGUACGACAAAGACACGUUAACCGUGGACGACAAGAUGGGGGAUGCAGACAUAGACAUCAAACCCUACGUCGAGUGUCUGAAGAUGGGGUUGGACGCGGACGCCCUCCCGAAGGGCUGCGCCCUUAUGAAAGUUCUGCCCAACAGGACCAACUGCCUCUCCACCGAGAGCUGUUGCGGUUGGGAAAAUGGCAAGAUUGUUCAGGACAUGAUUCUCAAACUGCGAAACGUCGAGUGCGGUGAAAUCGUGGUGCAGAUUGAGUGGAUCAACCUUCCUGGUUCUAAAGGUUUAGAAGGAGUCUAGGUACAACAUAAAUCUGUUUGCUCUCUUAUUUAAGUGUGUUUUGUUUAAUGUAUAUCUAUGUUUCAAGCAAGAAUGCCGUGCGUGUCUUGUGCUUGGGAUGACUACUUUUUUGUAUUUUCUUCCAUGUGAAAUUAUAUGAAUCAUGCAACGCUACUUAAAUACUCAAUUUUUUUUUGUUUUGUCUGAAAUAUUCGCUUUUGGAGUUUCUGCAAGAUCUUUGGGCACGUUGAGUGGACCGAACAAGAUAGGAUUCCGUACUUCAGACUGCUUAGGCUAGGAUUAGAUUCGAUAGGUUGUGCCUUUUGUCUAUUCUUUGGUCUAGACUAACUCAACUGAAUUUGGAUUAGAUCGAAAACCUACCUGCAUUUUGAUCGACCCACGCUGCAAACUGGAAAAAUAAAUGAAAAAUUAUUGGCGGGGACCAAAUUCAUCACAAUUUUCCAAUGGCUAGAACGUCUCUGAAACGUUUAGCUUAUGGUGAGACCAAACUACCACAACAUAAAAAGGUUUUAUGAUGAGAGAUUAAGCGGUUCUCUUUUGCUUCAAUUUGUUUUAAUUCGGUUUGGAUCAUAUUUAAUUAGUUAAGAACCGUGGACUGAGCCAUGUGUAGCCAGUCUAGUUCGGUUUUUGAAGGUUUUAACUAUUUUUCGUCAACAAUCAAUUGGUCAGUGAAGAUGCAUAUUGGGACCUUAGUGGUCCCAAGACCACUCGGACCACUCGGAGUUUGAGAAAUAUACAUAUGAAGAUCUUUUGAGGACUCUCCAAAUAUUUGGCAUGAGUCAUUUUUAUGCUUAGUGUUUGACGAAAUACUUCUCUCAUGUUGUGUCGACAACACUCUUGUUCUCUCAAUAGCAUUCAUUAGAUUGCUUGUCAUAUGUCAAUAUCUGUUGACAUGUGUGCAACUUGGUUUGGCUGACAACAACAGGCUCACUAAGUGUUCAAUAAUGUCUCAGUGUGAAUAAAUUGAUUUUUUUUUUUGUCUCGCGUUUUGUUUCUAUCUAAAGACCUUUCGAAUCCUGGAUCGGCCACUAGCAAUAGCACCAAGAAUAUGCCAUUGCUUCUUAUGGACUUGGGAGAGAAUCAUCAAUAGCACAUCUUGUAAAAAGAAGGGGCAUUGCCUUGACUACAAGAAGAAAGAAGCAAAAAAUCUGGGCAUUUGGAAUUUUUGUUCAAAGAUAUUUAUUUUCUUCCAAGUUUUAUUUGUAUGGAUAUUCAAAUGUAGGGCUAUAGUUUAUUGAGGUAUCUUAUCUUCCAAACUUGUUUGUUUGGUCCCAAAAUCCCCCUCUUCAAAACAAGCAUUUGAAAAAAAGAACCAAGGGCGCCAAAUUGAACACUACUCUGAAUUUGUUUAAUCUCAUCGAUGGCUUCCACUUCAACUUAUUCAACAAUUUAUUUGCAAACAAAUGCUCAAAAACUAUCCUUCCCCUCAAAGCCAGCAACCAAAACAUCCCACACAAACCUUAGCUUUCCGUGCUCAUUGCAAUUCGCUACUAAAUUUGUAUGUGUGAAGUCUUCUAGCACUGCCUACAAUGAAGUUGUGGUGGAUGAAGAGAUGGACAGAAUCAGGAGGCUCCAGAACGGGUCUGAUGUUCGCGGUGUGGCCUUGGAAGGCGAGAAGGGGCGGAUUGUGGACCUAACACCAGCGGCUGUGGAGGCCAUUGCGGAGAGUUUUGGUGAGUGGGUUAUCGACGGCUUGGAGAAGCAGCAAGGACAACUUGUGGAGAAAGUUAGGGUGUCCCUUGGCAAGGACCCAAGGAUUUCAGGACCAAAUUUGAGUGUAGCUGUAUUUUCGGGACUAGGUCGUGCAGGUUGUUUGGUAUUCGAUAUGGGACUUGCAACUACACCGGCCUGCUUCAUGAGUACAAUUUUGCCUCCAUUUUCCUACGACGCUUCCAUCAUGGUAUAAUAUAUUCAGCAACAUCUACAAACUGGCACUGUUUACACUAGUAAAAUGUAAAGUUAGACUAGGACUUAUGAGGCAUUUCCUAAUUUAAUGGGACGGGACCAUAAGUCUCCUUUCCUUCGGGGUCAAGGGUGGAUGCUUACUUCUUGUGACCUUAAGAGCUUAUCUCGCCUAAUUCUUUACUUAGAAACAAAUCGAGGCAUGUUAAAUGUGAGGUUGAAAUCAGAGUUCCUUCAAGUCAAUUCUCAUAUCACAUAAGAUGUAAAACAAUUACUAUGAUCAUUUGAUUUCGAACGUUGUACUGCAGAUGACCGCAUCUCACUUACCCUACACCCGAAAUGGUCUCAAAUUUUUCACCAAGAAAGGAGGACUAAGCUCGCCAGAAGUGGAAGACAUAUGCAAUAGAGCAGCCCGAAAGUAUGCCAAUAGGCUCGCCAAAGUGUCAACAUUGCUCAAUGUCCCUCCAUCAAGAGUUGAUUUCAUGAGCUCGUAUGCAAAGCACCUCCGAGACAUUAUCAAGGAGAGAGUUAACCAUCCGUUGCAUUACGAAACUCCACUCCAAGGAUUCCAGGUUCGGAAUUGAAUUAGCUAUCAGGAAAUGAAUUCCGCACACGUCUUUUCUCCUACUGCGCACACCAAUUUAUUUAUAUCUCUUGAUUCUUCAUUGAUUUAUUCACUCGGAAUGAUGACUAAUUGCUUUUUAAUUAAUGCAGAUAGUAGUGAAUGCAGGUAAUGGAUCAGGAGGAUUUUUCACAUGGGAUGUGUUGGAUAAGCUUGGGGCAGACACCUUUGGCUCUCUAUACCUUAAUCCAGAUGGAAUGUUUCCGAACCACAUUCCCAACCCUGAGGACAAAACAGCUAUGGCGGUAACCAGAGCUGCAGUGCUAGAAAACUCUGCUGAUCUUGGGAUUGUAUUUGACACUGAUGUGGAUCGCAGCGGCGUUGUGGAUAACAAGGGCAACCCCAUCAAUGGCGACAAGCUCAUUGCUUUGAUUUCUGCUAUCGUAUUGAGGGAACACCCUGGAACCACCAUAGUGACCGAUGCGCGUACAAGUAUGGCGCUUACAAGAUUCAUCACGAAUCGGGGGGGUCACCAUUGCUUAUAUCGUGUUGGUUAUCGAAAUGUGAUUGAUAAGGGAGUGCAGCUUAACAAGGAAGGCAUUGAAACUCAUCUCAUGAUGGAAACAUCUGGACACGGUGCUCUUAAAGAGAACCAUUUCCUUGAUGAUGGUAAUUAGCAUUGUUGUUUUUGCAUGUCUGUUUUCUACUUCCUUAAUUUUGUUCUAAUUUAAAUUCUUAGGUAGCUUAUUUAUCGUGCUCAAAUUAAAUAAUUGUUCGUAGGAGCUUACAUGGUGGUAAAGAUCAUCAUCGAGAUGGUGCGAAUGAAGCUUGCAGGAUCAGACGAAGGGGUUGGAAACAUCAUAAAAGACCUUGAAGAACCGUCAGAGUCCAUAGAGCUGAGGAUGAAUGUAAUUUCUGAGCCUAGAUAUGCAAAAGAAAAGGCAGUGGAGGCCAUUGAAAUGUUCCGAGAGUACGUUGAGGUAAUUGUUUUGAGCAACUCCUUAUUAGCUCAUGCAAAGUUCCUAUGACUCUCACGUAUUCAACAACUCUUCACAUCCUUACAUUAUUUGAUACGAAACACACAUCGACUUUUAGGAGGGGCGGCUUGAAGGGUGGGAGUUAGAUUCGUGCGGAGAUUGUUGGGUGAGCGAGGGCUGUUUGGUAGACUCAAAUGAUGCGUCAGCUGCUGCCGUUGACGCACACAUGUACAGGUGCUGUACUAAAUACAUUUGAAUUUGACGUUGUUUGAAUUUAAUCAUAGCUACAUUUCUUUAAAUUUUAAUUAAAACUUGUAUAUUUCAGAGCAAAAGUAUCAGAUGAGGAACAUGGACAGCAUGGUUGGGUGCACAUUAGGCAGAGCAUUCACAACCCGAAUAUUGCAGUGAACAUGCAAUCAACUGCGCCUGGCCGUUGCCGAACAAUGACAAGAGUUCUUCUAGAUAAGUAAGUCAUGUUGCUCCAAAUUGACGUUCACCCUGCUACGUAUGCAAAUUCAUAGAAUGGUAAAUAGUAAUGUUCUAGAAUGAUUGAUUCAAUUGACGAUACGUUUCUUUGCAGAUUUCUCAUAGCAAGCGGGAUGGAUAGAUUCCUUGACAUUAGCCAGAUUGAUAAGUAUGCCAAGAGUGGAAAUGUAGGCUGAGCUGCUAUAAUCUACGGUGAAGUUGCUAGCUAGGUAUACAAACAGAUGGAUUACGUCACAAAACUUAUGUAUAAUGUAGGGGUGUGAUAUCCACACACCCCAUUUUACUUCUCACACACCCUUCUAAUUUUCGGCCGUCGGAUCGGAUGAAUUGAAGAAGAUCAACGGAUAGAAAUUAACAAGGGUGUGUGAGAAGUAAUUUGGGGUGUGUGGAUAGCACACCCCAUAAUGUAUAUAUCUGCGACUUAUAACGUGUGCCAUGUCGAGUUAUUUUUCGUAUUAAAAAACAAUAUGGAUGUCAAUCUCUUCAUGCCGAAAACUGUUGGAAUUGUUGGAUCGCCGGGCCCGUCCCACUCUAACAACACUAAUACUGUCCCCACUUAACCACCUGCACAAUCCUCAGGUGUGGGGUUUUAUCACAAAAGGCCUCGGUAUUAGUUAGAGUGGGGUAAUACUAUUUAAACUUCUUUAGUUUUCCCGUCCCACUCUAACAACACUGAUACUGUCCCCACUUAACCACCUGCACAAUCCUCAGGUGUGGAAAGGCCUCGGUAUUAGUUAGAGUGGGGUAAUACUAUUUAAACUUCUUUAGUUUUCUUCACCCCACCGAUGUGGGACAGUUUAACACUCCCCCUCACGUGUAACCUCAUUUAGUGGUUCACACGUGGAGAUCCACAUCAGUAAUUGAAACUCAGAGGUCGGCUCACGUUGGGCCCACUUGUUUUCAAUUGGAACUCAGCGGUCGUUUCUAUAUUAAGAGUUUAGACUUGUUUCCUUCCGGGUGGUGACAAGCUCAUUGGCUUGCACACAAGCUCGUUGGCUUGCACGGGCCCGCAACCGUGGGCUCUGAUACCAUGUUGGAAUUGUUGGAUCGCCGGGCCCGUCCCACUCUAACAACACUGAUACUGUCCCCACUUAACCACCUGCACAAUCCUCAGGUGUGGGGUUUUAUCACAAAAGGCCUCGGUAUUAGUUAGAGUGGGGUAAUACUAUUUAAACUUCUUUAGUUUUCUUCACCCCACCGAUGUGGGACAGUUUAACAAAAACAUCAUAUAACAAAAUCAAGCUGUUAUUUGUGAAGGUUUUGGUUUCCCCCACUACAUUGCCUUGUAUCCGUUUAAAGAUGAUGGCGAUUUACUGCAGGACGCAAGUACUCUUGUCUAUUGUAAUCUGUUGAGAUUCGUAUUUCUUGCUGAUCGUCUUCAUCUUGUGUGGACAAGGAGUUUGCGUUACUGCUACGCGAUGAAGUCGAGCCAGUAAACAUACUGUCAUCAAUCACUUCCCUUCCCUUCCAUAUGAUCUUAAUAUUGCAGCUGGUGUCGGGCGCAUUUCGUAGAAUCUGACUGGCUAUUCCACUUCCUUUCUUGGACCUCAGUUUCCUCAGACUUGAUUCGGUGGUUCCAACUACUAGGUUUCUUAUGUUUUGAGUAGGAAUAAGGUCUAGGAGUGCCUUGGCAACUGUAUCACUCUCAACGAGCAUAAUUUCAGUCUUAACCUGUUCCGUUAACGUCAUAUUCAUCGACAUACAGAGGUUAAUCAGUACUAAUAAACUUGUAAUUAAAUAGCUAUAGAGGGCCUGUAUUUUGGAAAUCUGGUAAUACCUUGGCAGAUGAGCAGGCAUCAACGUAUCUGUCAAGGAGCUUCCACCUCCUGUCUCUUUCUAGGGCCAUGCAAUUGUUCACCAUCUUUGGACUCACUGUAUUUUUGGAAGCAUUCCUACUGCAUAUCAGAAAAACCAAGACAGAAAUAUCUCUUACUAAUCAUCGAUUAAAUGAUAAAAUUAAUUAAAUGCAGUCAUAACCCUAUGGUUAAUUAGUCGCCUUUACAGCUAGAAAAUCUGUGUAAUCUGAAAUUUGUGUUGAACUCCUGUAGUGUAAGACUUUGAUGGAUUCAACUCGAAUCAAUAACUUGUGCAAUACACACACGCAAGAUUAUGUCAGCCCUUGUAUCACUCUCAACUUCGAAAUUUAGUAAUCAACUAAAUUAUAAAAAGAAUAAAAUAUAUAUGUGAUAAUAUAGAUCAAAUGUAUGAAUCAUGACAUCUGAGUCAUCUGACUAUACAGCACGCAUGUUCAUUGUAUUAGGCUCUUACAAUUUGGGAUUGCUUUAGGAAAGGUUAAAACCGCUAUAUGACAACCAAAAGAAGUUUUAACUGUGAUUAAUAGAAAACGUAAAAGUGUUUCAAGGUCUUAGCUAGAAGCCUAGAAGCGCUUUCUGAAAAUUGAGGACUUGAACAUUUACUAAAAAUAAUUGACGUGUUUUUAAUUAAAAAACACUUUUAGCAAACACGCUAAUGAACUUACAAACAAGCCUUCCUCAUCAGACCUCGCUCCAACUGACCGCCGGGCGGCGACAUGCACACGCAAACACACAGAGACAUGGUUCAUGCCUUCAUGGAUAGAGAGAUGCCCGUGAAUUAAUGCAAUUGACGAUGAUGAGAAGCUGAAUUAGAUAACUGAACUUACAAGGAGAAGGAACAAAUCGCAUCGGUGGGAAGACAUGGACGAUGACUAUUAAUGGUGAUUGAUCAUGAUCAUGAGUCACUGCGGCGCGACUCAGUGUCCAGAGAAGCGCAUCCAUGCUAGACUCGCUCUUCUGGCCCCCAACUGCUACAUAGUAUUGAUAAGGACCUACCUCUUCCUCUCCCUUAGAAUUAUUCUUAAAGUUAAAAUUAAAAUCAAUGGAAAACAAGCUUUCAUCAUCAUCGUCCUCCUCAUCUUAAGCAGCUUCUAAUUCUUCUUCGAUGGAAGUCAAGGCCAAAGGCAAAGGCAAGGGCAAGGGCAUCCUCGUCUCUUCCUUUGCCAUCGUCGUGCUUAUAAUAAAAGCACCGUUAAACUGCUGGCGACCGACGUCGUAUGCACCAGCAACCAAGCCCAAUUGUUCCAACUCCGAUAUAAUUGGAUCUUUUGAAAGAGGCAGCAGAAAAAACUAGAAAGUGAAGCAGCCUGGCUAGCCAGCUCGAAAAAAACUUUGAUUUGUAUCCUUAAUUUUAAAUUUCAAUAUAUACCUUAAUUUUUAAUUUAAUUUAUAGUUUUUUUUUUUUUUUUUUUACAUACGUAUGUCAAUUACAUGUCACUUAAUACUACACUAUAGUGGUAUUCUUUUCACUUAAUAUGACUCGGCCCAUUAAAAAGUUUAGCCCACUCCAUCACCCUUAGUGCAGCAAAUAAGCUUCUUCUUCUUAAAAAAAAAAGCUAAUUGUAUAUUUAUUUUAUGUUUUAAAUUACUAUGUGAAGAAUAAUAAUAGAGUUUAAAUAAUCUUUUUUGUUCAAUAAUAUUACUCUCUUAUUGAUUUUAAGUAAUUCCUAAAUUUUAAAAUAUUAUUUACUCUUAUUUGAAUUUGUUUAAGGGAAUUUUAACGAAAAGCUUUUGGUACUGUUCAUUUUAACGAAAAACCACAUUUUAACGCUAAAAUGUCAAUCCUAUUACUAUUCAUCUUACCCUUUAUUUUGUUAUUUUCGUUAAAACUCAAAGUUUUCAAGUUAUUUUCAUUAGUUUUCCUUUUGUUUAAAUGUAUAAUUUAUAGCAUGUAGAAAGAGUUAUCUUAAAUAAUGACAAGAAUUUCGAUCAAAAUAUUAAACAAAUAUGAUUUCAAUUCAACGAUUAAGUUGAGCAUGUACUGGAACUAAAAUCACCAUUAAUUCUAAGGAAAACUAAUGAAAAUGGCUUGAAAACUUUGAGUUUUAAUGAUAAGGACAAAAUAAAAGGUAAAGUGAAUAGUACUACGUUUAACUUUUUAUUGUAAACAUGUGAUUUUUCAUUAAAAUGAAUUUAAACUUUUCAUGCCGUUUUGUCUUUUGCGUGUACGCAGGCAUCUAGGAAUUUACCGUGUACUUUGUUGUGGUGAGGUUUCUCACUUCAUUUCUGUCUUUUUAUUUGCUUUGAAAGAGAUUCUUUCCUUAAAAUAUACAAAAGAAAAGGACUGAAAUAGAAUAGAAAACGGAUCCAAAUGGUACCUCUAAGUAUAUUCAUAUGAAAUUAUGAAUUAUAACGUACUUAGCACAAAUUAUAUAUAUAUAUAUAUAUAUAUAUAUAUAUAUAUAUAUAUAUAUAUUAUUAGAGAAAACGAGAGUUCGAAACUAUUAUAAUAAAUUUGGAGAGGAAGAAGUUUCGAACUGGAAAGUAAGCCAACACUUCUAUCUAUUAGGAUAUUGGACCACAUAUGUAGUGACACACCCCGAUCCUAGAAUCAAGGCGUGCUGGCCGUCACGUGAGCGUGACGUAACCAAAAGUGCGACGCGGAAGCAAUAGAUAAGAACAUACGAAUAAUAAAAAAAAACCAGAUACUAGCAGAAUAACCAAGUAACGUGCUAGAAUAAGUUUAAGUGUGCAACACACAUAUUCAGAGCCUAAGAACUAGAUGCAGUCAAGUAGGACCAUAACUAGAUUACAACACCCGUAGGUGAGUCCUACAUUUAUGUAGUCUGUCAGUACGCCGUGAGGAUCCUCGUGGGCCACCAACGCUGCUAACUAGAACCUGGAGGGGUGCAAAACAAAAUUGAGUGGGUCAGUAAAACCAAAGUUUUCCAAAACAUUUCAUUUAAAACAUUUCUAACCCCUCACUGUAAAACUUGUAUACUUUCCCAGAAAAUAACAUAAUAGUAUAUAAAUCCUCAUAUAUCUCAAAUCAUCAAUCUAUCACAAAUCCAGAAAUAUGCCAUGUCAUAAAUGUCAAUAACGAAACAUGGAUGCAUCAAAAUAACAGGUGACAUAAUGAAUCAACCGGAGACCCUGCAGUUGGUCCUGUACGGUUAAUUCCAUAGCUCAAUAUCCAACCCAGCCGGAGUCACCACGGUGACCUGUACGGCACUACUCUGCACAUAAAUCGGAACUACCUAAAGUAAUCUGUACGAUAAGAAAGGUGUAAGAAUACGCUCUAGUGCUUCUCUCAUCAAUCAUCUGCAUGCAUAAUCUAAGGUCACCUACUAGUCGGAACAACCUCUAGUGGUCUGUACGACUAGCAUGUCGGAACCCUCUCAUGGUCUGUACGACAUGCACCUACUUGGAUCCAAGGUGAGCGUGCGGUGCGGUGAAUAAUAUAAGCACUAACACCAGGGGGUGUAGGUUAUGAGCUCUCAACAAUUCACAUCAUCAAUGAUUCACAUGAAUAACAUAAACUCACCUGAUACUCACCUGUGCGUCCACAGCACCAGUUCACAUAUAUAUAUGCAUCAAUAUCAAUUCAUACAAUUCACAAUAUGCAUGCAUGGCAUUUGAAAACAUAUUUUCAUAUAAAUUCAAUUUAUAGGAAAAUCAAUAGUAUAUAGGUAUAUACGGAAAACAAAACUGCCCACUCAUUGGUAAGUCGAUGGGUCGUAACCCCCGUGACGUCCCUGGAUGCGCUCGUCCUCGGGAUAGGUGUCACCUAUAUGCGAAACAACUAUAAAAACGUUAAUUUACGCACAUAACCGACAAUUCGUAAUAACUUCUCAUACGGUGCUCAAAUUGGGUAUAUGAAUAUACCACAUCGACCUACUCGACGUCACGGACGUCGAGAAAUUUUUAGAAAAAUUUUCUGAGGCUGCACGCGCCCCCACGCGCCUGGACAGGCACGGGUCCACGCGCCCCCCACGCGCGUCUCCUACCUCGGCUCGCCGGAUUGGUUUUUCCGGUGGCCGGAAAACUGGAGAUUUUUCAAUCUCCUUGUUCUCCGUCAUUUCUCAACCAUUUUCUUCGUAUUUUAUAUCAAAAUGAAGCCCUAAGCAUGUAGUUUCACGUUACACUACUUUAAGGCUCUAAAAACUACAAAAUCUCAUCGGAGAAAUUCCAAGAAAACCGGCCAAUUUCGAACCCAAUGAUCCCGACGUCCAAAACCUUCAAACGAAACACUCCGAGCUUCCUUGGGACCUCACUAAGCUCACUAUAAGCUUAGAAUUCCCUGAAAAUCAACAUAUCACGAUUGCAUGAACAGUGAUCUCAAAAUGGGUUUCGGGUUUCACGUGAUAUCGAGGGUUCUAAGUUCUAAAAAUUGCACCAAUGAACUCACAAGGUUGCAAGGAUUCACAAACUUACCUUUUUGACGUCGAUCCGUGAAAGUUGGAGGGUUUUGGUGCCUCGUCCGUACGAGUCGAGAGGGAGAGAGGAAGAACUGAGAAGGGGAGAGAGAUAGAGGGCACGGGGAAAGGGACAGGGUGUCCCGUGUGUGUGUGUGGUCCCUCAAAACAAUUCCACCCUUAUUUUCCUAACCACAUAAAUUACAAACCAAUUUUAAUCCAACUUAAAAUAUUUUCCAAAAGCUUGAAAUAUAUGAAUUUAGUCCAAAUAAUAUGUCACACACACACAUACCUUAAUACCCGUCAAGGGUAAUUCCGUCAUUUCGCAUCCCCGAUAUAUAGAAUCCCGGGACGGGCUGUGACAUGUAGUACAAAUUGGAAUCUAUAAAUAUAUUCAUUAUAACACGGUAUAACUAAUUCACAUGAUGCUCUUAUUUUGAGAACUUGUGAGAGUGAAAUGCAUAUUAGCCACAAGAUUAUAUUAGGUUAGAUCGAAAGGAUUAUAAUACUAAAAAUAAUAUUGGUAUAAAUUAAAAAAAAGGAUACAAAUUAUAAACAGAAAUAUAUGAAGAAAAAAAACUAAAAAUAUAUAUUUAAAAAAGAUUAAUAAGUUUUUUAUUUUUAAAAUUGCCAUAUAAUGACUUGUAAAUAAUCUAACAUUCCAAUCAUGACAUGGGGAAAAGUCAAGAAACUUUUAUCAAAAAUGAAAACAGAAUAAAGUUUUAAUUAAUGAGAAAGAAAAAUGAGAAAUAAGAACCUAGUUUAUCUUAUGAAAAUGGUAAUAAGAGAAACAUUUUUGGUAUAGUAAGAGAGUAAAUUAUUAAACUAGUAUUAAUACACUUAUGGAUGAAACAAAGGGAUUUGGAUCCUCUCCUGAGCUCAACUUGCUAAGUCUCUUAAGCAAAUCACACGGAUUGUUGGAUUUUGAUCCAAUGACUACAAAUAGGGGACAUCUCUAAAAGUUAUAAUAAUUAUAGUCGUUGGAUCAAAAUCUAACAGCCUGUGUGAUUUGCUCAUGAGGCUCAGUAGGUUGAGCUCAGGAAAGGAUCCAAAUUCGAAACAAAGACAGGUUGGGGUAAGUAAAUGGGUGGGACAGUCAAUCAACUGACAUUCUCAGUUACUUAGUUUUAUAUUGAAAUAUGAGGGUAAAAAUUGGAAAGGGAUCCUCUCCGGAUCCCUUCCUUCUAAUUUACCAAGUCUGGAAAUUCGGGUCAUUAAAAUUUGAUCAAACAACUAAAGUUAUUAUAAUUUUUAAAGUGGACAUUUGUUUGUAGCCGUUGGAUUAAAUUUCAAUGGUUCGGAUCUCCGAACUUGAUAGAUUAGGAGGAAGGGGUCCAGAGAGGAUCCCUUUCUGUAAAAAUUGCUUUUUGAUUAAGAUCAGACAACUAUUAAGGAUUGACUUGUUGUGCGCAAUAUAUAAUUUAAGAAUUUGGUGUUACAAUCAUCUUAAACAAAUCUUGCUUUAUGUCCCCCACUUACGCUUUUAUUCAAUCUGGAAAACCACGGUACAAUAUGCAAUUUCUCGUUUGUCAGCUCGGACUGUACUGAUUAUUUCAGUCGGAUAGGAUAAAUAGUCGUCGGAUAAUACUGACUAAAUUAGUUGGACGUUUGGUAAUUGAAUCGGAUUAAUUUCUACAUCGGAUAAUACGUCAGAUUAUAAUAAAUUUUUAAAAGUAUUUCACAGAAUAAUUGUUGUUAAAAUGAAAAAAAUGAGAAAAACAAAGAAAAACAGAGAAAAAAUGAAUUAAACACCAUUACAGAAAAAAUUAAAAAAAUAAAAAUAAAAAAGGGAUUAAACAUCACCAUCUUCCCCACGGAGGAAUAUGUUCUUUGAAACCCAGGCAACCACUACUCCAACAACAAAAAAAAAAAAAAACCAGCCAUUACACCAACAGAAAAAAAAAACCCAGCCAGCUUUCGAUCUCGUUGCCACCUUCAAUUUCUUUCAAAUUCAGAAACCAAUUAAAACCUCCAAAUUUGCAGAAGCAACCUCCAACAGAAUCGAUGGUCACUCGUGCACCCAGCAAACUGCAAUUUUGUGCUUUACAGGGAAAUUGGUGCCGCUGCUCUCUCUCACAGCUUCUAAUCCAUUGAAACUAAAAACCCAUAUGAGAUUUCUCCCAUUCUGGUUUGAUCUGCCACUAUAGGUGUAUGAACAAGAAUGGCGUGAAGUGGUUUCGAUUCGGCACCUCUGGUUUUGUGUUUGUAUCUACUUGAUGUUGAUUGGUAGUGAGGAGGGAGAAAGAGAGAGAGCAGUAAUUCCUUGAUUGAGGAGUUUGUGAUGCGCAAGAGCGAGCGGUAGCAUGAACCCGACUAAUUAUACAAACGAUUUGGGGAGGAUAAGGAGCCGUGUGUAGGGUGUAUUAAAUAAGCAGAGGCGGACUAAUUAUCCGGUGGCUAUUUAAUCCAAACGGACACCAAACACCGUACUCCGUAGUAUUAGUACUAUCCGAUGCCUUAUACGGUGUGCCAAACAGACCUUAGGGUCUAUGAAUAGAUUUCCUGUCUGUAGUGUUCCGUUUUUCCUUUCCUCAUUAUAUGAUCACCAUCGUAUUUCAGGCUCAUUAGUUCUUGAUGUAUUUUAGUCUUAAGAACCUUAAACAUCUAAUUAAAACAUAUCAUCAUUUUUUAAGGCAUGCUUUUCUUUCUUCUGGUUCUGAUACACACACACACACACACACACACACACACACACACACACACACACACAUAUAAUAUACACAUAUAUAUAUAUACAUAUAUUUUGCUUUUCUUUCCUCUGGUUCAUAUCAUCAUUUUUUAAGGCAUGCUUUUCUUUCUUCUGGUUCUGAUAUUUUUUGGUUCUGAUACACACACACACACACACACAUAUAAUAUACACAUAUAUAUAUACAUAUAUUUUGCUUUUCUUUCCUCUGGUUCUGAUACAUAUACAUAUAUUUUGUUGGUUUAGUUAUCAUUGGUACGAAUUUCUUAAACUGGACUUUUGGUUGGAAAUUUAUAUUUGAUCAUCAAUGGAUAUUGGACAUUCAAGUCAUAAUUUCACAUACAAUACAAUAGUACUAGUUGUAGUGAAAGCGUACCAUUAAAACAUAGAAGAAGCAAGAAAUUAAAAGGAAACGCUAAAGCUUCCCACUAUCACCCUGGCCAGCUUUUAUAUACGUACCAUACUAUAUGACUAUUUUUCUUCUUAUGCACACCUCCUCUUGAUUUUGGUCUUCGCUGUAUAUAUAUAUAUAUUUUUUUUUGUGAUUACUAAAAGAGUGUGCCAAAAAUAAAAAAUAAUGUGCAUAAAUCGUUUUCAAAUUAAUUUAUUUAUUAUUGAGAAGGUGGGCAUCAAUAUUGUUCGUCAGAAGGACCAAAAAGUCCAUGUACUUAUGAGGAACCGGAACACCCUCCGUCAGCUUCUCAUACUCGACGGUCCAUUUCACGGAUGAGCUGCUGCAUCCCCCACUAACCUUUGGUGUGACUUGAACCGUAGCCUUGAAACUCUUGUAGUAUUUCGCCAACUCUCCUCCUACUGUUCGGAAAGUCACUGAUUUGUUUUUCUCAUCUAUGGCUUCAACUGUCUCUCUUGAAACCUCAGAAACAUUGUCUAUCAUGCAGGUAUAUAAUUAAUUAAGAAAAUAUCAAAUCAUUGGGUCCAGGUUAGGUUAUAUAGUCGAUCGAGUCUAGUAUAUGUAUAAAAUAUUUUAAGUUGGCAUGCAUAAAUUUUUUUCCAUGAAUUGUUAUUGUUACCUGCAGCAAAGUAAGUCCAUUGCUUGACUGAGCCCACAGAGCCCCAAUCACCUUGGAUGACCUGAAGGUCCUUUAUGACGUUAGGGCACAUCUUGGGCAACAGGUACCCUUUGCUACGAAAGAUUUCGUAGAACUUGUCGGCACUGGCUUUAAUCUCAGCCUGGACCUCCAUCUUUGCUAUUUGAGCCAUAGCGUUCGAUCUUUUUGCCUUUGUAAUUUGUAUGAAAUUAGCUAGCUAGAGUCUGGUGAAAAAAUGACUCCCCCUUGUUCUUUAUAUAGAAGAAAUAAAAUAGCUAGAUAAAGUAUAAUAUGCCUUCACUUCGAGCCAAUUGCAAUUGCGGAUCGGAAUUGGGGUGGUUUUUCUGACAAAUUUAAUUUAGGUUUGGAGUUCUGUUUGGUCCCUCGCUAGCUAGGGCAACUGGGCAAGUAGAUUUCUGUUUUAGCACUGUCUUGUUAAUUUGAUGCUCAUGGCCACUAUGUUAUGGUGGAUCAGAUGCGGAUUCUAUUCCAUCUUUUUCAUAAAGAGAUUAUAUACUUUCCUAAAUUAUACUGUUCUUUUCCUUUUUGUUGUUCCUGUGUUUCCAUCAAAAAAGGAAAAUACCGAUAAGACACUUAUUAGUACUAUAGUUAAGUAAUAUUUCUCUUAAGUAUCAAUUUAUUAUUUUUAUCCCUUAGUGUAAAAUGUGUAAAUAUAUCGUUGUAUCAACAAAACAAAAAAAUUUAUUUGAAAAGGGCAAAAGCCGAAAGCAUUUUGCCUUUGUUUUUUCUCCCACUAGCCUUUAAUGCCGAAAAUUUGAGUUUGUUUCUAAUUUUAUAUAAAUCAAACUCUUACAGUGAGCUGUAGACUUUGUGUUCUUUGAGAGUGGAUCCAAUUCUUGAGAGUUUAAUAUAUGAAACUCAUGAGUUAGAAAAUUACAACAAAAAUUCUCCACCACAUCUGUCAUUUUUCAUGAAUGAACGGUUGAGAUGAUAUUUAGUUAAAUAUCAACCGUUCGCUUUUGACCUUUCAUGAGCAUUAGAUCAAAGUUUGUAUACAAUAGGUGACCACUCAUUUGGGAGUGAAAAAAGGGAAUAACCCACCAUAAAGUAGGAAAAAUAAAAAAUAGGUGAGUCCUUACAGCAGUAAACAGAUAGAACUCAAGAUAAACUCUGAAACUCACACAGUUGUAGUAAUGGUAUUCUAGGAAUCAAACUGAAGAUGUUUCUUAUAUAAGAAAUUAAACAGAUACAAAUACAAAUGUUGUUGCAUACCAAAUACAUAUUUGCACACGCUCUGUUAAUGUACAAGAUAAUGAUUAAGACGAAAUCAUCCCUUAUACAUGGAAGACACCCAACUGACUCAAGCUUUGUGUCUUUUUUUUUUUAUGUACGUAUAAAUACAACGUUACUCAAAUCCCACAAUUAAAAAAAAAAAAAAGGCCUUAGUUAUAAUUCGAACCAUUUAUUACUAAUAAUAGCUGUGUCUCAUUCAGUGAGAAGAUGAGCUUCAAGGUCUUUGGUGACCUUCACUGCAAAGUCCUGAUAUGAUUCUGGAUCUGGGAUUUCCUCCUUCACCUUCUCAUAGUCAAUUAUCCAUUUCACCAAACUGCCCCCUCCAGUAGUCUUUUCUGUUACUUUUAGUGUCACCCUAAAGCUCUUAUAAUGCUUCAAGAUUUCUCCAUCCAGAACGUUGAACUUCACUGUUUUGUUUUCCUCAUCUAUCGCUUCAACCGUCUCCUUUACACUUAACGAACUCCCAUCUGUACAUAUCCAUCGUCACUUUCACAUUAUAAAAGAGUAAUUAUAUAUGAGCAAUAAUUUCUUCACACUUAGAUCCAGUUUUCUUUUUGCAUACCCUUGUUAAUUUUUCUUCUUCAUAUUCUUUUAAUAUAUUUAACCUAAAGAUCAUAAAUAAACAUAGAUGCGGACAAAAAGUUGUAUGCAUAAAUCACUUCCUGAUUAUAUAUAUGUGCACAUAAAUAAAUUAUAAAUAAGGGAAUCACCCUAGCUAAUUAAUAGUUAGGGCUUCAACUAAGUCAGUUCUAUUGCCUCCGGUGUGACUUACCCAACGUAUAAUCCCAAUGCUUGACAGAACCCGCAGUCUCCCAAUCACCUUCGUGCAGCUCAACCCCUUGUAUUUUGUCAGAGCAGAUGUUAGGAAGCAGGUGCAUUUGGCCCGAGAAAAUUUUGUAGAACUUAUCAGCAGCUGUACUUAUCUCUACCUCCGUCUCAAGCUUACCAACUAAAGCCAUAUCUUAAUUAAUUAGAAGAUCGAUCGGUUAAGGAUAUAAACCAAGGAUAAUUUAUGAUCAACAAUUGAUGAACUAAUAACAAAACAGGUUAGAGGUAGAAUUGGGAGAUAACACUUAAUCCUAGGAUUGACUUAAAUAGGAGAAAUUAUCAUUCAUGAAAAGCUACAACUUGCCUAUAAUAAAUAUUAAAAGGGAACUUAUUGGUGGUCCUGAACGUUUAAAAUUGACACCAAAAUUUACUUCCAUCACCUUUGCUACUUUAAUCGUUUUUACCUAUAUUUUGUUCAAUUUUUUUUUACACCUAUAUAUACAUAUGGGAUGGAUCCGUGAUAUCACUUUUUUUUAUACAAUUUUUUACACAAGUUUUGUGGGACCCACUCAGUAAUGUAUUUCAACAAUCCAACUGUUUAUUUUUUAGAACAUCAUUAAUAAAUCAUCCUUACAAAAAAUUAGACAAAUUCAAAACCAUGACAUUCAUUUAUAGCGAAGAAAGUGGACAAAUAUGUUUCUAUAAAGAAACCCUACAUGAUUUAUGAUGAAAUAUCUAAAAAUAGAUUGUUUGGAUCGUUAAAAUACAUUACUUACAAGUUACAAGUGAGCCUACAAAAAUUUGUGUAAAAGGAGUAUAUAAGUACACCGAUGGUGAAUAUAUAAUAAUUUUUGUGUUUGGUAGAUUUGGAGUGGUUAAAGGAAUUGGAAAUAAUAGGCACAUUUCUUUCAGGUGGGACACGACUAGAUAGUCAUUCCUAAUUAGGAUUUACCAAAUCUUAGUGACGUUCUUGUUUAUUGUAAACAAAAGAUAAAAGAAUUCAAAUGAAUCAGACAGUUAUGUCAAUUGUUAAUCACCAGUCACCACAUCACAUUAACAUUAUUUCGAAUUCUAUAUCUAUAAUUGACGAGUUUACGACUUGGAGCGUCAAAAAAAUAUGGCAAAGCAUUCAAGAUACUUGGGAAAUAAAUUAGAAGUUUCAGUAGUCCACAUAACUGUAACAAACACACAAACAAAUGAUAGAUUCACUUUAUUUUUCAUUUUCCCCAAAAUUACAUCCAAUGAUUAUCCUAUAUACGAUUGCGUAAAGAAAUUAUUGGUCUUUUUGACAAGAGCUGCAAACUAAAGCUGAAGGUGUUAGUCUGGAUCACCGCCACAUAGCUUUUCCUUUUCCUGUUAAAGGACCGCAUCACCACGCUGCCCUCAUCAUAAUCUCAUAAUUUUGAAGAAACUUGAAGAAUAAUCUUGUAGCAUCUGCAGCGAUCUAGAGGGUUCCUUCAAGCACCCUUAAAGUACGGACUGAUUUUCAUCAUCUAUGGUUUCAGUUAACUCCUUACGAAAUGUAGGUUUCUCAUAUGUUCAACAUUCCACAAGCAAAAAUUAUAUCAUGUUCCGAUGUAUAAGAUACUCUGAGCAUGUUAACUGUUGAAUCUUGAUUUUUGUAUAUUUGACCAAAUUUAAAAAAAAAGUAUAAAAUAUCCGAUACUUGGGAGCACCAUAGAACUCUUCACUAGCUUACUUCAUCCAACAUACAUAUCAACAUUCAUGGUAAAAAGACACUUGGAGCCGAACUUACGUUCAAGAUUAUUCAACCCAAUUUACCACCUUCUACUAAUUUAUAACUCUGAACUUUGUUGGGGGCGAUGUUGUUAACUUUGUUGGGGGCGAUGUUGAUAUCUCGUACGGUAUUGUUCGUGUGACUGUUAGCAAGGAGGGGAAAUUUGUUUGAUUUCAGCGCUCGUCCUCGCCUUAUUGUUACAAUGAUCUCAAAUCACCAUAUUGGCUUCUGUCCACCACAUGCAUUAAGCGUCUAUGACUAGAUCUAGUCUUCCACAACAAGAAACCCUUUCAGCGACGAAUUCUUCCUCUGAAAGUAGGAAAGUUGUCCCAGAAACAGUUGGCGACUAUAAUGUUUUCCUUUUUAGAUCAUCCCAGUACGUAGGGCCUUUAGUGAACUUAUAUGGCGAGAAAUAUGCUUGAUCGUUGUUGAUAAAUUAGAAUCAUCAAAAUAUUUCCUCGCUGAAAGUUCGUCAUUUUGUCGGUAAAAGUUGUUCCUCGCUGUUAGACAGGGGAAAAUAGAAAAAAUUCUGAAAACAUUGCGAGAAAAUUAGGAUCUAUUUAUUGAUUUGCAAAAACUCCCUCCAAACUUGUAUAAAGCUAGCAAUUUUUUUCUUUAAAUUUAAUAUUAACCGAUUAACUCUCUGAAUUAUUAUAAAGGGUAAAAGACUGUUUACUACCCUCAUGUUUCAUGGUUUUCAACAUUUAGUAUAUCAAGUUUUUUUCGUCCCAGAGUCAUACCUAAAGUGUUAAUUUUGGGACAGUCUCAUACAUCCGUUAGUCAAACUGUUAAGUAUGCCGUUAACUGAUGAUGUGAUGCCUAUGUGGACAAUGACUGGGUGCCACGUGUCAUUAAGGGAUCCACGUGGAAAUUAAAAAUUAAUUAUUAAAAAAAUUCAAAAAAAAAAAAAAAAAAACAAAAAAACAAACAAAAUAAAACCCAGAAGCCCUUCGUCUUCCUCACCCCCACCCGACAUCCCUCAAUUCCCAGAACCCCAUUGUCUUCCCCACCCGACACCCUUUAUCCAUGCUUCCUCAAUUUCCUUGUUAUGGCUGUCGUCUGCAAAUCACCAUCUACAUCUUCCUCCAGCAGCUGAAGACCUCGCCUCCUUGUCGUUGCUCGAAGAGCAGGUGAAGCAGGAUGAGCUUGACCGUGACAUGGCACUGAAUGACGACGCAUCUUUAAUAGAAGGGACGCAUAAGGAGAGGAACGAGGCCAUUUUCGAUUACUACUUUGAUUUGCAGGAAUGCUACUCUGAGGUGGAAGAAUCUGAAACAAUGAAGCGGAGAAAAUCGAGAAGCGCCGCCUGUGUGGCGAUGUCGGCGGUAGCUGAUGGAGUCGAAAUAGGUAAGCCGGGAGUCGAAUCGGGUCACCAUCGGCGGCUAUGGGUCAAGGACAGGUCGAAAGCAUGGUGGGACGAGUGCAACCAGUCGGAUUUUUUGAAAUCAGAAUUCAAACCGUCUUACCAGAUCUAGUCGAUGACGCAUCCUGUCUGUCCGUCCCUCACUCCAUCAUUUCUUUUCCCUCCCUUCUCUCCUCUGCACGAACCAAACCGUCCUACCAGAUCCGGUCGAUGACGCAGUCUGUCUUGGGCUGCUGCUACGAGCUAUCUCGUCCUCUACGUCCAUAUCCUGGACCCACCGCCUAUUCUCUGCCUUUCCGUCUUUUCUUUUUCCCUUAUUCUUCCUUUUUCCUUUUGAUUUUCCUUUUCUAUUUCCGUUUUAUUUUCAUCUCGAAAGAGACCCCAAUUUUUCUGGGUUCACAAAAGAAACCCAAUAUUAGUUGAUCUGAAUAUUUUUUUUCUUUUAACUUUAUAGUUUUCUGGAAAAUUGGGAGGAUUUGAGUCUCCUCCACCCGUUUUGAUUUUGCAUUUUCUGGUCCAAUUCGAAAUGGCCUAGAGGAGGAAGAAUUUGAUUUAAUGGUUUAUGCCCCAGAUCUCGUCAAGAUUAUUGAAACUUCAAUCCACACUUUUCAGCUUUUCCUGAAGAUGGAAGUCACUUGUUUCUUAAUUUGCUUUAAUUAAACUUCUUGUUUCGUUAUUUAAGAAUUGUGAUAGAUGUAGAGAAAUUGAGUAGCGAGAGAGAGGUGGGUAAGACGGAUUGAAGAACGAUUCUAAUUUAACUUCUUCUCUUUUCGUGGAAUAGGGGUCACGAGAGAGGCUUUUUCUGGCUUUUUCUUCUGGGUUCACAAAGAGAAGAUCCAUACUUGAAAAUACCAAAUUCUUGUUGAAAUAGAAUUUCUUUGGGAGGGAUUUUGUUGGGUUGGGUGUGCGGAGAUGAUGGGUACGGGUUGUAGAGGAGAGAAGGGAGGGUGGUGCAGGUGCAGAAAAGAGAAUGGAGGGAAGGGGUACGGGUUGCAGAAGAGAGAAGGGAGGGAGAGGGUGCGAGGGAUGAGGGAGGAGACAAAUGUUUGUUCUUUUUUUUUUUUUUUGUAUUUUUAAUUUUUUAAUUUUUUUAAUAUUGAAGUGGGCCUAAAUUGACAUGUGGUGCCCAGUAAUUGUCCACGUGGGCGCCACGUCAUCAGUUAACAGAAGUUCUAACAGAAAACUUAACGGAUGUAUGAGACUCUCUCAAAAUUAAUACUUUAGGUAUGACUCUGGGAUGAAAAAAAAUUGAUGUACUAAAUGUUGAAAACCAUGAAACUUGAGGGUAGUAAACAGCCUUUUACCCUAUUAUAAAUAACCAAUUUCUCCACUGCGUUUAGAUUUUGAAUUUUUUUCAUUCAAGUUUUCAUCAUCGUGGUCAUGCGGACAUACAAGGCAAAUGUAUAAGGGCAAAAAAGUGAUUUUCGUUUUGGUAAAUUGGGCACAAAGCCACUAUUUUACAGCUGCUAAUUGGACUUUCAGGACUAAUUCAAACAAAAGUACGAAGUCAACUACACUACUACAAAUUUUUACAUACAUAAUGCAGUUUAUGGGUCAUGUUAAAAGUUUAAUGACGCAAGGGUUUAGCGUCAUCUUUGUGGUGUCAUUAAAUAUAUUUUUUAUGACGUUGAAAAAGUGUCAUGUAUUACUUUUAAAGACGCCUAACAAGUGUCAUUGAAUUAAGAACUUGUGUUAUCUACUACCAUUUAAGACGCGGAAUAAGUGUCAUAAACAGAGGAAUGAGUUUCAUGGUAUACUAAUUAUGACAUACGCACAGUGUCAUGUAUAGCUUUUAGAGACACUUAACAAGUGUCAUUGAAAUAAAAAAGCGUGUCAUCUAUUUCAGUUCGAGACGCGGAAUAUGUGUCAUAAACAGAGGAAUGAGCGUCAUGAUAUACUAAACAUGACAUCUGUAUAGCGUCAUGUCUAUAGCACUACAACGUCAUUGAAUAUUAGCAACGACACACAAAGCUUGUCAUAAACCAUUCAAUGCAUGUCCUGAAAUAUGUUUGAUGACAUAUGUAAUGUAUUUUUAAUUUGAAAACAAGACUUACAUAAUUCAUCCAAGAAGUAAGAUAUUUACCUCAAAUAAAAUAAUAUUGUUUCAUAAAUUUGUAAUUCACCCACCACCAAAGUAUUACAAAAGACAAUAUAAUGUGUAGAGCUUUCCUUCUAAAAUAAAACUAUACGUUCACUUAAUUUAAAAUUUCACAAACUAGCUAAUCUAGAGUUUCAUCUAUUGGGCUGUAUUCAUCAACAUACUCAGCCCACUUUAUUCUUAAUGCAUCAAUUUCCUGUUGAGUGUAUGUAGCUUUUAUCCUUCAAACUGCUCCUGCAAAAAAUAAAUAAAUUGAAUGAGAGGAUCCUUACCAUAAGACAACAGAAAAACAAAUAGGAAAACUCUUUGUUGAUCACCGUGGAUCUUCCCGUCUCCCUUGUCCUCGUUCUUCUUUAUUUGUGCACAACUAAAUAGCAACCGUAAAUUAGUGGUUCAAUUUGCAGUUUAAAUUAGAGGUUAAAUAAAAAUAGAAUAAACACAUAUUUAUCCAAGACUUGAAAGCAAAGCCUAAACCUGAUGCAAUUUUUAUGAGGUCUGGGUGGAGGGCAAGUCUGUAGCAUACUAGCUGAGAUCGAACUUGUGGUGCUACAACUUAUCAUCUCAAUAAUUGAACUAAAAAAAAAUAAACAUAAAAUUUAUAAGAUUAUAUACUGAAUGAGCAGGAUACGAAAUUAUUCCUAUGACCAAAAUGAAGAUGAGUGAUAGAAAAAAGCAACACGCAUGCAGAGAAAGGGAGGGAGAGUGUACCUUUGGAGUGAUGUUUGUCAUCAUCACUGAACAAAAUUUUGAUUCUGAAAGACCUGUCAUGAUUCAUAUAAAAAAAAUCCAAGAACAAUUUUCAAAAGCAUAUAAAAAUCCUUUAGACAAACCAACUCUCUUAAAUACCAAUCCAUAAGAUUGCCUCUGCUUGCUUUACGAAUCUUGCAAAUAUCAGUCUAUUAAAUAUGAAUGAUGAAGACAAACCUACUCUCUUAAGCAUAAACCAGAUGCGUCACCACCGCCUGUCCAGAACCCAAUUCUAGGAGCGGACACUCGAGAAUGAAGACAUCAGACCAUAAUUGAAACAACUACAAACUAAACUGACCAAACCACUUAAAACCACACAACUAAGAUAAGAGUUUGUAUCAUAAAAGCAUAAGUUUGAGUGAGUGAAAAUUUGAGUACUGACAAUGGUUCACUUUUUCUUAGCAGCAGACUUGGUGACCUUGGCAUCGAUGGGAUCCUUCUUCUCAACACUCUUGAUAACACCAAAAGCAACAAUCUGGCGCAUGCCACAAACAACAAAGCAACCUAAUGGAUGGUACUCAGAAAAUGUCACCACAACCAUGGGCUUGGUAGGAAGCAUCUUCACCAUAACUGCAUCUCCGUUCUUCAAGAACUUUGUCUCCAUCUCAAUCUCCUUGCCAGACCUCCUGUCAAUCUUGGUAAGGAUCUCACCGAACUUCCCAACCUUGCGCAGUUGAUAAACAACGUGCUUUUCAAGCGUAGUGGCGUUAAAAAGAAAUAAUCUAUAACUGCUUGAGAGAUUUAAGGGAUAAAUCUUCCACUUUUCCUUUUAAAAUCUUCCGCAUAUUUUAUUGAACAACACAUUUUUUUUAGUUGCAUCAUAAUAUUACUUUAAUAACAUUUUUAAUAAAAGAAUGUCAUUAAAAAUUUUACCAAGUGUCAUGAAAGCCCUAUUUUGUAGUAGUGCUAGCAAAAAAGAAGACGAGAAAAAACAAUCCGUUGUACACAUUAGGAAUAAAAAAAGGAGAGGUUUGGGUGGGUGGUUGGGUCUGUGAAUCUCUUUCUCACUAAUUUAUGGCUUGUUACAAGCGUUUAGAUGGUGGUUGGACCCAUUGAUAAAAUGUGGUUAGAAUAAGUCUGGAUGGCAAGGGCGGAGGCUUGAAACAUGCUCUCCAACCCAAAAACCCUCCUCCAGCAGGCUAAGAAGAAGAGGGCAGCCUGAGCAACUUAUGCUCAGCCCUUACGCUAGCGGGCAAGGCUUUUUUGUUUUUUUUUGUGUCUGGCGAUUGCAAUGAACGCAUGAACUCAGCAAGUGAGCUAACAACUUCCAACUUCGAUUGUCGUGGGGCCCACUGCAUAAUCUAACAGCCACCAUCAACAUCUCUAUGACGUGACAAUUUGUGAGUCGUUAAAUUUUCAAUGGCCUAAUGUUCUGGACUAUCGGAUUUCCAAUUCCAACAGUAAAAAAUUGAAAAACUUAUCAUUUUGACAUGUGUCACAUUCUAAUGCAUAUGAUUUUAGAUAUGUUUGGAAAUGAAUGGCCAUGAUUAAUCCAACAGUUAAAAAUUAUAAAAAAGGGGAUUUUUUAUUAUUUAUUAUUCUAUAAAUAUUGAAUCAUCUUCUGCAUUUCUCUCAACACAAUAUUUAUUUUUACUACAAUCUUCUAAAUUUGUUUUCAACUUUUCAAAUCCUUUUAUUACUAAAAAAAAUGAAUGAGAAGGUACUUUGGUCGGUCGAGGAAGAUGUUGCUUUGCUUUGUUUUUCACUUUCCAAAUCCUUCUAUCACAAAGAAUAAUAUUGUUUAAAUAUCGUAGUUGGUUAUCUUAGGCCUCAUUUGGCUGCUCGGACUGUACUGACUAUUUCAGUCGGAUAGGAUAAUCUGUCAUCGGACUGUACUGACUAAAUUAGUCAGGCGUCUGGUGCAGUAUCGUAUUAAUAACCGUAUUAUUUAUAAUGUGUUUGGUACUGUACUGGAUAAGAGAUCGGAUUAUAUUAUUUUUACUAAAAAAAUUUGAUGACUAAUGAAAAAAAAAAUCACAACAACCAAAUGCAUCAAAAUAAAAAAUAAAAUAAAAAUAAUAUUGUUUGUGAUUUUGAACUUUGAUAUUGUAUUUUCUAUUUGUCCUUUAUUUAAACCAAAUUAUAAAAAAUAAAAAUAAAAAAUCCUUUCUUCCCCAGAUCUUCUCCAUCGCAUAGCCCCCAGACACCCUCACUCCCUUCUCCAGUUUUCCUUACCAGUUCAAGAAAAUCUUCCCCCUCUAUACAGAAGAAGCGGAUUGUCGGUGUUGGCAUCAAUGGCUAGUGAGAACGGCAGUUACCCAUAUCAAACUGCAGAUUAUCAACAUUUCCCAAAUUUAACGUACUGGAGAUUCCCAGUGAGAACGACAUUUACUUGAAGUAAUGAUAUGAACUGGAGAUUCCCAGUGACUAUAUGAUACCUGAUUUCCUAAAUUUAAUCCAUAAUUUUAUUUUCAAUUUAUCGAGAGGUUGCAUUGGAUUGUCGAUAUCGUUGAACGGUGUUGCAGCGAUGUUGGGCAGUAGGUGAAUGCAGGCAAUUCUAGUGCUCCGACGACGUGGGUUUCGGUCAGAUCUAGUUCAAAUCCAGGGUCGAUGGCACGUGAACCCGUGCGGGUCCCGCAUAAGGAACUAAAGAGGAGAGAGAGAGGCAAAAAAGAAGAAAAGAGAAAGGGAAGAAGAAAGGAGGAGGAAGAAGAACCUGAGAUUGACGAUUGAGCGAUUUGGUGAAUGGGUUUGAGGAGAGAGAGAAGAAGAAAGGAGAAGGAGGAAGAAGAACGAUGGUAACAGAAGUGAGAAGAGAACGAUGCGCCACACCGAUGAAGCGAGGACACGAACCCAACUAAAUAAUACAGAGAUUUCUGGAAGGAUAAAUAAGCGGGCAGACACCGGAUAAAAGAUGUGGGCCCAGUUUAAGUAAUACGGGUACUAUUUAGUACGUAGUUGCACCAAACACCCGGAUCCAUAUUACUUAUCCUAUCCGAUUCCUUAUAUGGACUACCAAACGAGGCCUUAGUAUUGUAAUACCCUGAAAAUUUUAAAUAUAUGAAUAUGUGGAGAAAAUCGAAAAUAAAUCGAUUUAUGAUUAUGAAGAAUUAAAUCGAGCAUAUUACUGAGCUUUUAUAUGAUUUUUCAAGAAUUUAUAAUAAUUUGUGUAAGUUUAGUUUUAAAUUAAACUAGUUAUGAGAUUUAAAGUUUGGACCUUAAUUAUUUAAAAUACGUAGACCUUUCGAGGUCAAAAAUCAUAUUUUUGAAUAGAGCUCGACCUCAUGAAUGCGUAGGCGCAAACUGUUCGUGAAACAGAGUUAGAACGAAGAAUUUAUUAACGUUUAAAGUUAGGGGCAUUUUAGUAAAAUAGUUAAGUUCAAGAUAAUUCCAGAUUUUUGAGAAAAAUCUGGAAGGCCACGUGUGUGGCCGAGAUUUAAAGACAGAAAAUGGGCGGUGUAGAUGGAAAAUAAAGGAGAGAAAGGAGGGAGAGAGGAGCCAAUCAGAAAAAGAGGGAUGAAAGGUGACCAAUGAGAGAAGAGAGAAAUGGGGAGAAAGGAGAGAAGAGAGACACGGGGGAUCGGGACCCGGGUCUUGGUGACCCGACCCGAUCGGCAUCAUACACUUUUCCGGUGGAUUUUCACCCCUUUUUUCCGGUGAAAUGCAUCAAACCACCCCUUGGAAACCCCCUCCACGAUCUUCCCUCUUCCUAUUGCAUCCCAAAAAUCAUAAAAUUUGGUCUUGAAAUUUGGAGAAAGAACACUCGGUGCCGCGACUUUCCUUGCUUGAAAUCCAUCAAAAUCUGAAAUGUUUUGGUUCAAUUACAACCACCAUUAGACUCCCCUUAAGAGCUGGAAUAAAGCCCAUUCAUUGGUUGGGGUGUCGGAGUUGCUAUGGAGUCGAAUUGAGGACACCCAAAUCUUAGGGUUCCGACGGAUUUUGAUGAAAUUGGAGCCUUUUCCAGGCCAAAUUGGCCUUGGUUGCAGGUGUGAAAGUUUCUCUACUCAUUGAGAUCUUCAUUUCUGUAAUUUUUGAGAAUUUUUAAAAAUAAUUGAAUUUUUAAGCGAACCGGGACGGCCGACCGCCACCCGCGGUGGCGGGUGCAGUAGCGCACGGCCAGGGAGCCUACAAGUGUGUUUUAUGCGAAUUUCGUUAUUUUAAUUAUGUUUUUGAGAUUUAAUUGAUGUGGUUUGAAUAUUACUACGUUUUUGGUAUAUGUUGGAUUAAAAGAAUAUUUUCAGGUUUGGUUUAAAUUUUGAAGUUUUGAACUACGAAAGGCUUGAUCCCUGUUGAGGGUACGUAGGCAGUCUAACGAGACGUUAGAUGCAGCCAUAAAAUAAAUGUGUUUAAAUAUUCAAGAAUUAGUAUAUAGAUGGAAAUUGAUCCAAGAGAGAAAAUAAAUUAGCUAUGUUUUUAGGUUGGGCCUAACAUAAUUAUUUUCCCGAAAUAUACAAAUAUUUCGGGGCAGUGGCAUUACAAAUAUGCUAUACUUUUGCCUUGUAUUUGAAAUUAGAUAAUCGUUUUAUUUUAAAAAAACAAACUUACUAAGUUCACACUUAAACAUAUUUAAACAAACUUACAAAGGUCAACACACUUGCAGAUAACACAAUUAAAAUUAAACAUACCAACAAACAUGGAUCACACUUACAAGGCCAAACAAAGCAUAUAUAUAUAUAUAUAUGUAUGUAUGUAUGUAUGUAUAUGUAUAUUAUAUUGAUGAACAGUAUUGCCCUUGCUCUUGUCUUUGCCCAACUGGUAGUAGAGUUGCACAGAGACAAAGUAUUGUUCAUAGUAAAAAGUACGGGCAAGCCAACUGCCUUGUUCUUACACUUGCAUUCUCCAAACGGGUGAAACUGCUAUUAUGAUCGGUCUGAAGUAGACGCGCUUAUUCUUGGGUGAGGAAAUUGUCAGUCUCCUUAACAAGAACAACAGCUAACUGGAGCUGAAGUUGGGGAUCCGGAACCCCAUCAUGUAGCUUUUCAUAUUGUAAGACCAAAUUCACCACGCUGCCCUCAUCAUGAACGCCUAAUUUUGGAGUAACUUGUAAAGUGAUCUUAAAGCUCUUGUAUCGAUCUAGAGGGUUUCCUUCAAGCACUGUGAAAGUCACCGAAUGAUUUACAUCGUCUAUGGCUUCAGUUAACUCCUUGGAAAAAGUUGGUUUCCCAUCUGCUAACAUUUCAUCACAAAAUCAAUUACUUGCUUCAUCCACAAAAAAACAUGUAGACAUAUACAGUAAGAGAACAAUCUUUGAGCCACACUUACCUUCAAUAUAAUCCCACAAGAAGACACAACCCACUUUACCCCAUUCACCUUCAAGUAAUUUAUGACUCGGAACUUUGUCGGGGCUGAUGUUGCAUAUUUCGUAUGGUGUUCGUGCGAAGAAUUCAUGGAACCUGUUUGCUUCAGACUUGAUUUCAACACUCGUCUCCACCUUGCUAGAAUUUGACAUUUUCCACUAGUACCAGAGUUGAAGGAAAAACGACUUUGGCCCUUACACUUAUAUAGAAGAAAAGAGGGAAACAAAAACUUUACAAGAACCUAAUUUGCCCAUCAGACAUGGAUGUAUUUAUUCACUAAAAAAAAUGCGUUAGUUGUAUUAUUUUACUAGAACCGAACAAUUUGCCCAGUAGAGAUGGAUGGUGGAAUGUCUUGAUCAAUAUUAUUCCUCGUUUGCUCUCGUCGUUUCUAAGAAAACAAUGUUUUGUGGUUUUAUUAAAUAGCUGGAGACAAAAUGUUUCGAUCUUGUUCGUUUCUCUGUUUGUAUGCUUUUAUACAUGUUAUUUCUAAACAAUUUGUUUGUUUUAUGGUGGGCAUCUUUAAAAGUAAGAUACCCAUUUGUUUUUAGAGAAAUGUUAUUGUCACCUAAAAAUUUAAGUGUGUAUUUAUAAUUAUUUAUAUUUAAAAAGAAAAAUAUUCUUACAAUAAAUGUACAAUUAGAUUUUUGUAGUGUAAAUUUUCUGUCUUCAAUUUCGACUACUCGAAAUAUAUGAUCCGAUUGACCCCCAACCAUUGAGGUUUAAAUAUUUAUGGCUGGGGAAGACGAAUUCACCCAAACCUCGAACUCCUUUUCUUAGGAAAUAAAUUGAAAGUUAUAAUCUAAGGCCAAAUUCAAACCGAAACAACAACAUUCUAUUCUAUAAUUUCUCCUAGUCCUGAUCGGUUAGGGAUUCUAGUUAGUUCGUUUACAAACUACGUUGGCUAAUAUAUUUCAGUUACAGCUUCAUAUAUAAAUGCAUUCUUCGUCGAAUUAACAAAUAAUCAGUUUGUAUAAUUAAUUAAGAACAAGAGGACUCGAAACAGAAGCAGCAAAACAUGACCAUGACCAACAACGACAACGUUUUGGAGCCGCCCAUCAAUUUCUCGAUGGUGGAUGAGGGCGUAUUCCGAUCAGGCUUCCCGCAGCUGUCAAACUUCCCAUUCCUCCAAUCCCUUCAACUCCGUUCCAUUAUCUAUCUCUGCCCUGAGCCCUGUUAGGGCUUAAAAAGACUUUACUACUUUGGAGAUGUUUAUCUCACAAAGAAGAAUGUAAUGCAGCGGAAUUGAUAGGCAAGAGAAAGAAAGAACACUCAAAGUUUUUACACAAGAUUUUUUAUUCACUCACAAACUAGUACAAGAGGAAACACUUAAACACUCUUAGAAGCUUUGUUGCCUCUUACUUCUCACUACUUGCUCUCUUGGUUGUUUCAAAUGGUGUGGAUGCCUUCUCCUUUUAUAGGCAUGGAUGGAACCUUGGAGAAACAUGGAAACAUCAUGCUAGAUAUAUGACAAUUCCACUACCUUCCUAUGCUAGAAUUAUCUACACUAAUCUUGUAUGUUGGUGGAAUCCUCACCAUUCUUCUAGACUCUUCCACCAACUUGAACUUUGCUAGAAUUCUCUAGCAUGUGCAUGGAUCUUUCUUUGUGCAUGGGCUAGAUCCAUUAUCUUUGCGCCAAGACAAGAUUACAAUUCAACAUCCCCCCUUAAUCUUGUCUUGUGACGCCGAUUGUGUUCCUUAAUCUGACAAAGUCUUUUUGCCUGAGUGGUUUGGUGAAUAUGUCGGCGACUUGGUCUUGUGACUUCACGUAUUCCACUUGCACAUCCUUUCUUGCAAUACACUCUCUUAUGUAAUGAUAGCGGGUAUCUAUGUGUUUGCUCAUGUCAUGGAAUAUUGGAUUCUUUGCUAGAGCUAUUGCAGACUUGUUGUCGACAUAGAUCUCUAUUGGCUAUUCUUGUGGCAUGUUUAAUUCUUUUAGCAAGUUUCUCAGCCAGAUUGCAUGAUAGACACAUGAGGUAGCAGCUAUGUAUUCAGCUUCGCAGGUAGAGAGAGUGACAAUCGAUUGCUUCUUCGACAUCCAUGUGAAUGCAGUGUUUCCCAUAAAGAACACAAAUCCAGUAGUGCUUUUUCUAUCGUCGGAAUCUCCUGCCCAAUCACUGUCGCUAUAUCCAACAAGUUUGUAGUUAUCAGAACUUGAAUAGAACAAGCCAAAGUUAAUAGUACCUUUAAGGUAUUGAAGAAUUCUUUUGGCGGUCUUCAAGUGUGUAGUUGUGAGAUUCUCCAUGUAGCGACUGACUAAUCCGACGGCAUAGAGAAUGUCUGGUCUUGUGCAUGUCAAGUAGCGCAAGCUUCCAACUAAACUCUUGAAAAAUGUUGGAUUUACACUUUCUCAUUCGUCAUGCUUGGUUAGUUUGACUCCGCACCCCACUGUCGUGCUUAUGGGCUUGCAGUCUUUCAUUUUGAACUUUUUCAGUAUCUCAUAUGUGUAGCUUUCUUGGGAGAUGAAAAUGCUUUCUUCGUUCUGCUUGACUUCAAUGCCUAGGUAGUAUGCCAUCAGCCCGAUGUCGGUCAUCUCAAAUUCUUUGGUCAUCACUCUUUUGAACUCUUCAUACAUGCUUGGAUUACUUCCGGUGAAGAUUAUAUCAUCCACAUAUAAGCACACAAUCAGAAUAUCUUCAUCUUUGACUUUAACGUAGAGAGCAUGUUCAUGAUGGCACUUGAUGAAGUUGUUUUCUUGGAAGUACUUGUCGAUGCAACUAUUCCAUGCUUGUGGCGCUUGUUUUAACCCAUAAAGGGCUUUCUUCAGCUUCAGAACUUUGUCUUCAUGCCCUUUGAUUUCAUAGCCAAACGGUUGCUGAAUGUAGACUUCUUUUUCAAGGACUCCAUUUAAGAAAGCAGACUUCACAUCCAUUUGUUGAAUCUUCCAUUUGUUUUGAGCUGCCAAAGAAAUUAGUAAUCGUAUAGUUUCCAACCGAGCAACGGGUGCAAAUACCUCAUCAUAGUCGAUUCCGGCUCUUUGACUAUAGCCCUUUGCCAUUAAUCUCGCCUUGUAUCUUUCGACCUCUCCGUUGGCAUUCUUCUUUGUCUUAUACACCCAUUUGACUCCGAUGGCUUUGUGUCAUUUCGGAGAAUAGUGAGUUCCCAUGUAUUGUUCUUAUGGAUUGCUUCAAUUUCUUCAUCCAUUGCUUUCCUCCACUUAGUAUCUUGCAUUGCUUCUUGGAAGUCAACUGGUUCACAAUCAGCAAAGAGACAGAAAAGUGUAGGAUUAUCAAGUCUUUCAGCUACCUCAUAGAGAUCUCGUAGACUUCUUAUGUGUGGUACUUCUCUUUCAUUUAGACUCCCACUUGAUGAUGCUGAUGCUGGUGAAUUGCCAUGAUUGGUUGAUGUUUGUGAAGCAGGUGGAAUAGUGGAUUCUUGUUGAACCCCUCUUGCUUGCUCCAUCAUCCCUUGUUCAUUCUCUUCUUCAAACUAAGGAAAAAAGUGAAGAUCACCUGCAUGAGAGCCAAAAUCCCAUUCUCAUUCUUCAUCGAACGUCACAUCUCGACUGAUUACCAUCUUCCCAUUGUUUGGAUUAUACAGCUUAUAGCCUUUUGAAUUUGAGUUAUAGCCGAUGAAGAUGAACUUCUCACUUUUGUCGUCGAGUUUGGUUCUCCUCUCGUCUGGUACAUGUACAUGGGCUAUGCUUCCAAAAAUUCUUAGAUGGGAGAUACCUGGUUUUCUUCCACUCCACGCUUCUUGCGGAGUCUUUCCCCACACACUUCUUGUUGGAGACCGAUUGGAUUGGUAGACAACACAUGAUACAGCUUCUGCCUACAACUCCUUAGGCAAUCUCUUACUUUUGAGCAUGCUUCGAGCCAUGUCGAGGAUGGUUCGAUUUUUCUUUCCGCCACACCAUUUUGUUGAGGGGAUCUUGGAACUGUCAAAUGUCGACGAAUUCCAUUGGCUUCACAGAAUUCUUGAAAUUCCUUCGAAGUGAAUUCUGCUCUUCGAUCAGAUCUCAUGGCUUUAAUCUUGCAACCACUUUCUUUUUCUAUAGCAGCUUUGAACUUCUUGAAUGCUCCAAAUACCUAUGAUUUCUACUUUAAGAAAUACACUCAGGUUUUCCUUGAAAAAUCAUCAAUGAAGAGAAGGAAAUAAUUUAUUUUUACCCAAAGAGCUUGGUUUUAUUGGACCGCACACAUCGGUGUGAAUGAGUUCGAGUGGCUUCUGGGCUCUUGUGGUUGACUCUUUUGGAAAGCUUUUCCUGAACUGUUUCCCAAGUAAACAUCCUUCGCAAGCUUGAUCAGGACGACUGAUGCACGGUAAGCCUCUCACCAUCUCCUUCUUGGAUAAUAACUCCAGUCCCCCAAAGUUAAGAUGCCUAAAACGAAGAUGCCAAAGCCAUGAUGUGUCUUUGUAACAUAUCUUGAGACACUUUGCAACAUUGUUUUGAAUGUUCAUGGGAAACAUCCUAUUCUUUGACAUUUUCACCUUGGCAAUUAAUCUUCCUUUGUCAUCUAUAAGAAAAAGGCUAUAAUUUUUCAUGUGAAUAUCAUAACCUUUUUCUAAGAGUUGACCCAAGCUCAAAAUGUUGCUUUUCAUAUUAGGCACGUAGUAGACAUUUGAAAUUAAUUGGUGACCACCAUUUUUUAAGGGAAUAAGGAUGUUACCUUUUCCUUUGAUGGGUAUUUUGGAUUUGUUUCCAAAAGAAACGUUGCCACUCUCCGAUUCAUUGAGCUCUACGAACAUGCUUUUUCUUCCGCACAUGUGGUUGCUAGCGCCGGUGUCAAGAUACCAUGUAUAGUCUUGGUCUCCAUCAUUGUUCUUGCAUGCUAGUAGCACAAUGCCAUUAUCUUCUUUCUUUUCUUUCACAUAAUUGACCUUCUCAUCAGGCCUGUUGCUUGGAGCUUUACAUUCCCAAGCAUAAUGCCCAAACUUUUGACAAUUGUAGCAUUGAACUUGAGAUUUUUCAUACCUCAAGUUUGAGUGUCCUCUUCCAUGACCAUUUGUUGAGCUUCCUCCUUUUUCGUAGUUGUUAUGAUUGUUGAAGUUCCAACCACGUCCACGUCCAUGUCCGCGACCUCGACCGCGACUUCUUUCGUACUGGCUUCUCUCAUUAUCCAAUCUUUCUUCUUUCUUCUUUGGCUGGACAUGCGUCUUGAGGAGCUGCUCAUCAUUCCCUUGCCUCUUCUUAUGUUUCUCUUCAUAUGCUUGUAGUGAACCCAUUAAUUGCUCUAUACUAAUUUCUUCCAAGUUUUUUGUUUCUUCAAUCGUCACGACAAUGUGCUCGAACUUGGGGUCCAACGAGCGUAGUAUCUUCUCCAUAAUUCUAACAUUUUCUAACUUUUCUCCGUUUCUUUUUAAUUGAUUGGAAACGGCUAAGACUCUUGAAAAAUAAUCAGAGAUUGAUUCAGACCCUUUCAUUUGUAGAGAUUCGAACUCACCUCUUAGUACUUGAAGACGAACCUUUUUCACUUGUUUGACUCCUUUGUAAGAGGUUUGAAGCUUCUCCCAUGCUUGCUUGGCAGAGGUUGCACUCGAGACUUUCUCAAAGCCAUUGUCAUCUAAUGCUUGGUAGAUGAGGUAGAGCCUUCUUGUCUCUCUUUCUUGAAUCUUUCAAACUCUCAUUCUGGGGUUGGGACAGAGUAGCUUCAUCUUCUGGCUCAGUGUAGCCUUUCUCCACGACUUCCCAUACAUCAUGUGCUCCCAAAAGGGCCUUCAUUUUGAUACUCCAAUUAUUGAAGUUGUUGUUGUCGAGCACUGGAACUUGGAAGGCUGUCAUAGCGUUGCUAGCCAUAGCUCUGGUACCACUUUGUUAGGGCUUAAAAAGACUUCACUACUUUGGAGAUGUUUAUCUCACAAAGAAGAAUGUAAUGCAGCGGAAUUGAUAGGCAAGAGAAAGAAAGAACACUCAAAGUUUUUACACAAGAUUUUUUAUUCACUCACAAACUAGUACAAGAGGAAACACUCAAACACUCUUAGAAGCUUUGUUGCUUCUUCUCACUUCGCACUACUUGCUCUCUUGGUUGUUUCAAAUGGUGUGGAUGCCUUCUCCUUUUAUAGGCAUGGAUGGAACCUUGGAGAAACAUGGAAACAUCAUGCUAGAUAUAUCUAGACAAUUCCACUACCUUCCUAUGCUAGAAUUAUCUACACUAAUCUUGUAUGUUGGUGGAAUCCUCACCAUUCUUCUAGACUCUUCCACCAAUUUGAACUUUGCUAGAAUUUUCUAGCAUGUGCAUGGAUCUUUCUUUGUGCAUGGGCUAGAUCCAUUAUCUUUGGGCCAAGACAAGAUUACAAUUCAACAAGCCCUACCCGGAGGAGAGUUUGGAGUUUCUUCCGUCGCAAGGCAUUCGGCUCUUCCAGUUCGGAAUCGAGGGCAAGAAGGAGCGGUCUACGUCUCCGCUGAUUCCAGCAGAGACUAUCUCCGAGGCACUGAAAGUUUUGGUUGAAAUUGAGAAUCAUCCGGUGUUGAUCCACUGCAAAUGCGGCAAGCAUCGGACUGGUUGUCUGGUGGGUUGCCUGAGGAAAUUUCAGAAUUGGUGUUUGUCUUCGGCGUUAGAGGAGUACCAGCGGUUUGCCGGCGAAAAAUCUAGGGGGACGGAUUUGAGAUUUAUCGAGACGUUUGACGUAUUGGGCCCCAGGGGGGAUGCCUUCACGGCAUUGUCCGCCAUUAUUAUUAAGCUUAUGCUUCCGGAAAGAGGCGGUUGUUGUACAAACAAGAGUUGCAAACCCAUAAACCCUAGGUGAUGUUUUAGUUUUUACGUGUUGAAAUUUUAUGCCCUUUUAGUUGUACCAUAAUGAAAAUUCCUUCAUUCGCUUAGUGACGGGUCCCACGUAUGGGAGUGAUUUUUUUGUUGUUGUUGAUUUAGCAUAAUCACGAAAUUUAGACAUGCUUAUAAAUUUAGUCCUCAAUUUAGGAGUAGGAAAUUUUUAUGAAUAUAUGACGUGCAUGUUUACUUAAAAAAUUAGAAUGAAAAAUUAUGAAUCCAGAAAGUCAAAAAUACAAUGAAAGAAAUUUAGGAGUAGGAAAUCUUUUGACAUAUUUUUUUCUAUUUUUAUUUUAUUUUUUAGUUGUUGAAUUAUCAAUGUAAAGUAGAACUCAAAUACUUUUUGACUCCACAUAACCACAUAAAAAUCAAGAAUUGAAACAGAGUAAUUCUAAUACUAGUUCGUACUCUAACCUAGUGCAAAAAGUUAGAAUUGUAAAAAUUUAGAGCUGAUCUUGGUGAAAUAUAGAACGUCAUAGGACCAUGAUUCUGGAACUCCUUUCCCUCCUUCAACUGUGGUCGGCCUGGGUCAGAUUUCUCGUUCAGGGAUUUACCUCUUCUGAAUAGUCCGCCCUUGAUGGGUCAACUCUAGUUAGUUAAUCCAAGCAUAGGAAGAUGAGACAAAAUACACACAAAGUUGUUAGGAUAUCUUUUCUUUUUAUAUUUGAGCGAUAUUCUAAUCUAAUCCAAAUUCAUGGGAGGAUUCAAAUUUGGCUACACUCGGAUUCACAUAUUCGGAUUGAUUUUAAAUUAAAUCCAGGUUGAAACAGAAGAUAUUGAAGUUGGGAUUGAAAUAGAAGAUAAAGCGUAAUAUAAAGUUACAUUACAAUAACAUGUUCUAUUAAAUGAAAGUGACUAAAGAUUGAAAAAAAUGCUACACUGCGUGAUCAACUCCGGCAACGAGCAUUAGCACUGCAUCCACGGUUGUAGGGGUUACUCUGAUUCUGAGCACCCGGCUUGCAGUUGUUGGAGGAAGCACCUCUCUGAGAGCAAGGCACAGUGUUUCUCUGCAGAGCUUCAUAGCUUAUGUUUCGUGAGGUGGCUAAGAUGUGUUGAAUUAUAAGUCUCUAGCUGAUUAGAAAUAAGUUGUGAUGUUAAUAUGUGUAUGCACUUAUGUUAAAAUACUAAGUGAGAAGAUAUAUAGAUGUAAAGGCCAUGAGUGCCAUGUGUGAUGAUCUUAUAGAUUAGCUAAAUGUGUGGCUGAGAUCUGUUAUUUUGAAUGUCCAUGAUCCAGCUCAGGUUUUGUAAAGCUAUAUAUCCUCUCUUGCACGUUGAGUGCAAGCUAGAGAGACAUUUAAUGAAAACAUUAUUCUUCUGAGUAAUUGCAGAAGAAAGAACCACCACCUUCUCUCUCUGUUUUCUUUUUCUCUUUCGAAUUUGCUCUCUUUAAAAUACUAACAUGGCCUCAGAGCCUAUGUUCGAUUAGAUCUGGGCGUGUUCUGUGCACUCAAACAUCACCGGUUUUGGGUUCGGUGAAGUUUGCCGGAGUUUAUUUGUGAUCUAAGAACUACGUGUUCCUGGAUUCACACAAGCUCACGAUGGCUGAAUCUGGGAGUACUGAAGUAAGGACCCCGAUCUUCUCCGGUGAGAACUACGAGUUCUGGAGAAUCAAAAUGGUUACCAUUUUCAAGUCACAUGGACUAUGGAGUCUGGUGGAAAAAGGAAUUUCAACUCCCGAUUCGAAGAAGAAGAAAGCUAAGACUGAUGAAGAUACAGAUGUUGAUACUGACGAUGAUGAGAAAAUGGCUGCAAUCUUCAUGAAAGAUGCAAAAGCUCUCGGAAUCAUUCAAGGCGCAGUCUCCGAUCAGAUCUUCCCUCGAAUCGCAAACGCAGAUUCAGCAAAAAUGGCAUGGGAUCUGUUAUAUGGCGAAUAUCACGGUGGGGAUCAGGUAAGAUCGGUGAAACUUCAAAAUCUUAGACGAGAAUUUGAAUACACUAGAAUGCGUGAUGAUGAAUCUUUGACUGUGUAUCUUACUCGUUUAAAUGAUCUGAUUAAUCAAAUGAAGACGUUUGGUGAAACUCUGUCAAAUGAGAGAUUAGUUCAGAAGGUGUUAAUCAGUCUCACUAAGAUGUAUGAUCCUAUAUGCUUAGUGAUAGAAAAUACCAAAUGUCUAGAAUCUGUUGAACUGCAAGAGGUACUAGCUAUAUUGAAGAGUCAAGAGCAGAGGUUUGAUUUGCAUUCCACCGAUGUAACUGAGAGAGCAUUUUCUUCUCUUACUGUUAAUUCAAAAUGGCAGAAUCGAGGUUAUGCUCAGUCUAGUAUUUUUAAAUCACAGAAAAAUUGGAAUAAAAAGGGUAAGAAGUGGGAUUCAAAACCAAAGUUUCAGCAAAAAUCAUUCACAAAUGUUGCACAGAAUAGUACUUCUUCACAAGUUAUGGGUCAAGAGAGUGUAAAACCUCAAUGUAAAGUGUGUUCAAAGUUUCAUUAUGGUGAAUGUAGAUACAAUGGGAAAUCGAAGUGCCAUAAUUGUGAUAGAUUUGGACAUUGGGCCAAAGAGUGUACUGUUGGAAAGUCUGUUCAAAAGGCAAACUGUGCAAAUCAAAUGGAGGUGACAGGAAAUCUAUUUUAUGCAAAUUGUGCAGUUGCUGAGACUAAGGUCAAUGGAGAUUGGUACAUAGAUAGUGGUUGCAGUAACCACAUGACAGGAAAUGUGGAUUUGCUGGUUGAUGUGAGAACCAACAUAGCUGGCAAAGUUCAAAUGCCAACUGGAGAUCUUGUGAAUGUAGCUGGAAUGGGAUCACUGGUGAUAGACACAAAUAAGGGCAGAAAAUAUGUGAGAAAGGUAAUGUAUUUGCCUGGUUUAAAAAAGAAUCUGCUAAGUGUAGGUCAAAUGGAUGAGCACGGAUAUUUUCUUGUGUUUGGUGGUGGAGUGUGCAGUGUGUAUGAUGGUCCAUCACUGGAAUGUUUAAUCAUGAAAGUGAAGAAGAAAGUGAACAUGUGUUAUCCACUGGUUUUAUUAUCUGAGAAUCAAGUAGUCUUAAAGGCUAGUGUCACUCACUCCACUGAGAUUUGGCAUAAGAGAUUUGGACACCUGCAUCUUGAUGGUCUCAAACAGUUGAGAGACAAGGAUAUGGUACACGGCUUACCUCAGCUUGAAGACUACAAUGGAGUCUGUGCAGGUUGUCAAUUUGGAAAACAACACAGAGAAGAGUUUCCAAGAAGUCAAGUACAGAGAGCAACUUCUCCACUUGAACUUAUACAUGUUGAUCUGUGUGGACCCAUGAAAAAUGAGUCAAUUGCAGGAAAUAAAUAUUUCAUGCUUUUGGUAGAUGAUAUGACCAGGAUGAUAUGAAUCUAUUUUCUGCGAUACAAAUCUGAUGCAUUCAACUGUUUUAAAAAAUUCAAAGCCAUGGUAGAACUACAAAGUGGUUUCAAGAUCAAGUAUCUGAGAAGUGAUAGAGGAGGGGACUUCAAAUCAUUCGAAUUUGACUCGUUCUGUGAAAAAGCUGGAAUUCAAAGGCAGUUUACCCUUGCAUAUACUCUACAGCAAAAUGGAGUAGUAGAAAGGAAAAACAAGACUGUGGUUGAGAUGGCUAAAUCUAUGUUGCAUGAGAAGAGUUUACCAUAUUUUCUCUGGGCAGAGGCAGUUCACACAUCUGUGUAUGUUUUAAACAGAUGUCCCACAAGGGCUUUGAAAAACAUCACACCUUUUGAAGCCUACUCGGGAAGGAAACCAGGAAUAGCUCAUCUGAGAGUAUUUGGUUCAGCAUGUUAUGUUCAUGUUCCAAGUGAGCACAGACAUAAACUUGAGCCUAAAAGUUUCAAAGGGGUGUUUGUGGGAUAUGCAACUUGUGAAAAGGGAUAUAGGGUGUUUGAUCCCAUAUCAAAGAAGUUGAUAUUAUCAAGGGAUAUUGUUUUUGAUGAAGAAGCUGUAUGGAAUUGGGAAGUGAACUCUGAGCAGCCUAUCUCUACUACUGAAAACCUUGUUUAUGAUGAAUUAAGAACAGGAAGAAAUGAAGGAAUGAUGCAGACUCCUACCUCAUCAACAGCAUGCUCACCUAGGAAUGUUCUUAGUAUUGGAGAUUCUGUCCAAUCUAAGGGACUUACAUCAGGUGAAUCUGUAAACAACUCAAACUUGAGUGAAAAGGAUACUCAAGCAUUUGAUCAUACACCAUUGAAGUGGAGAAAACUGGAUGACGUCUUAGCACAAUGUAAUCUCUGUAUUAUGGAUCCAGAGAAAUAUGAAGAUGCCAAACAAGAUGUGUCUUGGUUAAAAGCCAUGGAGGAUGAGAUGUUCAUGAUUGAAAAGAAUGGCACCUGGAUGCUUGUUGAUAGACCAACUGAGAAACCUGUCAUUGGGGUUAAAUGGGUGUACAAAACCAAAUUAAACCUUGAUGGUUCAGUGUUGAAGAAUAAAGCAAGGUUAGUUGCAAAGGGCUAUGCUCAAAAGCCUGGCUUGGACUACAAUGAGACCUAUGCACCAGUUGCUAGGUUAGAUACUAUUAGAACUUUGAUUGCCUUAGCUGCACACAAGAGCUGGAAGUUGUAUCAGUUAGAUGUGAAAUCGGCUUUUUUGAAUGGAGUUUUACAAGAAGAGGUCUAUGUUGAACAGCCCGAAGGUUUUGUUGUUAAAGGCAAGGAAGAAAAAGUGUACAAACUUCCUAAGGCUCUCUAUGGUCUAAAACAAGCUCCACGAGCUUGGUAUGGUGAAAUUGAUAACUAUUUCACACAGUGUGAUUUUGAGAAGAGCCUAAGUGAACCAACUCUAUACAUAAAGGCAAGGGGAGAAGAUGUCUUGAUUGUUUCCAUCUAUGUAGAUGACAUAGUCUACACUGGAAACUGUAAAACAAUGCUAGAAAAAUUCAAGGAAGAUAUGAAGAUGAAAUAUGAGAUGACAGAUUUGGGAUUGUUACAUCACUUUCUUGGAAUGGGGGUGAUCCAAACCGACUCUAGCAUCUUCAUUCAUCAGAAGAAGUAUGCAAGUUCUUUACUAAGCAAGUUCGGUCUGAAUGAGUGCAAAUCUGUGAUCACACCACUUGUGGCAACUGAGAAAUUAACUAAAGAUGAUGGAAGUGGAGCAGUAAGUGAAGAGUUAUACAGAAGCAUUGUGGGAAGUCUUCUAUAUCUCACUGCUACUAGGCUAGACAUCAUGUAUGCAUCUAGUUUACUUGCUAGAUUUAUACACUGUCCUACUAGCAAGCAUUUUGGAACUGCCAAACGUGUGCUCAGGUACAUCAAAGGGACUAUAGACUAUGGUUUGGAGUAUACAAAGGGCAAGAAAGCAAUGUUGAUUGGCUAUUGCGACAGUGACUGGGGUGGAUCAUCAGAUGAUAGCAAAAGUACAUCUGGAUAUGCAUUUUCUUUUGGAAGUGGAGUUUUUUCUUGGGCUUCAGUUAAACAAAGUUAUGUGACAUUAUCCACUGCAGAAGCAGAGUACAUAAGUGCAUCAGAGGCUACUACUCAAGCUAUAUGGCUGAGAUUUGUCUUGGAAGAUUUCGGAGAACUACAGACUGAAGCCACUUCUCUUCACUGUGACAACACUUCUGCCAUUGCAAUCACUAGGAAUUCUGUCUUUCAUCAAAAGACCAAACACAUAGACAGAAGGUAUCACUUCAUUAAAGAUGCACUGCAAGAAGGAAUCAUUGAUUUGAUUUAUUGUCCCACUGAAGAGCAGAUAGCAGAUAUUUUCACAAAACCUUUAGCCAAUGAUCGGUUCAACUAUCUCAGAAAUUUGCUUGGAGUGAAAUCAGCUCAAGACUUAAAGGGGAGUGUUGAAUUAUAAGUCUCUAGCUGAUUAGAAAUAAGUUGUGAAGUUAAUAUGUGUAUGCACUUAUGUUAAAAUACUAAGUGAGAAGAUAUAUAGAUGUAAAGACCAUGAGUGCCAUGUGUGAUGAUCUUAUAGAUUAGCUAAAUGUGUGGCUGAGAUCUAUUAUUUUGAAUGUCCUUGAUCCAGCUCAGGUUUUGUAAAGCUAUAUAUCCUCUCUUGCACGUUGAGUGCAAGCUAGAGAGACAUUUAAUGAAAACAUUAUUCUUCUGAGUAAUUGCAGAAGAAAGAACCACCACAUUCUCUCUCUGUUUUCUUCUUCUCUUUCGAAUUUGCUCUCUCUAAAAUACUAACAUCGCCUGCUAAUCUCCGAGUCCAUGCCAAACUCAUCAUCACGAUCAUCCAUACACUCUGCUACAGAACCCUCGCAGCGAGGUCUCACUGGAACCCAGCUCACCCCAUGAUCGCCGCCUGCAUCAACGGAGAUGAUCAGAGCGGCCACGAAGGCCAAGGAAAAGAUAAUCGCUGAGGAAUUGGCCAUAGGUUUUGGUAUGGUCUGUGUUUUUAGCUGCCAACUUGUAUUUUGUUGUACGCCUGUUUAAUUACAGAGGGAGACAGAUGAGGCGGCAAGAGAGAGAAGAUAAAGUUGGUGAAUUCUUAUGUGUAUAUUAUUGCACUCCAUUGUGUUAUUUAUAGUAGUAAAAAGUAUAAAAAAGGGAAAGUCCUUGUUCUUUAAUUAAUCCAUAGUAGUAAGAAGGGAAAAUCCUUAUCUUUCAGGUAAUCCAUCUUAGAUAAGACACAAUCUACAAGAUAUUCUGCAGUCCCAUAAGGAUUUUUUACACACAUUCCUAGUAAGUUUGGACUUUGAUAUAUUUAAAUUUGAUUAAAUGAAAAAUUGGAUGCUGAUUUCUUCAAGGAGGUGAUUGUGGAUGCAAAUUUCUCCCUUAUUGAUCUUGGACAAAAUUGCACCUACAAAACAAUUAACACCUUAGGAUCAAGGCCAAGAGCCUCACGCGCCCACGAUGAACGCCGGGGGGGGGGGAGCUUUGGCCGAAGAACCUCUGAUGCCAAAGUUAGAAUUUAGAGAGAAAAGUGUUUAGAGAGUAUUGAGAAUUUUGCAAGUGUGUUGGACCUAGGUUUUGGUGAAAAUGGGAGUCAAUACAUAGGGCAUAGGGUGUAACUUAUGGUUUAAUGUGUGAUUUAAUGGAUUAAUUAGGCAAUUAAUCCAUUGAUUGGUUAAUCAACACAUUUUUGGAAUAAAUAUUUUGGGGGUUAUGUAAUUUAUACCUUGUGGAAAAUAUAGAAUGAGGAUGGAUGAAAUAACUUUGAAUUUGUUACUUAUUUUGGGCACGUUUGAUUUGGUUGAAGGAUAAUUAACCGCUGCUCGCACGUAGGAAUGCCGUUGUAACUCAAGAGUAUUUUGUCUUCUUUUGUCCAAAAAUCCAUGUGUUGCCUUGUGAUUAUUUUUGGCUCCAUAGUGAUUACUUAAAUGACUUGCACUAAUUAGCCUUAGGGCUAGUUUGGUAUUCCUGUGCUUUGAAAAAAAAACUGCUUCUGCUGUGAAAUAAAGCGGUAGAGUGUUUGGUAAACUUUUUUGUAAAAGUGCUUUUAGCAAAAAAAUCAGUGUUAAAGUGCUUGGUAAAUUUUUAUAUAAAACUGCUAUGAUUAUGUUAAAUGACUAAAAAUGAUAUAAUGUUAAAUUUAAUAUAUAAUUUUUUAUUUUUUAAUCUCUAUAAUUGUCGAGUCAUCCAAACUCUUCCAUUUUCCAAAUCCCAUUUAUAAUUCUAGAGUCAUCCUUUUCGCCUAAUUUUUUUUUUCAUUUGACUUUCAGAUCCGAUAUGUUAGCGUUCCGUUGGUCAUCAGACAGGAUCACACUAAGCGUAGGCUGUUUCCGGAUCAGAUCUAGCCGAAGAGCUCUCCCCCUAUAACUUGAAUAUGGCAGUUUCCCACUAGCCGCUUAAAGGAGUACUCAAGGAUUACCCUAUUACCAAUCUCGAAUUGGCCUCCUACUGUCCUCGCUAAGAAAGAGUCUGCCCGCUUAAUUCAAUGAAGGAGUUGAUAUUUAUCUAUUAAAGUAAUUUAUCAAUUACGGAAUUCAAGGUCGGAUGAUAUCAGUUCUCUGUACCCAAGAAGUUCGGGGAAAGGAAAUAGAAGCAAUGCAGACUGAAUUUGACGAACUCCCCACCCAUACUAAAAAGCAAAUAAAGACCCAUGUUUAGCGUCCUCCACUCUAAGGACCACAUUAUUGAAUAUGAUAGUAGACAGAUGGCAUUAUCCUGUAUUGACAAAUGUCAUAAUCGUGUGAGAUCAUUGUUGAGAUGUUAGCUUAGUCAAUAAGCUACUAUGUUUACUAUAAAUAGGAGAUUGCACCACCAUGUAACUAAGUCUUUUGUAAUUCAUUACAAUCAAUAUACAAAGAUAUUUUCUCUCUAUCUCUCUUUUUCUCUAUUUCUUUCUUCCUUGUCGAUGGGUUUCUUGAUUUCUACUUCCGCAACUCUGUUAUCAUGGUAUCCAAAGCCAAGUUCUCAAUUCGAUCUUCAGAAUUAAUGCUGGAAUUCAAAGCGGGGGAUGGUCUUGUGAAGGGAGUUAGAAUUUUUUUUGAGGUGGUGGAGAUUUCUGUUCGUCGGUGCCGUGUCGGUGUACUUCAAUCUCAUCUUCAUGCUGAUUUCUUUGAAGAUUUGAUGGUAUCUGUUCUUAUUCCUCUAUAAUUCAUACUUUGUUGAUUUCAAUUCAAGGCACGAAGCCAUUCUUGAGCACGAAGCUGAUUGUCUUUUCCGGUGAAAUUGAUCAUGCAAAAUUGGUGUUCUCUUGAGUGUAUAUUGGACAAUUGUUGAUUGUAUAAGCAAGAAAUGUUAGGGCACAAUGCCAUACUCUUGAAAAUUGUUUCCAAUUGUUGAUAUUUGUUGAGUUCUGAGAUAAUUGAAAAGUUAGGGCACGAAGCCAGAUUGUUGAGAAAACUUUGGGGCACGAAGCCAGGUUCAUUUUGUAAAUCUUGAAGGUUAUUGUUGAAUUGGUGUGUAUUGAUUCUGUGGUUCAUGAUGGCGUCUUCGUUUAAGAUUGAUGGUUUGUUAGGCAUGUUUACCAUUCGUUUGCAAGAAGACAAUUUUGCCAAAUGGUCAUUUCAAUUCUGUUUUGUGCUUGAAGGGUAUGAUCUGUUCGAUCAUUUUGAUGGUACUAAUGUUUGUCCGCCUAAGUAUCUGAUUUCUUUGGAUGGUGGUGUUACUAAAGAACUCACACAAGCUUAUAAGGAAUGGAUUAAAACUGAUAAAGCUUUGUUGAGUUUACUCAUCGCCAUACUUGGUGACGAGGCUAUUGAAUAUGUUGUUGGUAGUAAGACUACAUUUGAAGCCUGGACUAAUCUUACUGAUAGAUAUGCUACAGUUUCUAGGGCUCGCAUUAAUCAUCUCAAGACUGAAUUCUAUACAAUCAAGAAAGGGUCCGAUUAUAUUGAGAAAUAUUUGCUUCGGCUGAAGAAUUUGAAAGAUCAAUUGCUUUCUGCAGGGGAAGUGAUUUCUGAUAAUGAUUUGAUAGUGGUUGCUCUAGCUGGUUUACCUUCUGAGUAUAAUAUCAUUCGUACUGUAAUUGUUGCCAGAGAAACACCACUUACUCUUAAAGAAUUUCGAGCACAGUUGCUCAGUGCUGAGAGGACUGCUGAAGAUUUACCAAGUUCUCUUCAUUAUCCAAUAGCUGGAAUGUACUGUCAAGGAGAGUCUUCGAAUUCUGGUGGCUAUAAUGGUUUUCAUGAUCACAAUACAAGUAAUGGGAGGCAGUUUUAUCAUGGAGAGUCUUCGAACUCAGGUGGUCAAGUUAGUUCUCAUUCUACUGAAAACUAUGGUUUUGUGGGGCAAUACAACAUCUCUAAUCCAAGGGGUCAUUCGAGUGGGAGCUUCUCUCAAGCACAUAUUCCUCAGCAAUAUAAGUCUCAUAGACCUAAUAGUAAUAAUGGUGGUUCCAAUGGUUCUCGGUAUAAUUCCAGAUCAAGAUUCAAUGGGGGUUUUAAUACCAGACACAAUGGAAAUAAUGGUUUUUCUAGUAGCAGUGGUUCAAACAGUAAAUGGGGCUCUUCAUGGAACAAUUGGAAUGGCAAUACUGGACAGAAAUCUCAUGUGAUACCCGAAUGUCAAAUUUGCAGUAAGAGAGGGCACACUGCUCCCAACUGUUAUUAUAGAAAUGAACAGCAGCCUAUGGUUAAUCAAGGUAUUCCUGAGUGUCAAAUUUGUGGCAAGAGAGGUCAUGUUGCUCUUAAUUGUUUCCAUCGAAGCAACUAUGCAUAUCAAUGAGCAAAUCCACCUGCAACAUUGACUGCUAUGACUGCUCAAUCUUCCUCUGAUUUUAAUGCAAACCAAGCCUGGAUUAUGGAUACUGGUGCUACCCACCACAUGACUGAGGACCUUCAUGAUCUGAAUGUUGUCACACCAUUUGAAGGAGAUCAACAAAUCACAGUUGGAAGUGGAGAAUGUCUUCCAGUGAAACAUACUGGUUCCAAUUCUCUUCACACUUCUUCUAAAACUUUGAAUCUUCUUACUGUGUUACAUGUUCCUAAUCUUGCAGCUAGUUUAUUAUCCAUUUAUACCUUGUGUAAGGAUAACAAAUGCUAUGUAAUCAUGGAUGAAUUUGGUUUUUGGGUGCAGGACAAGGCAAUAAGGGCAAUUCUAAUGAGAGGAAUGAGUAGUGGCGGUCUGUAUUACAUACCAAAGAGUUUGUUCUUCAAGCACAAUCAAUUGCGACAGUCUGAAUCUUUUCCAAAAGCUUAUCUUGGGAAAUUGGUGCAAGCUUCCUUAUGGCAUCAUAGACUAGGUCAUCCUAGUAAUGCAGUGUUACAUAGUAUGCUUUCUCAUUCUCAGAUUGUGUAUAGGUCUGAUAAAAAUCAACAUGUAUACAGUGAUUGUUUGAGUGGCAAGAUGUCUAGACAAAGUUUUUCUUCUAGUUCUCAUAUCUCUGUAAGACUUUUUGAAAGGGUUUGUAGUGAUGUAUGGGGACCAUCUCCGGUUGUAUCAAUUGAAGGCUAUAAAUACUAUGUGAUUUUUGUUGAUGACUUUACUAAGUUUACUUGGUUCUUUCCUUUGACUUAUAAAUCUCAAGUUGCAUCAGUCUUUGAGCAGUUUUAUGCCUUUAUUCAGAACCAUUUUAAAACCUCAGUACAAUACUUUCAAUCUGAUGGAGGAAGUGAAUACAUGAGUUCAAAUUUUCAGAAGUUUUUGAAAGCUAGAGGUAUUAUACAUUUAGUUUCUUAUCCUUAUACCCCUCAACAAAAUAGGAUGGCUGAGAGGAAACAUAGGCACAUAAUUGAGACUGCAAUCACACUGUUGAAUUCAGCUAAGUUACCUCAUAAUUUCUGGACACAUGCAUGUAUUCAUGCUAUCUUUCUCAUAAAUCGAAUGUCAUGUUCUUCUCUGGACAUGAAUUCUCCUUAUUUUAAACUCUUUGGAAGUCAUCCUGUGUUACAUUCUGUUAAAGUGUUUGGGACUGCAGUUUAUCCUUAUCUUAGACCCUAUGUAAAGAAUAAAUUGGAACCAAGAACUGAACAGUGUGUUUUUCUGGGAUAUAUGUUGGGUUACAAAGGUGUGGUCUGCUAUCACAGGUCCAGAAAGAGGUUGUUUAUCUCUAGGCAUGUUUUUUCCUUUUCACAAACCAUGCAUAGUUCAAAGCAGACAUGAUGUUUCAUCUUCUUCUACGAUCCAUCCUAUCAUUGUUCCUUCUGUAUUUUCUGUUCAAUUUGCAAAUUCAGCUAGUAUGGUAGAAUUGGGUGAUCAUCACGAUUUUGGUCUACUUAGAUCUUCUGCAGUACAUACUUCUCAUUGUGCACAUAACAAUGGCUCCUCUUCCAGAGUAACAUCUGCUAGUUCAUUUUCUUUACAGGCUUCAUCAAAUUCCACUACUCCACUCUCUUCAUCAGCAUCUUCACAUGCCCUGUUGCCUGUCCCAAGUUUGCCUCACCCUGAGGUACAUUCCCAUCCUGUUACUUAUGCUAAUGUACCAGUUAAUGAUGACAAUAUUGUUGCUUCUCCUCUAUCCUUGUCAACUCAUCCAAUGCAAACAAGAUUGAAGACGGGAACCAUUUCUCGAAAAGAUUACACUGCAUGUUCAGCUAGUACAUCUCUUGAAUCUUCUGACAAUUCAUUUGGUUCGAGUGUUUUUCCUUGUCUUGGUUUCACUGAUGUCUUUGAUAUUAAGGAACCUACAGAACCAUCAUCAUAUAAACAGGCUGUUACUUGUGAACAAUGGAGAGAAGCUAUGAAAGAGGAAUUCAAUGCUCUUCAUAAACAAGGAACAUGGGAACUUGUUCCAAUGCCUACUAACAAGAAUGUCAUUGGCAGUAAAUGGGUAUAUAAGAUCAAACGAGAUCAGAAUGGCAAGAUAUCAAGGUAUAAGGCGAGAUUAGUAGCUCAAGGUUUCAGUCAAGAACAUAGUUUGGAUUAUGAAGAAACUUUUAGUCUAGUGGUCAGACACAGUACUGUUCGGAUUGUUCUUGCUUUAGCUGCUACAAAUAAAUGGCCUUUAAGGCAAUUUGAUGUUAAAAAUGCAUUUCUCCAUGAAGAUUUGCAGGAAGAGGUUUUCAUGAAGCAUCCUCAAGGUUUUACAGAUUCAUCUCAUCCUGAUUAUGUCUGUAAAUUGAUUAAGUCCCUUUAUGGCCUUAAACAGGCACCUCGGGCAUGGAAUUCUAAAUUUACAACAUACUUGCCUUUUCUUGGUUUUGUGGUUUCCGAAUCAGAUACAAGUUUAUUUGUCAAGACCCAAGGUGAUGCAGUUGUUAUUCUUCUUCUCUAUGUUGAUGAUAUAAUCAUCAUUGGAUCUGAUUCAGUAUUGGUUCAACAAGUUAUUUCCAAUCUUAGAGAGGUAUUUGAUAUGAAGGAUAUGGGGGCUCUCACAUUUUUUCUUGGAUUACAUAUUACUUACCAAGUGAAUGGCGAUUUGUUUCUUUCUCAAUCGAAAUAUGCCAAAGACUUGAUAAAAAAGGCGGGUAUGACUACUUGUAAGCUUUCUCCUACUCCUUGUAAACCUCAUACACAACUAUUGCGAAAUGAAGGAACUCCACUCAUUGAUCCUACUAUUUUUCGAAGUUUAGUGGGUGCACUGCAGUAUCUGACUUUUACCAGGCCUGAUAUUGCGUUUGCUGUCAAUUAUGCAUGUCAAUUCAUGUCCAAUCCUACUGAUGUACAUUUUGAGUUAGUCAAACGCAUUCUGAGGUAUUUACAAGGGACUGUUGAGUGUGGUGUUACUUAUUCAUCUGCUGAUACUAUGGAUCUCACUGCAUUUAGUGAUGCUGAUUGGGCAUCGGAUAUCAAUACCAGAAGGCCCACAACAGGAUAUAUGGUGUUCUUGGGACAAAAUCCAGUGUCUUGGCAGUCUAGAAAACAAGGUAGUGUUUCAAGAAGUUCGACAGAGGCCGAAUAUAAAGCUCUAGCCAAUGCUACUGCAGAAAUAGCUUGGAUUCGAUUGAUUCUUAAAGAUUUGAAAGUGUUUCUGCCUUCUCCCCCACUUUUGCAUUGUGAUAAUGUUUCCACUAUUGCUCUGUGCUCUAAUCCUGUUUUUCAUACCAAAAUUAAACAUCUCGAUACGGACUUUCAUUUUGUUCUUGAACGGGUUCAAAAAGGAGAUUUACAAGUGGAGUACAUUUCUUCUACAGAUCAGGUUGCUGAUAUUCUUACAAAAUGACUUCAUGGACCUGUUUUCUUACAUCAUUGUCUUAAUCUCAAACUGGGUUCCCCAGUUGCGAUUGAGGAUGGGGUAUUGAAUAUGAUAAUAGACAUAUGGCAUUAUCCUGUAUUGACAAAUGUCAUAAUCGUGUGAGAUCAUUGUUGAGAUGUUAGCUUAGUCAAUAAGCUACUAUGUUUACUAUAAAUAGGAGAUUGCACCACCAUGUAACUAAGUCUUCUGUAUUCAUUACAAUCAAUAUACAAAAAUAUUUUCUCUCUAUCUCUCUUUUUCUCUAUUUCUUUCUUCUUCCUUGUCGAUGGGUUUCUUGAUUUCUACUUCCGCAACUCUGUUAUCACACAUUAUCCAGAAGUUCAUUCUCAUUUACCUCAAGAUCAUCGACAAGAUCGAUCUUCCAAUUUCUGAGACUGAGAUUUCUACCUUUUUUCCCCCUAGUUAUAUAACUUCCACUACCACUAGUUUCCCAAUUUCAUCUCCCCUACCAUCCAUGGCGUCUGCAAGCUCUCACAAACACCCAUCUCCUCUGUCAUCCACUACUUUCCCCAUCACUUUCCCACCUUCCUCUUGGAGUUGUAGAAGGAGCUUGCUAUGAAGAUCUGUUGUGUGAAAUUGUGCAUCUUGGAUUGAAAACUUUUUUAACACUGGGUUUUGGAUUUGUUUCCUGGUCUGCAAUGCGACGACGAGUUGAAAAAUACUCUGAUCAGAUUUCGAUUUCGAAAAUUAAAAUCUGGUAAAACAAGAAUAUCAACGAUGAAGAUUCGAUCUCAACCCAAUGAGAAGGAGAAACGGAGGAGCGUAUUUUUGAGAUUGUGAAAGUUUCAUUAAAAUCUACUGUUCACCCGCCUUCUUGAAAAAAUAAAAGCUGGUUUUGAGAAGCAGCAAAAAUGCAACUUCUGAUUUUUGCCACUUUUCAGCUUAUAAUGACCUGUGAUUUUUAAAAUAAGCAGAGUUACCAAACACAAAUUGUACUCCAAUUUUUUUUCAUCCCAGCUUUUAAAAUAAUUUAAGCAGUACCAAACCUUACCUUAUUCUAAUUGCAACAAAGAAAGCUGAAACUGGAAUAAUUCGUGAUUUGUUCAAACCAAGAAUACGAAAUCAACAACCUACUAGAAAAUAUGCUCGUAGAGAUUUACGGGUUGUUUCAGCAAGUAAUUUUGCUAAAAGCGCUUUUAUUAAAACAACGUUGAUAAAUCACUUUUAUAAUGAUAUAAGCAUGCCAAAAGAUUAAACUAGUUUACAACAUCAAUAUUAUAAUGAUAGUACUCUCAGUUCAUUCUUGCUCAUAGAAUUAAAGAGAGAAACCGAACUAAACAACAAUGCGGACUAGCUUGGUCAACUCUCAGGCCUUUAUUCUUGAAGAUAGCAAAAUUACUCAAAGUUCCAUAUCAUAUGUAUGCAUAAAUCUUGUGCUUGGCACUUAUUCCUUGAGAAGAUGUGCAUCAAUAUCUUUAAUGACAUUGACCAUAAAGCUGAGGUACUUCUGUGGAGGCGGAUCGUUCUCGUUGAGUUUUUCAUAUUCUAAAGUAAUUUUCACAAAACCUCCUUCACUCUUUGGAGUGACCUGGAAAAUGAUCUUGUAGCUUUUGUAAUUGUCCAGCACAUGUGAUCCUUCCAGAGCUGUAAGACUCACCCACUUGUUUACUUCAUCUAUUUCCACCUUUUCCUUGAAUGUCUCGACAUUUCCAUCUACACGUCACAUGGAAAAUUACAAUGAUACAUCUAUUCAUGGAGAGAUUUUUCAAUGCUCAGAACACUAGGUGGUACGACACAUUAUUAUACAAACGAAUGAAAAUUAUUUUCAAGUGUCUUUUCACUUAUAUAAUGAAAUAUAAUUUAUGUAUCCAUGUUCCGAGCACACUAAAAAUUCUCUCAUGUCCAUGAUCCGAUUCUUUAUAUAUUCAUCGUCAGGUAAUGCAAACCUAAUGGCGCAUGGAUGGCCUGGUCAAUAUAUUUCAGUUUUAAUUCUAGAAGAAUCUUAUACGUACAUAUACAUAUCACGUUAGCAUGUUUAUUUCAUAGCAGGUUAGUUUGUGUUAUUAAAAAAAAAAAAAAAUAAUAAUAAUAGUAAUAAUGUUACAGUAUUAACUAUAAACGUAACAUUAUUAUUAUACAACUUUUUUUAACAAACAAUAUUAUCUACAUUAAGGGAAAGAGGUGAGCUUAGCCUCACAAUGUUUGAACGAUGGAAAUAAAUUUGGACUUUUGACAAAAUUUAGAAUUUAUAAAUUAACAUGCACCAAUUCUCUUGUCUAGAUUCAUAAACAUAGAAAUUUAGAAUUUCCGCGUGAAAAAAGGGAGAAUUUGAGACCUCCAAUUCCCAAGUUUAAAUUUCAUGUAAAUAAGUCACUCAGUAUUACAGUCUUAUAGUAUUUCUCUUCACUUGAAAGUGAGAGGUUAUAGGUUCGAAUCUUGUUAAUGACGAAUUUGAUACCAAAUUAGGCUACCCAUUGUGUGGCUUUGCCGAACUCCCCCUCCCCUUAGUGUAAAAAUAUCGAUGUACUAAAAAAAAUCAUGUAAAUAGGUGUUAUUCCAAAUUUUUAUGAGUGAGAGUUUAAAGAUAACAAAUUCUAUAUUGAAUUUAUAUUAUUCUUUUAAGUUAGUCAAACAAGAAAAUUUACAAAUUCUAGAAAUAAAAUUUCAUAGUAAUUUUAAAUUUUCUCAUUCAAACAUAAUGUUAGAGUCAUGAUGUAACACCCGUCGCUUUUUAUUUAACAAAAUUAAUUAUUAGUUUAACUAGGUUAGGAGGAGAGAGGAGGGUGAUUAAUUUCAUAUUACCUAGGGUGUAUUUCCAGAGCUUGACAGAGCCAGAAGUUUCCCAGUCACCUUCAUGUACUGCAACAUCGUGUAUUUUAUCAGAGGCUGCUUUGGGGACGUCGUGGUGCUGGUUGCUGAUGACUUUGUACAACUUAUCAGCGUUGGCUUUGAUCUCUACCUCAACCUCCACAGUCAGCUUGCAAGCACCAGCUCUGUUGAAUAUAUCAGUCCACCUCAUCAUUCCAGCUCAGCAAUAGUUAGUUAGGCUGUUAUCAAAUUAGUUAGUUAAAUAGCUUAGGCUGUAAACUAGUCAUGAUGGCUAUAUAAACUGUAUUCUCAUAGUUGUAAAGAUUAAUUCAGUAUCAAUGUAACCAAUUACUGUCUCUCUCUCUUAUUCCCUUUUCUCUCUUCUUCUUCGGUACAUGCUCUUUCUGCAACUCUUCAUUUCUGUUAACAUGGUAUCAUCGCCAUGGAUGAUCUUUUGACUUCCGUUGUAGUACCUCUGAUGGGUAGCUGAUCUCUGUGUAAGGUUGAUGACGUUUUGCUGUUCUUGGGAGGCUUCGAUACUUGUCUAUGGAGUUUUCGUUGGUGAUGAAGAUCUGUGCGCUCCAGGUGUUUGAUAAUUUGUGUCAGCCAAUUGUCGGAGUUUGCGAGGAUUCUGGUAUAGGUGUGUCAUCGCCGGAGGUCGGUUCUUGGUGAUUUGUUGCUCUUCCGCUGUGGGUGAACAAGCUUGGAUGUUCGAGUGCGUUUUCUGGGUUUCAAGAUUCAAGUUCUCAGGUUUUGUUUCUGAUUACUAGUUUUCUUUCCAGCAUAUCAACUAUUGUGACUCAGUGAGAAUUUUGUUGGGAAUUUCGGAAGUGUCAAGGCCAAUAGCCGUAUACUUCAGAUUUGUGAAGAGUUCAAGGUCGAAUGUCAUAUUUGAGAAUCUUUAAGGCAAAUUGCCAUUUCUCAGUUGCUAUAAAAUUGUUGAUUGUAUUUCCCUAAGGCCGAUUGCCGGGAUUUUAUGUUGUCUAAAAGAUUGUCUGUUAAUUGGGUUCUCUGUGAUUGUAUGCUGUACUCCCUUAAGGCCGAUUGCCGGAGUAUAAAGCUGUCUGAAAGUUGUUUUCUUGAUGCAAAGUGUUUGUUGGGAUAGAGAGGCCGAUAGCCAUUUCCCUUUUAUGUUUCACUUCAGAAAGGCCGAUAGCCAGAAGUGUGUGUAGAACAUUAACUGAUUUAGAAGAAUAUGAAGGCCGAUUGCCAUUUCUUCUAAGAGAAAGAUUGUUUAGUAGGAUUUGAAGGUCGAUUGCCAUUGUUGAAAGAUUGCUGAAAGAUUGAAUCUUUGAUUCAUUAUUGGGUAUUGUUUGAUUGUUUGUUGGGUAUUGUACACUCAAGAAGGCCGAUUGCCAAGAGUGUCUUAGUUCAAGAUUCUGCAAAGUUGUUCAUAUUCUAUCUGCAAAAGUGAUGUGUGAUGAUAAUGGGAUGAGCAACCUGUUUUAGUUUUGGCAAGUUUGAAAGGAUGAUAACUAUAUGUGGUUGUACCUUAUCGCAAAAGAAAAUAGUAGCUACAGAGGUGUAGAAAUCAGUUUGAGGGGCUGAAAUUCUUUGGGCAGUUGAUGGAUGAGUAUGAAAUUGCAUCGUUCUUAAGUAAUUUUCAAUGCUUGCAGCCAUGGAGGAUUAAUUGGUGAGGAGCAGCAGAGCUAGGAGUAUAUGGACAAGAAGGACUUCCUAAGUUCUACAUUUCUCAAAGCACUCAUUCAAUCUCCAACUAGGAAACUCAGUUGAGAUUGAGGGGGGAUGUUGAAUAUAUCAGUCCACCUCAUCAUUCCAGCUCAGCAAUAGUUAGUUAGGCUGUUAUCAAAUUAGUUAGUUAAAUAGCUUAGGCUGUAAACUAGUCAUGAUGGCUAUAUAAACUGUAUUCUCAUAGUUGUAAAGAUUAAUUCAGUAUCAAUGUAACCAAUUACUGUCUCUCUCUCUUAUUCCCUUUUCUCUCUUCUUCUUCGGUACAUGCUCUUUCUGCAACUCUUCAUUUCUGUUAACAAGCUCCACUCACUGCCAUUUUCUUUUAUUUGUUAUUAGUAAUAUGUGAUUAGUCUGGGGAAAUUGUAGGAGACGUAUACUAACCUACAGGUUUCAACUUCUUAUAUAGAGUCGCAAAGUUGUAAAUUAACAUGUUAUAAACUGAUAGUUAUGGAGGCAGCGUGUGGAUAUGAUCCGAUCACUUAAUUAAAUAGUUAUAUAAUAAUAUUGUGUCUGUGGAUCUUCCACGCAGAGUUUUAUUAUUACACCUACCAAACUUAAGAGCACCCGCAAACUUGAUGAGACAUAUAUCAACACGUGAGAACAAUGAUUGAUCAACAUUACCUCCAUAGUAUUAUUAGAGUGAAUGAUUGUAUGAUAUUAAUUAAGCAUUAAGAUCUUGGGAACUUUAAUGAAAAAUUUCUGGUAUUAUUCAUUUUAAUAAAAAAUUAUAUUUUUACAUUAAAAAGUCAAUCUUAAUACUAUUCACUUUAUUCUUUAUUUUGUCCUUAUUGUUAAAACUCAAAAUUUUCAAGCCAUUUUCAUUAAUUUUCUUUAAGAUCUUUUGAUUUGGCAUGCGGAAGUGUGUGUUUGUAUAUUAUAUAGGGAUAAUACUAAGUUAGGUUCAUAUUAUCUUAACUAGUGAUAAAUUAAGGGUUCUUUCGAGUUAUUCGAAACAGUGGUUUAUAUUAUCUUGACAUACGUGCAACCAAACACAAAAAAGAGAGGCUGUAUUGGCUUCCAAAAUAAAACUAGAUGCAAACAAUAAUGUGGAGUUCCGGUUACUCUUUUGGAAUCAACCAAAGCUGAAUCAUUGAUGCCUACUUUCAGAAAGUUUUCCUUUUCUGCAUGCAGAUCUUUUCAAUGGAUGUAGCUCGUUUUGGGAGGUAACCACUUACUUCUUCGAGUUCAUUAAUUUUAGUCAAUCUAAAGUAAUUUAAUUAAGUUUAUUAACCUUACAAUUUUGAGCGUUAAUACUCAAUUUUGGAGGAAUUGCAUCACGUUUACGUAAAGGCAAUCGAAAUAAUAGAGUGGAAUUAAAUUUCAAUUACGGAAUACUCCAGUAUUUACUAAAUAUUGGAGAAUAAAAAAUUUGAUAGCACCCACUCAAUUUUUUUAAUCCAAUACUAAUUCAUACUCAAAUUUUGGAAUAAAAAAUCUAAUACUAAUUCGUACUCAUCAAAUGAAAGUAAAAUCUAAUUCUUCAUUUUUUAAGUACUUAAUUAUUGUAAUGUGAGUAAACGCAUGAAAAUCAUGAUUUAGAAUAUUUUCUAAUGCAGACUCUAAGUCUGAAAUUGAAAUAUAAAGAUAGCCCUUGAAGGGUCGAUUCUGGUUAAUCUAGGCAUGAGAAUACGAAAAAAUACACACAAAGUUAUUAAGAUAGCUUUCCUUUUUUAUAUUUUAGCGAUAGUCUAGUCUAAUCCAACAUUAGACCACAUUCAGUAAUUCAAACUAAGAGAAGGGGGAUUCAAACUUGGCUACACUCGGAUUCUCAUAUUAGGAUUGAUUCUGAAGUAAAAGAAUAUAACCAAGUUGAUCAAGAAAUUUCAAAAUUUCUAAUGGAAACUUAUUAGAAUUUUUUUGUGAAUGUGUUGAAGUUGGGAUUUUUUUGUUUUCGUAUUGAAGUUGGGAUUGAAACAGAAGAUAAAGCAUAAUAUAAAGUUUCAUUACAAUUAACAACAUGUUCUAUUAAAUGAAAGUGACUAAAUAUUGAAAAACAUGCUACGCCGCGUUGAUCAACUCCGGCAACGAGCAUUAGCACUGCAUCCACGGUUGUAGGGGUUGCUCUGAUUCUGAGCACCCGGCUUGCAGUUGUUGGAGGAAGCACCUCUCUGAGAGCAAGGAACAGUGUUUCUCUGCAGCGCUUCAUAGCUUAUGUUUCGUGAGGUGGCCAAGAUGCGCCUGCUAAUCUCCGAGUCCAUGCCAAACUCAUCAUCACGAUCAUCCAUGCACUCUGCUACAGAACCCUCGCAGCGAGGUCUCACUGGAGCCCAGCUCACCCCAUGAUCGCCGCCUGCAUCAACGGAGAUGACCAGAGCGGCCGCGAAAAUCAACGAAAAGAUAAUCGCAGAGGAAUUAGCCAUAGGUUUUGGUACGGUCUGUGUUUUUAGCUGCCAACUUGUAUUUUGUUGUACGCCUGUUUAAUUACAGAGGUAGAGAGAGGGGGCGGCAAGAAAGAGAAGAGAUAAUCGGUGAAAUUUUGAUGUGUAUAUUCUUUCACCCUAUUGUGCUAAUUAUAGUAGUAAAAAGGGAAAAUUUUUGUCUUUCAAGUAAUUCAUAGGAGUUAGGGAAAAUCCUUGUCUCUCAAGUAAUCCAUCUAAAAUAGGACAUUAUGUAAAAGAUAUUAUACAAUUCCAUAAGGAUUUACACAAUCAUAUUCCUAAUUAAAUUAAGACUGUGACAUAUUUAAAUUUGGUUAAAUAAAAAUUGGAUGUUGAUUUCUUUAAGGAGGUAAUUACUUAAUUGACAUGCUUUAAUUCAACCUUAUUCCAAUUGCAACAAAGACAGCUGAAAUUGAAAUAAUUCGUGAUUUAUUCAAAACCUAACAAGAAAACAAAAUCAACAACUACUACAAAAUAUGCUCGUAGAGAUUUCCGGGAUGUUUCUGCUCUUAAGUGUUUUUGCUAAAAGCUCUUUUAUCAGUACAAGGUUGAGACUUUAGUUAAAAAACUAAGUUGUUCUCGAAAAAAUAUAAGCAUGCCAAUAGAUUGAACUUGUUUACAACAUCAGCAUUAUAAUAAUAUCACACUCAAUUCAUUCUUGCUCAUAGAAUUAAAGACAAACCAAAUCAGAAACCGAAAUAAGCAACAGUGCUAACUAGCUUGCUCAGCUCUCAGGUCUUUAUUCUUGAAGAUAGUAAUAUUACUCAAUGUUCCAUAUCGUAUGUAUGCAUAAAUCUUGUGCUUGGCGCUUAUUCCUUGAUAAGAUGUGCAUCAACAUCUUUAAUGACAUUGACCAGAAAGCUGAGGUACUUCUGUGGAGGCGGAUCGUUCUCGUUGAGUUUUUUAUAUUCUAAAGUAAUUUUCACAGAACCUCCUUCACUAUUUGGAGUGACCUGGAAAAUGAUCUUGUAGCUUUUGUAAUUGUCCAGCACAUGUGAUCCUUCCAACCCUGUAAGACUCACCCGCUUGUUUGCUUCAUCUAUUUCCACCUUUUCCUUGUAAGUCUCGACAUUUCCAUCUACACGUCACAUGGAAGAGUAUAAUUAUACAGCUAUCCAUGGUCCGAUCCUUUAAAUAUUCAUCGUGUGGUAAUGUAAACCCUAUGCAUGGAGGUCUUGUCAUUUUUAAUUCUAAAAGUACAUAUAUAUGAGGUAACGCAAACCCCUAGCUUGCUAGGUUUCAAGUUAGCAUGCCUAAUUAUUUUGCAGCAGGUUAGUCUGUGGUAUUAAAAAAAAAAUGUUAGUCAUAAGUAUAACCUUAACAAUGUUUGGUUGUAAUUUGCUUGCUCCUUCAUGCAAUCUCACAGUCUCACUACCACCUCCACAAGUUUGCGGAGUAAGCAUCUUCAUUCGCCCCAAAAGGGCUUCGUUUCACUAUCUUUUACACAGCGGAGGCUGUAUAAAGCUACGACAGAACAAAAUUCGGCACCCGGGAGAGGGACGAUCUCCAGAGAUUCUUUAACAUUUUUUGUAUUUCUUUUUUUGUUGAAUCAUUUCUUGUAAUUUAAACAUUUAGCGUCAUCUUGUAAUUUAAAUAUUACCUAUGGUGUAUUUCCAGAGUUUGACAGAGCCAGAAGUUUCCCAGUCACCUUCAUGUACCGCAACAUCGUGUAUUUUAUCAGAGGCUGCUUUGGGGAAGUCAUAGUGCUGGUUGCUGAUGAAUUUGUACAGCUUAUCAGCGUUGGCUUUGAUCUCUACCUCAGCCUCCAUAGUCUCCAGCUUGCAAGUACCAGCUCCACUCACAGCCAUUUUAUUUUAUUUGUUCUUUAUAAUAUGUGAAUAACGAUAGUGUAAGUCUGGGGAAUUGUAGGAGACGUAUACAAACCUAUAGGUUUCCACUUCUUAUAUAUAAAGCCAUGUUAUAGUUACGGAGGCAGUAUGUGGAUAUUAUCCGAUCACUUAAACAGUUAAAUGAUAACAAUGUGAGAGUGGAUCUUCCACGUAAAAUUUUAUCACCACUACACACCUACCAGAAUAAAACUUUUUUCUUUUUUUUUUUAAUUAAAAGAAGAAAUGUCAAUUUCAUUCCGCAUUAUUAUCAUGGAACAAGACAUUAUUUUGAAUACAUUGAAGAAGAAAAAAAAAUAUAUAUAAUAAGUUAGAGGGGACAUGAAGCCUAGCCCUAACAAGAAGUAGAAAACUAUUUGAAACAACAAUCAAUUAAGACAACUCCUAAGAGAAACAAGAAUUUGGAAACACCGAAAGAUUAUGAGCAAAAGUCAUAACUGCACAUGACGGAUAAGAAUCACACAAAUAAUGAAAACUAACAUGAUCAACAUAAUAGUUUGCUAAACAAUUUGUUACAUGAUUUCCUUCCCGAUUAACGUGAGAAAACUGAACAUGCAUGGAAGAGAGAAUGGUAUAGUAAUUUGUCAAAUCAACCGAUAAACUAUGGUGCAUUGCCAAACAAGAAUUACACUCAUUUCAAAGAGAAUGCUGCUAACCCCUUUCGAAAGCAAUAUAAAUAACAUGAAUAAUAGCUUUAAGUUUCACUUCCAAAGCAGUAACAAUGCCAAAAAAAUCUUGUAUUAAAGCAUCAAAGAGACCCAAGUGAUCACGAAAAAUACCACAAAAACCAGCAAACUUGAUGAGACAUUUCAACACGUAUAUAUAUAAGAGGAUCAAUGAUUGAUCAACUUUACCUCCAUAGCAUUAUUGGAGUGAAUGAUUGUACGAUAUUGAGGCGUUUGUUUGGAUUUGGCACGAGGAAAUGUGUGUAUAUAUUGUAUAUAUAGUGAUAAAACUAAUUUAGGUUUAUAUUACCUUAACUAGUGAUAAAAUUAAGGGUUCUUUAGAGCUAAUAGAAAUCAAUGGUUUAUAUUAUGUUGACAUAACCUAGAGAGAGAAAAAAAAGAGGUUGUAUUGUCAUCAAAAUAAAAUUAUGACACAAACAAAUAAUGUGGAGUUCAUGUUACUUAUUUGGAAUCAAUCAAAGCUGAAUCAUUGAUGCCUAAUUUCAGAAAAGUUUUUCUUUUCUGGAUGCAGCAUCUUUUCACAGGAUUUUUUUUUCGGUUGUUGUAUUGUGAAGGAACUUCUUGGAUAGUUUUUUUUCCCUUUUACACUAGCUUAGUGUCUUCCUGCCAAAAUAAUGACACAGAAAUUUUCAUCAAAAGGGUUGGCGAUGUCGGGCAGCAAAUGUAGUUUCCCGUGAAAUUGCAAAACUUGCUCACAAUCUGAUGAUUUUGUCUCUUGGGUUGGCUCUCCCUUCUCCUAACUGCUGAAGACUGAUGAAGCAGAAAUUUAAUCAUCAAUGAAUUUCCUUGACUAAUCCAUUAUCUUUCCGUUGCCCGUUCUCUUUGAUUUGUUCAUAAUCCGAUUAUUGUUCAUUCCAAUUCCAAGCGCGUAAACGUGCCCUCAUAGUUAUGGACUUGUUCGCAUCGUUUAAUUUUCCUUGAAUACCUGACUUUGUCGCCUAUGGUUUCACAAGAAAAUAAUCUCUUUGUUAAACCAGAAAAUUUAACGGUUCAUUAAUUAGCAACUAUUUCAUUUUUUAACAAUAUUUGGCUACUCAAAGGAUGAGUAAGAGUUCCUACUCAAACCUAUUUGUUGCCGAUCCAUAGAACUUCAUGUUUAUAAUAGAGCAGUUCAUAUUAGAAAUCACUUUAUAAAAAUUGUCUCUACAAAAAAUCAAUUAGACUAAGGUCGUUUAGUAGUCGAACUGUGAAAAAACAAAGGAAAGAAAUUGGUGAAAACAUUACAAACCAUUUAUGUAUUUACUAGAAUAAAUUGACUAAAUGACCUUAAUUUUAAUUCAAUUUUUGCAGAAAUGAUCUCCACAGUGUGAUUCAUAAUAUGAACAGUUCUGUUCAUAAGCACAAACUUCAGUGAUUCGAACAUGAAAAAUUUUGAGUGGGAGUUCUUACUCAUCUUUGAGUAGCCAAGCAUUGUUCUUCAUUUUUUUUUAUGUCAGUAAUAGUCUGACAAAGAACAAUAAUAAGUAAACUGUGAAAAAAAAAAUAUUUUACAAAUGGAAAAACAAACAAAAUGAAAAAGAAAAUAAAUUAAUAUUUUAAGUUGUUUUCACUUUGAAAAUUUUGUUUUAUUCAUUCCCUCUUUAUCUAAUUCUUAGCCUUCAUGUAUUGAAUUAUGCAUUGUAUUGUAGAAUCCAAAAAAAAAAAAAAAAAAAAACUUUUUUGGAAUCCAUAUGUGUAUAAGCAUGAAAUUAUAGCCCACCCAUAUGAAAAUUUUGACUCCGCGGUUGCAUGUAAGGAUAAACAUGCCAAUAGAUUAAACUUAUUCACACUAUAACAUAAAAAUGCUAUUACACUCAAUUAUAGAAGUUGCUCAAAAGACUAAAGACAGUCCAAGUCGGAACUAAACAACAAGGCUAUAGCUUGCUCUUCUUCCAGCCUUUAUUCUUGAAGAUAUAAGAUUAUCUCCCCUCUUAAUCUCUCUUUCCAUUCCUCCUCUCCUAUUUAAAUGUUUACCGCGUCAACAUCUUGUUUUAAAUUUAUUAUAUAGAGAAAAAGACAAAAAGAAAAGUGUAAGAUGAGGAGGGAGAAUGAAAUGGUAUUGGAAGGUAGAGAAUCCUACUCCAAGUGUUCGUUAGGGGAGAGGGGGACCCUGAGAGCAGAAGACUCUUCAUCUUCAGGUUUGAGAGUAAACGCUUUACUGUUGAAGAUAUAUAGUGAUUGACACAUCAUCAUAAGUGCUACAUCAGCUAUUGGAGUUAGUUAGUUUUUUAAGAAUCAGUUACACAAGUGGCUUAGCUGAUAAGCUACAUGUGCAGACUAUAUAAAGGAAUCAGGGGUCUUUUGUAUCUCUCUUCAUCCUUAUGAAAUAACAAAACUUUUACUCAUUUCUUUCUCUAGUUCUCUCUCUAUUCCUUUUGAUCUUUCUCUCUCUAUUCCUUUGAUAUUGCUUGCAUACAUUCAUCUGUUAGUUGUUAGAUGAAUGUUAUCAUGGUAUCUUCGCCGAGGGUUCGAUCUCGUGGUGUGUAUUUCCGCUGUGUUGUGCCAAAAGAUUGUCUUGAUUGCUGUGCUGUGCUUUAGUGGGUUAAUGAGCUUUUGGCGUUUGGGAAGUCAGACUUCGAGUUUAUCAGGUGUUAUUUUUCUUUUUGCACUCCAAGUGUGUGUGUAAUUGUCGCAAUGAUGAAUCUUUUGUGAAAGACUAAAAGUUGAAGGCCGAUAGCCAUUUCUUGAUGUUUGGAAUAUGAUAUUGAAUGUCAAUAGCCAUUUCUUGAUGUUUGGAGUAUGAUAUUGAAGGCCGAUAGCCAUUUUUCUGAUUGAAUAAUUGUUGAAGCGUUUUCUGUCAAAGCAUAAAGGCCGAUAGCCAUUGCUUUUGUUUGAGUGUUUGUUGGGUUUUUUCACAAGAACAAGGCCGAUAGCCAGUAAUGUGUGUUCUUGGAGUUAUUAUACUUCUUGAAGAUUGUUUGAGUACUUGAUUUCUUGAUUCAGUUUCUAUCAACAAUAUGGCGUUUAGUUCUAUCAAAAUUGAAAGUCUUUUGGGCAUGAUCACUGUUAAGUUGAAAGAAGAUAAUUUUGUCAAAUGGGAUUAUCAGUUUCAAUAGGUGCUUAAGGGGUAUGAUUACUUUGAUUUCUUUAGUGGGGAGUCUCAGUGUCCUCCAAAGUUUGUAAUUAAUACUGAGACUGGGGUCACUAAAGAAAUUACUACUGCAUAUAAAGACUGGGUUAAAACAGAUGUCUCUCUAUUGAGUUUGUUGAUUGCUACACUUUCGGAUGAAGCUAUAGACUAUGUCAUUGGGUGUAAAACUUCUCAAGAAGCUUGGAAAUCUUUUCAGGAACGAUAUGCAUCUGUAUCUGUUGUCCGGGUUAAUCAACUCAAGACUGAGUUUCAUACUGUACAUAAAGGUGCAGAUUAUGUUGACAAGUAUUUGCUUCGAUUGAAGGUUAUCAAGGAUCAACUGGUUGCUGCAAGGGAGAGAAUCACUGAGAAUGAUUUGGUCAUUGCUGCUUUGUCUGGUUUACCUCCAGAGUUUGAAAUGAUCAGGACAGUAAUCUUAGCAAGAGACACUCUGAUUUCAAUGAAAGAUUUUCGAGCUCAACUAAUUGGGGCUGAAGGCAGUAUUGAGUCUCGACUGACAACUUUAUCAAGUUCUAUGGCUGCCAUGUAUGUUCAGGGCAAUGGCUCGAAUACACAGGGAUCUCAGGGAAAUACUCCAAGUUAUGAACAAUGGGAGAGUUCAAAUGCACAAAGGUCUCAAGGGAGGAAUAAUUACAAUAGUGGUAAUAACAACAGGAGGUAUAAUGGGAAUAAUUUCAACAAUCGAAAAUUCUCUGGUGGUUAUAAUGGUGGGAAUAAUAAUUACAGGCCAUAUUCUACUUUUGGGAAUAAUGGGAAAGGUGUUCAAAAUGGAGGUUCUCAAAGUUAUUUUUCUGGUAAUGGAAGCAAACAAGGAAACACUUGGAAUGGUGAUACAAAUUACAGAAAUGCUAUAUCUCCUGAAUGUCAAAUCUGCUAUAGAAGAGGUCAUACAGCACCAAAUUGUUACUUUGGAGCUGAUAACAAUCAAUCAUCUGGAGGGAUCUUGGUAUGUCAGAUAUGUGGGAAAAUAGGUCAUCGGGAUUUGGAAUGCUUUCAUAGAAAUAACUUCUCAUAUCAAGGCAGUGCACCACCCACAUCUCUUGUUAGGAUGGCUGCUCAAGGCUCAAAUGUUGCAACUGAAGACUCAAAUAUCCAUGGUUUUUCAGCUGCUGAUACAUAGGUAGUUGACACAAGUGCAACUCAACCACAUGACAUCACAUGUCGAAGUUUUAAAUCAUAUCACUCCUUAUAAUGGUGAUGCCACGAUCACUGUUGGUAAUGGAGAAGGUUUGGUGGUUAAAAAUAUUGGUUCUUCUGUUCUUAACACUCAACAAAAGUCACUCAUUUUGCAAAAUGUGCUACAUGUUCCACACAUUACAAUGAAUUUGUUGUCUGUUAAGAAAUUAUGCAGAGAUAAUAAUUGCUGGUUUGUAUGUGAUGAUCUGAUCUUCUUGAUACAGGACAAAGCAACUCGAAGGAUUGUGUACCAAGGCCAGAGUGAUGAUGGGGAGCUCUUCAAGAUACCAAUAACAGUGCUGUCGAGAUCCAGAGUACCAAGUAUUGAAAGAUGUGCUGCUUUUGUUAGAAAGAAGCUAAAGACUGCAGUUUGGCAUAAAAGGUUGGGUCAUCCAUUUGAAGAAGUGCUUACUGCAAUGUUGAAUAAGUCUAAAGUAUUAGCUAGUAUAGAUUUGUCUCCAUCUAUAUGUACUGCUUGUAUUCAAGGCAAAAUGACUAAGUUGCCUUUCUCUGUAAGUCCCGAUAGGUCAAAAGUUGUAUUUGAAAGGAUACAUUCAAAUAUAUGGGGUCAUUCACCGCAUAGGUCAAUAGAGGGUUAUAGGUAUUACAUAAGCUUUGUAGAUGACUGCUCUCAAUUUGUAUGGAUUUUUCAGAUGGUUAAUAAAUCCGAUGCUUUUCCAAUCUUUACCAAGUUUCUUACAUUUCUUGAGAAUCAGUUUAAUGCUUUUGUUAAAGUUCUUCAAUCAGAUGGUGGAGGUGAGUAUAUGAGUAAUGUGUUUAGACAGUUGUUGGAGAUAAAAGGAAUUAUACACCAAGUUUCAUGUCAUCAUACACCACAACAAAAUGGUCUUGCUGAACGAAAACAUAGACAUUUGGUUGAGAUUGCUAUUAGUUUGCUAUCAGAUGCUCAAUUACCUUCAGCAUUCUGGUAUCAUGCUUGUUUUCAUGCUGCAUUCUUAAUCAAUAGGAUGCCAUCUAGAACUUUGAAGAUGUAGUCUCCCUAUCAAGUUGUGUUUGGUUGUGUUCCUGAAGUGCAGCAUCUUAAAGUCUUUGGUACUGCAGUUUAUCCUCUAUUGAGACCAUUUAAUAAAAAUAAAUUGGAGCCAUGGUUAGCUCAAUGUGUAUUUCUUGGUUUUGCUCAUGGAUAUAAAGGAGUUAUUUGUAAUGAUAUCAAGACUAGAAAGUUCAUUCUGUCAAGGCAUGUAGUACAUGAUGAAGAUGUAUAUUCGUUUAAACAAGUUUUGCCAUCUAAGGAUUCUACACCUACAAAUAGGUGUUCUCAGACACUUGUUUUGAUUCAGUUACAAGUUCCAAGUGAAAAAGUCCUGCCUCAUACACACAUACAACAUGAUUCACAAGCAGCUAGUUCUAUACAUAUAUCAGCAAGUGAUACUGGUUCACAUCACAGUAUUCCUGUAAAUGGUGACAGUAUAAAUAUGGUUGGUGAAUUGAAUGUUUCUAGUUCGGACAAUACACAGGUGAUUCAACCUAGUGAUCAGGAUACAAAUUCGACUGAUACCACUACUCUACAUGCAUCUCCAAGCUCUUCCCAUCAUCACUCUGGUACACAAUCCUUGUUGCAUGUCCACUCCGAGUCACAACUUGAGGUAAUCCUUCCUGAUUUAUCUCCAUUUGAUCUCAUUUUACAUACUGCACCAUCGACUUACUCAAUGGUCACUAGAUUGAAGAGUGGAACAAUUGAGAGACAAAAUUAUGCUGCUUUAAUAGCACAAUGUCCUGAGCUUUGUUCUCUCCAAAUCACUAAUGAAGAACCUUUCACGGGUGGCUAUUCCUUUCUUUCUGAGAUCACUGAUGCUUCAGAACCGAAGACAUUUCGGAAAGCGGCUACUAAUCCACAGUGGCAAAAGGCAAUGCAGGAGGAAUAUGAUUCACUUCGAGCACAAGGAACUUGGCUAUUGGUUCCUGCACCUGAAGAUAGAACAAUUGUAGGAAGCAGAUGGGUGAAGUGAAGAAAAACCCCGAUGGCAGUGUCUCUGAUGUGAAAAUUACUUGACACACAAAUUAAACCCUAUUGAUGACAAUUGUAGCAAAGAUGUUAGUAGGGAUCGUUCUAAACCGGGAAUUAACUAGGGCUGCUAAUCUACUCAAAUUAAACUCUAAAACACUAAACUAGACUUAAAAACACAAGAAUAGACUCUAUAGACUCUAAACUGACCUAAGACACUCAAAUCUGCAAAACUAAGUGAAAUUGACUCAAUUCUAAACCUAACAAGUGAAUUGGACGAAAUUAAAACUUACUUUGACUCAAAAGAUUAAAAGAAAACAGAUUGUAACUUAACUAACUUAGAAAACACUUAAAAGACUCAAAACAGCACAAUACUAACAAUUAGACUCAAAACAGAUUCUAGAGAUGAAAUUGGACGAAUUUAAGACUAAACUAAGACCCAAACAAUGGUUAUGGACUAAACCUAACCUAUAUUGACUCAAAACACUCUAAAGAACCUAAUUAGGACAGAUUCUGACCUAAUAACAUAAAACAGAAAAGGGUGUUUGAUUUCUGACGAAAUUGAAUUAAAACUAAACAAAUUGCAAAUCAAAGUAAACUAAAACGAAAUUAAGAUGAAUUCAAGGGUGAAAAGCUAGUUAGAGGAUCCUUCUCCACACAUGAACAUAUGCAACAUAAAUCGAUUUCCAGUAUUGUUUCUUUAAACCAUGAACGACAAUGCCCCAAAUUAAUCGUGAAUGCACAAAUUAACUCUCAGAUUUCCCUAAAUUCAUUGAAUUGGAUGAAUGCAUGCAACAACCCAAAUUAUUCUUCUCAAGUUCCCUAUAUGAACAUCAUGAUAGAGAUACAUUCAAAGAUCAUUAAAUUCCAUGGAAAUCAUAAGCAUUGACAAGGCAAUUAUAACUAUGAACUGCAUGAUACUUUUGCCAAGAAUCUACUUAACACGAUUGUGACUAACAAUCUCCACUACUUGUAAUUAUAAGUUUCUAACGAUUAGGUGAAAGUCCCUUAUAAUUUAGCAUCAGAUUCAAGCAUGCAAACUAAGUAGGCCUCCUUAAUCAACACACAAGAAUAAGUUAUCAAUCAAAUAGAUAAGUAAAUCGCAUUCAUGUUUUACGAAACAAUAACUGAAAGGAAUCAAUUCAUAUUAACAUAUGUCCAUGGCUUCAAAUUCACCACUAACUAAUAAGAGUUUAGUUCCACAUGUUCAUAACAAUUGAAACGCAAAUUAAAAUAAACAUCGAAACUGAAACGAGGGAAGAAAAAACUAUGAAAACUCCCAAGGAUGCAGAUGGCUUGCGCACAAGGCCCUCCUUCAUCAAUGGAAUGCACGACAAGGUUCUCCUUCUUCUCCAAAAGGUGCGGCAGAGAUGUAUAUGGAUGUAGGAUGGUGUUUUGUGAUGUAGAAUGGUGAUUAGGGUUGCGGCAAGGUGUUUCUGAAUGGUGAAGGGUGGUGACAAAUUUAGGCCUUAAAAACACAUAUAUAUAGGCAUGGCAAAGCUAGGGUUUUCACAAAAUUUGAUGGGAAAAGGUUAGGGUUUUGGAGAUAAAAGGCUUGGCCCAUUCAAAGGAGAAAAGAAUUAGGGUUUUAUGCAGAUUCCUAGGCUUCUAGAACACUAGGUGCGGCACAACCCUAGGGUGGAUGGACUAGGGUUUAAAUUUAGCAGAAAAUAAAGGAUUAGGGCCCUAGGGUGCGGCAUGGGCUUAGAACAAAGCUGAAAAAGGAUUAGGAAACUUCAAAUUCAAGAGUAGAAACUUUCAAGAAUGGAAACCUCCAAGAAUAGCAACUUCCAACUUUAGAAACUUUGGUUUCCAAUUCUGAACUCUUUGCUCUUCAUGUUCAUUUCUUCAUUUCUUCCCUCCUUUGAUCUUCAAUUUCGUUCAUCCCUUUGGCUCCAAGCAUGUGAUAUCCAUUUUAUGCUCAAAACUGCUUCAAAAGGCUCCAAAUUGCACUUUCUCGCCAACUUUGUCAUUUGGACCUAAAAACACACGAAAAUAGCUUAAAACACUAUAAUAACCACAAACUAACUAUAAAAGUGCAAGAAAACAAGCUAACUAAGUUGCAUAAAUAUGCUCCUAUCAGUCUCCCAGUAUAAAGCAAGGCUUGUAGCUCAAGGGUUCUCCCAAGAACAUGGUAUUGACUACUUGGACACAUUUAGUCCUGUUGUUCGACAUACUACUGUAAGGAUUAUUCUUUCUUUAGCUGCCAUGAAUCAUUGGACUCUUCGACAAUUAGAUAUCAAGAAUGUUUUUCUACAUGGAGAUUUACAAGAAGAAGUUUAUAUGCAGCAACCACAAGGGUUUAUUGAUCCAUCAUAUCCUUCUCAUGUUUGCAAAUUGGUCAAGUCAUUAUAUGGCUUGAAACAGGCUCCACGCGCGUGGAAUUCAAAGUUUACAAGUUAUUUGACAGUUAUGGAGUUUCAUGCCUCAGCUUCUGAUACAAGUUUGUUUGUCAAGAAGGAUGACUCUGAUAUCAUCAUCUUAUAACUUUAUGUUGAUGAUAUCAUCUUAACUGGUUCUAAUCCUUUGAAGAUCCAAAAAGUGAUUCAAGAAUUAUCUGAGGUAUUCGAGUUGAAGGAUAUGGGACAGCUUACAUAUUUUUUGGGUUUACAAGUUCAAUAUAAAGCGGAUGGCAGUGUUUUUGUUAAUCAGUCUAAGUAUAUCAAAGAUCUUGUCCAUAAAGCAGAUAUGGAAUCGUGUAAACCAGCAACCACUCCGUGUAAACCUCAUCAUCAAAUGUUACACUCUGAGGGACAAUUGUUGACAUAUCCAACUUCCUAUAGAAGCAUUGUGGGAUCUUUACAAUAUCUGACCUUUACUAGGCCUGAUAUUGCCUUUGCUGUAAACACAGUAUGUCAGUUUAUGUCCUCACCAACUGAUGUUCAUUUUGGCGUUGUUAAACGCAUCAUUCGUUAUCUUCAAGGAACCAUGAAUAUUGGUAUUACUUUUUCUGCAAACACAGUUUCAAAGCUUACUGUGUUUUCUGAUUCUGAUUGGGCUGCAGACUUGAAUACUUGUCGGUCUAUCACUGGUUAUGUUGUGUACUUAGGCAAUAAUCCAAUUUCUUGGCAAUCGAAGAAACAAAACUCGGUAUCCAGGAGUUCUACUGAGGCUGAAUAUAAAGCCUUAGCACAUACUGCUGCAGACAUAGCUUGGAUUCGCAAUAUAUUGAAGGAUUUGGAUGUACUUUUGGAUGCUCCACCAACAAUUCACUGUGACAAUAUGUCCGCUAUUGCCUUAAGUGCCAAUCCGGUGUUUCAUUCAAGAAUCAAACACCUUGAUACAGACUACCAUUUUGUACGCGAACGAGUGCAGCAAGGCGAUCUGGAGGUGUUGUAUAUCCCAACUGAGGAGCAAACUACCGAUGUUCUUACCAAAGGUCUUCACAGUCCUUCACUUGUCAAACAUUUUUACAAUCUCAAGCUGGAAAAUCCCGGUUGAGAUUGCGGGGGGAUGUUGAAGAUAUAUAGUGAUUGACACAUCAUCAUAAGUGCCACAUCAGCUAUUGGAGUUAGUUAGUUUGUUAAGAAUCAGUUACACAGGUGGCUUAGCUGAUAAGCUACAUGUGCAGACUAUAUAAAGGAAUCAGGGGUCUUUUGUAUCUCUCUUCAUCCUUAAUGAAAUAACAAAACUUUUACUCAUUUCUUUCUCUAGUUCUCUCUCUAUUCCUUUCGAUCUUUCUCUCUGUAUUUCUUUGAUAUUGCUUGCAUACAUUCAUCUGUUAAUUCUUAGAUGAAUGUUAUCAUUUACAUCCUACACCAUGCUAAUAAUAUCCACCAAUUCUCUAUUUUAUUUAAAAAUAAAUAAAAAAUAUAUAUGAGGUAACGCAAGCUCUAGCUAGGUUUCAAGUCUACCAUGUUUAUUUUGUAGCAAGCAAGUGGAAUUAAUUAAGAAAAAUUUCAGUUUGGGUUAGGAGGAUAGAGGAGGGUGAUUAAUAUUACCUUUGGUGUAUUUCCAGACUUCACAGAGCCCGAAGUUUCCCAGUCCCCUUCAUUUACUGCAACAUGGUGGUACAGUAUCAGAGGCUCGGGAAUGUACACGUGGUGCUGGUUGCUAAUGACUUUGUACAAACGAUUUAUCAGCGUUCGCUUUGAACCCCCCAGUCUCCAGCUUGUAAUCACCAGCUCCACUCACAGCCAUUUUUUAUAAAGGAAAUUAAUGAAAAUGAUUCGAAAAUUUUGAAUUUUAACUAUAAUAAUAAAUAAAUGGUAAAGUAAAUAGUACCAUGAUUGAUUUUUAGUGUAAAUAUAUUAUUUUUCCUUAAAAUAAACAAUAUCAGAAGUUUUUCGUUCAAAUUCUCUUUUUUUUAAUUAGUAAUUAAUAUUAAAGUUCAUCUAAGAUUAUUUUUUAAAGGAGAUAUAUAUUAAAAGUAUCAAAUAGAAAAACAAGACAGCAUCAUUUAAAAAAAGGAAAACUAAUGAAAAUUGCUUGAAAACUUUGAGUUUUAACGAUAAAGACAAAAUAAAAAGUAAAGUAAAUAGUACCAGGUUUGACUUUUUAAUGUAAAAAUGUGGUUUUUCGUUAAAGUGAACAAUAUCGCUGGUUUUUCGUUAAAACUCCCUUCAAAAAAAGGGAAAGGGAUCAUUUUCGGAUUUGUUCUACCUAAUCAUCCUCAUCAAAUAAUCCGAGCUUUUAAAAUUUGAUCUAACGGCUAAAGUUAUUAUAACUUUUAGAAUUAGCCCGUAUUUUUAACCGUUUAAUCAAAUUUUAAUGAUCUGAAUUAUUUGAUGAUGAGAAUUAGAUAAAAAAGAUUGAAUGAUCGCUUUUCCAAAAAAGGAAAAAGAAAAACAAGACAGCAAGUUUCUUUUAACAGAUGAAUUUUAUUAGAGGUGGAACUGGUGUCCAACAUCCCAGGUGUUUUCUGAUAGCAUAACCCAAUAACGUCAAAUCCAUUAAUUUGAUUAUUUAAUAAAUGGCUCCCACAAUAGGAUUUGGAUCCUCUCCGAGGCAAUUGGUCGGAUCCUUCUGAUCAAUGUUUGUGGACUGUUAGAUUUUUAUUCAACGACUAUAAAUAAGGGGACAUUCUAAAGUUAUAAUAAUUGUAGUCGUUGGAUAAAAAUUCAACGGUCCAUAUACAUCGAUCUGGAGGAUCCCGACUCGAAGAGGAUCCAAAUCCCCCACAAUACACCAAUCACGUACCCCACCCAACCAAUUUACACAAUUUUUAACAGUAGGUCCCACAAUAUAUAAGAAAAAAGAAAUUUGACUCAUCAUUUGAAAAAAUAAAAAAAAAUUAACAUUUAACUUCAAAUACUCAUUUUAGUCAUUAAAUAAAAUUUAACAAUUUAUAAAUGAGUAAUGUUAGAGAAGCUAAUUUUUUAGACUAAAUUUUAUAAAUUAUAUGUAUUUGUUAACGAUUAAAUUAUUAUUUAAGUGUUGCUUAAUGUUUAUAUAGAGCCACAACCCACAAAGUCCUAGACAAAUAGCAUGUUUUAGUUAUGGAGGCAGUUGUGGUGGAUAUGAUCUGAUCACUUGAAGAAAAUGACGAGUCUGCGGAUCCUUGUGCAUCUUCAUCUUUGACAUGGGAGGUUUUAUGACUAGACCUACCAAAUUUAAUCACAACAGCGAACUUGAUAAUGAGACAUCAAUAAUUCAACGAUUCAGAAAACUUCAAUUAAAUUGGGACCCAUAAAUAAAUAUGCUAUUACUUCUUUUGUAAUCAAAGCUGGAUCAUUGAUGCCUAAUUCAGAAAGAGAAGUGUUAUUGGCACUUCAAAAGUCUCAUUGUACACUCUUUACAAGUGUAUUUUUCUUUCUUAAUAUAGAAAAUUUGGAGUGUAGAAUAAGAUUUUUGAAAUGCUACUAACAAUUCCCUUAAAAAAAAAAAAGGUUUUUAUGUUUUGCAUGCAACAUUUGGACACAGGAAUAUUCUUUGGGAUUCUAAUUGCGCAUACGUAUUAUCUUUCAAAUAUAUAAAAUUUGAAGUGCAAUUAAAUUUUUAGAAUGUAAAUAAAAGGGGAAACUUGAUAUAACUUCAAUUUUUUGAGCCAAUAGUAAGAAUAGUCCAAUUUAUUAAAAUAAGUCCAAUUCUUUAAAUUUAAUUAUUUUAUUAUCAAUAAUUAUCUCUUAAAAGAAAAAACUUAUUGUAAAAAUCAAAUUUCUUCCUAAUUAUCUCUUUGAUUAUUUCUUUUUAUUUAUUUAUUUGUUAUUUCUUGUUCUUCCUCCUGCUUUAACCCAUUUAUAGAUUUUUUUAAAUUUUUAUAAUCAACCUAUAUCAUAGGUUAAUUGUAUUUAUCUACCUAUAUGACAUAUUCUCUUUCAUAGUCAACAUGUCACAUAUUAAUGUGUCUUGCUUGUAGGUAUAUUAUAUUUUUUUCUACUUUUUAGUUAGGUUUCAUAUCUCACUUAUAGGUAUAAUAUACAUUCAUAUAUUUGCUACUUGAGUUAGGGUUUACUGUUUUGCAGAUAGAUUUAUGUUAGUAUAUUAAUUUUUUUUUGUUUAUAAGAUAUUAGUUAGAUAUUUUGGAGUUGAAAAAUGCAUAAUAUUAAAAUAUUUUAAUUGAUUUUUAAUAUUUUUAGAAAAUAUAAAAGGAGUAUAAAAGAAAUAAAAACAUAUAAUUAGAUAACUGGAGUCACUUCUAAAAACACUCUAUGUUUUUUGACCUGGAUCUAAAAGCCCCUAAAUAAAAUUACCUUCUUUUAUUGGUUUUUUUUUAAGGCUCGCAAAAAUGGUUGUCUUUGUUGUUUGGCGAAGGAACUUCAUGGAUAUCAUCAUAUUGUGGUCUUCUUUUUCACUUGUAUUGCUAAAAAAUAACUAAUUACAAAUCAAUUUUCAUCAAAAGGGUUGUUAAAUAAGAUAUUAAUUAAUGCUAUUUUUUUUCUUGAUACUGUUUGGGUCUCUCAACCUCGAUCUAUUAUUUUGCAUUUUAUUUCUUCCAUGAUCAUAUGUGUCUCCAUUGUUUAACAACAACUAAAAAUACUAUUGUUUCUUUAAAAAAAGUACUAUGUAUUUGACUAAGGCGAUUUUAUAUGACGAUGAGCAACAAAGUGGAGAUGGUGCACUACACCUUUUAUUUUGCAUACCAUAGUUCAUACAUUACAAUCUCACAUAUGAUAUCCCUUCACGUACAUUUGUUACAAGGCAACUUACAAAGCAAAGCAUUUUAAUUACUUGUAAUCAAGCAAAAGGCACGCAUUAUUAACACAAAUAUUAUAUACUAACGAUGGACGUCACACUGUUUCACCAUUGCAUUCUUUUCCUUUCCUUAAUUUAUCAUGCCUUGAUAAAGUGAGCAUCAAGAUCCUUGACGAUGUUAACCAUCAAACCGACGUAUUUGUCCGGACUGCAACAUCCUCAGUCAGUUUCUCAUAUUCAGUCGACAAUUUUGCAAUGUUGUCUUCAUUCUUUUGAGUGAAUUGAUAGACUGGCUUGAAGCUCUUGUAAUACUGGAAGACAUCUCCUUUCAGUCCAUUCAGUGUUAUGGAUUUGUUCUCGUUGUUUGACUACACUUUUUCCUUGAAUACUCGAACUUCGUCCCCUAUGUAUUCACAAGAAAGUGGUCUCUAUAUUGACCAAGGAACAAUAUAAAGGGAGCGUUUGAUAAAUAAUUUGUUUUAAGUUUUCACAAAAAUGAAAAUUGAAGUUAUUUUUGUCAGUUUUCUAAAUUUAUAUUAGUAAUUUUUAUUUUUUGAAGACUGAAAUAACAUGAGAUGGUUGAAUUAUUGCGGCACACCUCGAUUCUUUACCAACAUAUUUUGUUCUAAUUAUCCAUUAUAUCAAUAUAUAUUUUUCACGUAUGGGUUAAAAGUUGUUCGCUUGUGAAUCAGGGUUUAGUUAUUGCGAUCCUUCUAGUAUUGCUGGAUUAUGAUUAACAUAUAAUUGUGUUCUGAUCUUAGAGAAAAAAGGUACAUACCAUGUUAAAUACAUGAAGGUAUUUAUAUAUAAAUAUAGAGCUCGUUUGGAUGUGCUUUUAAAAUGGUUAAAAACACUUUUAGAGAAAGAAAAAAAUUUGUUCCAAAAGCACUUAAAUUGCUUUCUGCAAGAAGCAACAGUUAUGUGCUUUUCCAGGAAGCACUUUAAAUGCUUUUCCAGAAUUAACUUACAUUUUUACCAAGGAUUGGUUUUAAAAACAUUUUCACAAAAAAUGUUUUCAAUCAUUUUAAAAACAUAUCUAAACAAACACAUAUAUUAUGCACGUAUACUGAAAUUCCAACUUUUGAUAGAUCGAGCCAUGAGUUUCCUCCUUCAUGCACGUGAACUCCCUGGAUACUUCCAGAAUAAAUUUUUGGGACGUGUGGCGAGCCUGGCUAUUGAAGAUAUUGUAGAACUUCUCAGCAGGUGCCUUAAUUUCAAUCUCUGUUCGUGCAGAGUCAUGUUUAUGAUCAGUUGGGAUGGUGCUCAACAAUGCGUCGCCAAGGCCUGUUCUAAAGAAAACUUAAGGUCACCCCUCUACUGCUACAGUUAAAUUAUGCAAUAUUAAUUUAUGCUAUAACUUUGAAAAAGUAGUGCUUCGAACGAUCGCAUGAAAAACAUUCGUUUAUUAAAAAAAAGGUAAAUCGUCAAAAUGGUCCUUGAGAUUUGUAUAACUUAUCACUUUGAUCUCUAAGAUUCCAAAUCGAUAAAAGUAGUCCCUGAGAUUGUCUACCAUCCAUCAUUUUGGUCAUUCGGUUAAAAAAUCCGUUAAGUGUCCCGGAGCUCUUAGCCGGAGGUUUGGACAAUUUUCAAAACUUCGUAACUCAAUCGUUUCUUAACCAAAUUUGACCCAUAAUAUAUCAAAAUGAAGAUAGGAAAGUGUAGAAUAAGAUUAUACCUAUUUCAAAGCCCAAUGGUUGCCGAAGAUUGUCAGAAAAUAGCCUCAAAGUUGACUGGUUCGAGUGAAAACUUGAAAACUCGCUGGAAACUGAGUAAACUUUAAACGUUCAUAACUUCUUCAAUACUCAACGAAAUCAAGUGAUUCAAAAACAAAAAUCAUACUUCUCGAUGAGAUGAAGAGAAUGAUACCUUUUUAGAUGGCUAAAUCGUCGUGGUUUGGCCGGAAAGCAGCUCGAAAGUGGCUAACUCGAGACCAAGAUAGCCACUUUCAAGCCGUUUUCCGGCCAAACCACGGCGAUUUAGUAGUUAAAAAAGGUACCAUUCUCUUUGUCUCAUCGAGAAGUAUGAUUUUCAUUUUUGAAUCACUUGAUUUUGUUGAGUAUUGAAGAAGUUAUAAAGGUUUUGAAGUUUACCCAGUUUCCGGUGAGUUUUCAAGUUUUCACUCUGACCAAUCAACUUUGAGGCUAUUUUCUGGCAAUCUCUGGCAACCAUUGGGCUUCGAAAUAGGUAUAAUCUUAUUCUACACUUUCCUAUCUUCAUUUUGAUAUAUUAUGGGUCGAAUUUGAUUAAGAAACGAUUGAGUUACGAAGCUUUGACAAUUGCCCAAACUUCCGGCCAACAGCUCCGGAACACUUAACAGAGUUUUUAAUGGAAUGACCAAAAUGAUGGAUGGUGGACAAUCGCAGGGACCACUUUUAUCGAUUUGGAAUCUCAGGGACCAAAGUGAUGAGUUAUGCAAAUCUCAUGGACUAUUUUGACGAUUUAUCCUUAAAAAAAAUUCAGAUAAAGAAAAUGAGAAAUUAAUUUCUCAUCCCUCUUUUUUCUAUUACAUUGAUUAAAAUCUUAUUUUUGAUCAAGGUCCUAACUUUCAAUGAACGUCAUUAUUUCUGUUAUAAAUUAUUUAUAUAUCAACAUAAUUAAAUUUUAUUUUUGAAAUAUAUUCAAUUAGUAUUAGAAACAUUACAUUUGGUACAUUUAUAUUUAUCAUUAAACUUUGUAUCAUAUAUUUCUAUUUUUAGUUUGUACCAUUUUUAAUUGGCAACCCUUUUUUAAUUUGUAUCAAUUUUCUUUUUAAUUUUAAUGUGUACCGAUAUAUUAAUUUCAUUUUGUGCCCAUAAUUUUUUUUAAAUUUUUUUAUACUCAUAAUUCAUUUAUAAUGUACCCAUAUUUCAUUAAAACUCUUUUUUUUUCUUUAUAAAUGUACCACUUUGUUAUAUGUAAGAUGUACCAAAUUGUUUUUUUUGUAAAUGUACCAUUUUUAUGUAAAAUGUUCCCAUAUUUAAUGUAAAAUCUAUUUAUUUUUUUAUUAAGAAUGUGUACAUAUUUAUAAUAAAACGUUCCCCUUUUCAAUUUUUUUGAACACUAUGGGUACAUUUGUUUGACAUUUAUUAUUUCAAAGGUAUAUUGUUACCUAUUUUUAUCUAUUUAUUCAAUCAAAAUUUUUGAGUAUUUUUUUUAUUGUAAUCGUUUUUAAUUUAUAUGCUAUAUAAUAUGGGAUUUUAAAUCUCAUAACAUGUCAAGUAAUUAAUAUCAAACAAUGAAAAUACAUAUUAAUAGCCAUAAUGAGGUGUACCUUUAAAGUCAAGGGACUUUGAUAAAAAAUUGAAUACUAUUAAAGGUUUAGUCAAAUAAUGUUAUUGACUAGGGACUGAAUCCAAAGUCUCUCUAAAAAAUAUAUAUAUAUAUAUAAGACAAACGUACGUAAUCACUUUCGGUUCGAUUAAGAACAUGAUUUGGAUCAAUAAUAUUAGGGUGCUAAUAUUGAUAUCAUUAGAUUUCAAUUACUAAUCACUGGUUUUUUUGCAAUAUUAUACUUUUACUCAACUACCACAUUUUUUCCCUUCUGGAUGUAUGAAAAUUUAGGUAUUGCGUUCGUUCUUUUUUGAGAAGUCAUCGCCAACUCCCUUGCCCUACUAUUUUUAUCAAGGAAAAACUCCCCAUGUUUAAAAGCUGUAUAAUUAACCAGGAUGAAUGCUGGACAACUGUCGAAAGCAAAACUCAAAGUUCAUUGUAUAAUUAUAACAGUGAGACUACAGCCUGACGAAGAACAUGAUUGUCAAAAGUUAUAUAAAAAAAAUGAUAUCAGAGUAAAUCUCCAAUGAAUCGGAAAGUGAGUCUUUAAAAUAUAGAGUCUUAAGUGGAUUAGUGUAGAAUAUCUUUUGUACUAAAAAAAAAGUUAUGUAUAUAAUGUUGAGAAUGAAUCCCACAUUGAUAGGAGGAGUGAUAAGGAUUUUUAUCACCUGCAAAUAUAAGGAUAAAAACACUUAAAAAUACUUGCAAAAGUACAAGGUUGUCGUAGUAUAGCAGUUCAAGCAAGGUCAUUUUUCACAGGAAUUGAAUGCAUAGUUUAUGUUUAUACUAAUUCUUAGCUAAUUAUUUAGAACAAAGAUUGGAAAAGGUUGAUUUUGAAUUUAAAAAUAAUAAAAACGAAUUUAAUUAAAAACAAUUAAAGGAAUUUACUAGAGAACAAUUUAAAGAAAGUCAAUUUGUAAAGAUUAGGGUUCCGCCGUUCCCUUAACAAUCCUACGCAAUUUUACCAAUUACUUAUGAAUUUCCACACACAUGCUUUGAAGGUUAGGUUUUCCUAAUGCAUAUUUUUCUCGUGAUGUUCAAGCGAAAACAUAAAUCUAACAUGCAACCCUUUUGUAAUGUUCAGAUCAAAUAUAAACAUGCAAGACUCAUUAAGCUUUGUGAAAACCCUUUGAAAAACCAUGGAACCCUUAAGAGCGUGAUGUUCGCCUUAAGUGAACUUACAAUUACUAAUCAUAAGAAGCCCUCCUCAAUUUCAGGGUGAUGUUCUGUCACAUCCCGGCAUCGUGCUAGGUAGAUAUGAGAAUAUACAUAUAAGGAUCACUCCCCUGGGCGAUGUGGGAUCUUACAAUCCACCCCCCUUAGGGGCCUGACGUCCUCGUCGGCACACCACAACCAGGGUUAGGCUCUGAUACCAAAUAGUCACAUCCCGACCUGGGCCCCCAUCACAUCCCGGGCUCGACUCCACCGUAGCACGAUAUUGUCCGCUUUGGGCCCCGACCACGCCCUCACGAUUUUGUUUCUGGGAACUCACACGAGAACUUCCCAGUGGGUCACCCAUCUUGAGAAUGCUCUCGCGCGAACUCGCUUAACUUCGGAGUUCUUAUGGAACCCGAAGCCAGUGAGCUCCCAAAAGGCCUCGUGCUAGGUAGAGAUGAGAAUAUACAUAUAAGGAUCACUCUCCUGGGCGAUGUGCGAUCUUACAUGUUCCAACCGAAAUUGCAUCAAAUUACUUGUCUAAAAAUCCUAAUGGUCGCAAAUUACUAAGACAAUUAGAUAGCUUUAAUCGCAAUGAUUAAUAAUUCAAAGCAAGCAUGCAUCCAUUCAUAAGGAAAUUAAUAAAAUCACAUAUUCAUGCUAAGGCUCAUGGCUUCGCCCUAGCAAACAGAAAUUAGUUACGAACUAUAAAAACUAAAGAAAAUAUAUUAACUAGAAAAAGGAUUGAAAACACCUUGUAGGUAAAAAGUCUGAAAUUCUCCAAAAUAAUGUGUGCCUUCUCCCCCUAACCUUAAUGGCUAAAAAGCCUUAUUUAUACUACUCCAAAUUAAAACCCUCAUAGAAAAGGUUUUCUAAAAACUAGGAAAUAAAAUAACAAAAGGAUAACUAAGAAUUGCAUUCCUAUUAUGACUAUGAAAUCUGCCCAUAAAAAAGAUAGCCAUGUUUCUGGAUCUUCAGGGUUCCAAAACAGACCCAAAAUGGCUAGAAUUAAAGAUUAGGACCUCCUCUUCAAGUUAGAAGAAGAACCCAAGUCCAAAAUCCAUCAUCUUCCAACCCAAAAGUCACAAAUAAGCUCUGCAGCCCAAUCUGCCAGCACUGCACGCUGGGCAUAAAUUAAUUCACCACGAUCUGAUGCUUUGAGAUAAAAUUAUGAAAUUCUGAUACAAUCUUCUUGACAGACUCACGAACCCACUCCAAUUGGAAUCACUAAAAAAUUCCACCGUUUGAGUACUUUAUGAUCAAAACAAGUUCGCAUGUCCUACAAUAAAAACAUAGAGCAAAGCCUCAAAAUCUCACUAAAAUAAUAACCAAAAUAUACCAAGAAUAGGGAAUAAUAUAUAGUAUAAAAUUGACUCAUUAGGACAUUGCAUGAACUUAUAAGUAAGUUGGGCUACUUUCUAUAUUGCCAAUUGGUUUUAUGGUGUAACCUUAACUUUCUUCAUACCCAUGUGUGAAGCCAAAAGACCACGCACGCUCCAUGUCACCCAUUUGUGUUGUUCACGUAUUAGACUUGAAAAUUCGCCACACGUGAGGGCGCGUAUUAAGAAUGAAUCUCACAUUAAUGGGAGGAUAAAUCUUGCAUGCACCUAUAAGUAGGUUGAAAAACAAUAUUGGACAAAUAUUGUAGAGUACACCACAUUUUAUUUUAUAGAUGCGAUCGACAACCAUAAUCUAUUACAUCACAAUGUCAUAUAUGACAUCCUUCGUACAUCUUUUACAAUACACACAAACCUAAUUAAGAAAAGCAUUUUAUUUAAGUAGGUACGCAUUGAUGAACAUAUGCAUGCAUGAUUACAUAUAAUUGAACCCUUUUUAACAAGACCAGCAAAAGCUCUUUCCAACCGUUGCAUAUGACGUAUGGUUUUUAUUCAUUAAUUAAUUAAUUUAUGCUCCCAGAAGGUGAGCGUCAAGAUCCUGGACGAGUUUAACCAUCAAACCGACAUAUCUAUCUGGAGCUUUAACAUUCUCAUGCAGUUUCUCGUAUUCGAUCCACAGGUUGGCAAUGCAGGUGCCUUCAUCUUUUUGAGUGAAUUUAUAGACACCCUUGAAGCUCUUAUAAUACUUGAACACUUCUCCUUCCAAUCCUUUCAGAGUUGCGGCUUGUUCCCAUCGUCUAGCUCCACCUGUUCCUUGAAUAUCCCGACAUGAUCCCCUAUAUAUAUGCAUGCAUGCAUUCAUGGUUAAUUUCAUAACAACAAAAUAUAUAAACUUUCUCACCCUCUCUUAUUAGGAUCUUGUUUCCACUGUAGCAAAAAGGGGGCAAUAUGACUUAUUUAGGAAACAUGUAUUUACUGUAUAUGACUCUCAUUGUCUAGAACAAAAAUUGAAGGAAGCAUUGAAAUAUAUAUAAGAGGUCAUAUAUGGUAAAUACAUGAUUUCUACGAUUGUUCUAUCUCGACCUUGUUUUUGCUACAAUAAAUCAGAAUUUCUGCGAAAAAGCUGUAAACAUUGAAACUCGUGCUAUGAACGUAUGAUGAUUUGAGCGCAUCUGUUAAGGUAUACAUACAUAUAAAGUGAAUAAUUAAACAGGAAAAUUGAAUUAAGUAGCGGUACCUAGUUCAUAUUUCCAAAUCUUAACAGAGCCGUGUGUUUCCCAAUCUCCUUCAUGCACAUCAACUCCUUUGAUAUGGGUAUUAGAGAUGUUUGGGAUGAGGUGGGCGCUCUUGAACAUGUUGUACAACUUGUCAGCUGGUGCCUUAAUUUCUAUUUCAGUCCCAAUUUUACCAUGCAAAACCAUGUUUAUGAGCAGUUUUGAUGGGUGCUACUCAGAAAUUAUAAGAGAAGAAUGUUAAAGGAUAUGUAUAAUUUGGGCUCCUACCCUCCUUAAAUAGAAGCGACUAGAGUUAAAUUGCGAGAUAAAACUUAAUAUAUCCGGAACACGAUACAGUACGCCAUAUAUAUAUAAUAUGUAAUAUAAAUAUGGAGGGAAAGUUUUUUUUUUUUUUUUUUUUUUUUUUUGCAAGUGUUUCUCUACUUGUGUAGACGUAUGUACCCGUGUUCUAGAUAUUAAAAAUUCUCCCGUAAUAUUUUAAUAGUGGGUAAUCCAAUUUAAAAACCAAAUCAUGCAACACGUGAUAAAGAUUAAGUCAUAUAUUUUUUAAAUCAUACUUCUCGGAUAAUUGGAAUCCUAUGAAGUAAUGAUCACAAGUUCACAAUAUGCAUGGAUAGAUGAAGGGUUUGCUCAUGAUUAAUGUUAGGGAGACCAAAUUUCUAAAUCAAAAUUUGUAAACAAAAUAAUGUGGAGGUAAAUGAUUGAAUUAUUAUUUAAGUGUUAAUUAAUAUGCUUGUUUCUUAUUAAUAACAUAUCAUUUGAUUUGCAUUCACGCAUGCGAUAAAGAUUAGAUUAGUACGAUCACACUAAAAAUUUAUAUGUAAAUGUUUUAAAAUAAAAUGUAAUUUAUCUGCAAAAUGUUUUUUUUUUAAAAGGUACGAUAUUCUUUAAUAACAAAUUUAUACGUACAUCAAUGAGGAUAGGGUGUAAACAAAUGGCCUCGAUAAAAACCUUGCCGGGGUUUUUAACCCGAUCGAAGAGAGAUUUUUCAAUGUGACCGUCACACAAGGAGGUACACCACGUGUCUCUAUGUAAAUGGUUAGAUAUGUGUGUUAAAAGAUUAAUAACUUAAAAAUUAAAAUUUUCCACCACUUACAUAAAAAUACGUGGUGUACCAUCCGUGUUCCUGUCACAACUAAAAAUUUUCCCCGGUUGAAGGGAAAAAGAGUGUCCCACACCAACAUAAUUAAUUAAGAAUUGCUAUCCUAAAAAAGAAGAUCAAGAAUUACAUUAGGAAGUUCCUCAGACCAAACCACACAUUGUUACCAUAACUCAAGCUCAUACGUGCUAGCCUGUGUGCCACCUUGUUCGUCUCCUUUUGACUAAAUUCAACCUUCCACUUGGACAAUGAAUGAAUAAUUGCGUGUGUCGUUUAGAAUGUUUCCAAAGUGUGAGGUGUCAAUACUUCCUUCUGCAAAAUGUUUUAGAAUAAAAAGUUUUAUAUCUUGUAGGAUCACAUCUAUUUAUUUAUUAUCAUUAUUAUAUUUUUGGAAAGAUCGAUACGUAUGGGCCAUGGCGUCUGGUUCUUUUGUUAAAAAGCCAUCAAAUGGGGAGGCAUGGAUGAGGUAUUAGGUAUCCACAAAUGUCAGUUCACAAAAUAUUAUACUAAAAGUAAUUGAAAAGAAUCAAACAAAUAUUAAUUCUUUUCCCAAGAUAAUCCACUAAAAUGAGGGUCCACAACAUAGUUUUUCGGGAACUUUAACGAAAAACACCCGGUACUGUUCACUUUAACGAAAAACCACAUUUUUACACUAAAAAAUCAAUCCUGGUACUAUUCACUUUACCCUUUAUUUUGUCCUUAUCAUUAAAGCUCAAAGUUUUCAAGCCCUUUUCAUUAAUUUUCCUUAGUUUUUUCCACUAGAGUUUAUUGAUCCUUGAAGACUAUCAUUGACGAUUGAUCAUCCAACAGGUGCAUUAUUUAUUUUUUAACAAACGGUAAUAGUUACUAUUUCUUGAAUUGGAUAGGGGUAUCGAUACUAUUUCUUAAAUAAAACAUUAAUACUAUUAUUAUUCUUAAACUGAAUACUGGCACUAUUACUAUUUUUUAAACUGAACAUUCAUUAUUUCUUAAACCGAGCGCUGGUACUAUAACUAUUUCUUAAACUGAACAUUCAGUAUUUCUUAAACUGGACAUUCACUAUUUCGUAAACUGAACACAAAUAUUAUUACUAUUUCUUAAACUGAAUAUUCAUUAUUUUGUAUACUGAACACGGAUAUUAUCAUUAUUUCUUAAACGUAACACUAAUAUUAUUACUAUUUCUUAAGCUGAAUACUGACUAUUUCUUAAAUUGAACAAUAACUAUUUUUAUAAUUGAAUACAAGCACUGUCCCUAUUUCUUAAACCAAAAAUAGUGAAUUAGGGUUUAGUUAUUACGAUAUAUUACUGGAUUAUGAUUAACAUAUAAUUGUGUUCUGGCCUUAGAGAAAAAAGGUACACACCAUGUUAAAUACAUGUAGGCAUUUAUAUAUAAAUAUAUAUUACAUACGUAUAUAAUUCCAACUUUUGAUAGAUCAAGCCAUGAGUUUCCCAGUCUCCUUCUUGCACCUGAACUCCCUGGAUACUGCCAGAACAAAUUUUUGGGACGUGUGGCGAGCCUGGCUCUUGAAGAUGUUGUAGAACUUCUCAGCAGGUGCCUUAAUUUCGAUCUCAGUCUCAACCUUACCGUGCAGAGUCGUGUUUAUGAUCAGUUGGGAUGGCACUCAACAAUGCGUACAAGGCCUGUUCUAAAGAAACUUAAGGGCAGCCCUUUUCUGCUACAGUUAAAUUAUACAAUAUUAAUUUGAGGUAUUCAUCAAUUUACCUCCUAACUUAUAAGAAUUGGUCAAUUUUCCUUAUCAACUUUCAUAAUUAAUCAAUUUGCACCAUACUAUUAAUUUUUUAAAAUUUUUCAUCCUUUCUUCUGUUAAGUAUGUCAAGUGUUAUCCGCAUGACUGCCUUUAAAGGGUAAAAAGGUCAUUUUACCUACACCUUCCGUCUUCUUUCUCUUCUCCGAACUUUCUUUUCUUCUUCUUUUUCACCAAGCCGAGCCCGUACUGUUCCACCGUGCUCCACAGGCACGAUUUUCCCGGCGAACACCAAAAGAAACAGUGGGAGGGAUCUGAGCUCGUAGAUCCGCGUUCACUACAUCCCCUUCUUGCACUCCUCGCAAACCCUACCCUCCGAUUCUAAUGGGACACCUCCCCCGUCGCCACUGAGUUCCUGAAGAAGAACCGCGCAUACGACUUGGCCACCACCGCCGCCACUCCAACCACUCCCAGAGCCACAGGCGCGUGCUCCCCCGAAGACCCGCACCUGAAGUUGGCGCCCCCAAUUAUGAUCGAGUACUUGGACUUUCUCUUUCCCGGAUCCACGAAGCGCGUGGAGUAGGAGGCGGGGAGGUUGCAUAGCGUGUAAGACCCUAGCUUGGCGAUGUGGGGAGAAGAUGAGAUGGAUUUGAUCAAAGACUUGCCGAAGAAUCUGGGGAGAAGAUGCGGGGACUUUCUCUCCCGUAUUACUUAUCCUAUCAUUUUCCUUGUACGGGCUGCCAAACGAGGCCUUAGUAUGCUAUUGCCUUGUAUUUGAAAUUAGACAAUCGUUUUAUUUAAAAAAAAACAAACUUACUAAGUUCACACUUAAACAUAUUUAAACAAACUUACUAAGGUCAACACACUUGCAGAUAACACAAUUAAAACUAAACAUACCAACAAACAUGGAUCACACUUACAAGGCCAAACAAAGCAUAUAUAUAUAUAUAUGUAUGUAUGUAUGUAUAAUGUAUGUAUGUAUAUAUAUGUAUAUUAUAUUUAUGAACAGUAUUGCCCUUGCUCUUGUCUUUGCCCAACUGGUAGUAGAGUUGCACAGAGACAAAGUUGUUGGUAUAUGGUCCAGCCCAUGAUCAAUGUUCUAGAUUAUUCUAGUAAGCAAGAGAUGAGGCUGAAGCUUGCUAGACAAUUCUAGAAUGUUAUUAAGUUGAUGGAAGAAGCUAGAGAGUACUAGCUUCCUUGGUUGCAAAUGGAAAGAUCUAGAAGCUACAAGUAUAUGGCUAGUCUAGAUUUUUCUAUACUAGAGGUUUGAAGAAGGAACUAGAAACUAGUAGAAUGCCAAACCCUCACCUAUAAAUAUGGGUGUGAUGUAACCAAUUGAGAACCAAGAGUGAGUAGCAAAGGAUCAAGUCCAAAGCUAGAGUUCCACUCCAAGAGUGAGAGUGAGAGUGUUCCACUACACAUUGUGUGAGUGAAGUUUAGAGUGAUAGAAAGUGUGUGUUAUACUUUCUUGUAUCCAUCAAGCCUUGUCUUUGGCUUGGUAAGACUACUCUUGUUGUAUUCAUCUUUUUCAUAUAGUGAAGAUUGAUCCUUGUUUGGUGGACGUAGGCAUAAAUUGCCGAACCACAUAAACUUUUCUUGGCGUCCAUUUUCUACUUUACCUUGUGCAUUCUCUAUCUUGUAGUACCGACAUUCCUAACAAGUGGUAUCAGAGCCCGGUUGGCUCGUACUACGAGAUGGAAGGAAGUGGCACUAUGAUCAAACUCACCAACUCCAAUUGGGUAACAUGGAAGCCAAGGAUGGAGGACAUUCUCUAUUGCAAGGAUUUGCAUGAGCCAAUUGAAGGAGAUGCCGCUAAGCCCGAGAGCAUGUCCGAUGCCGAGUGGAAGAAGAUGAAUCGCAAGGCUAUUGGCACAAUUAGACAAUGGGUGGACGAUAGUGUUUUUCACCAUGUGUCUAAUGAAACCAAUGCUCGCGAGUUUUGGACAAAGCUUGAGUCCUUGUUCGAGAAGAAAACUCCAGCUAAGAAAGCCUUCUUGAUCAAAGAGCUCAUCAAUGUGAAGUACAAGGAUGGUUUAAGUGUAGCAGAACACUUGAACAAUUUCCAGAAUAUCAUCAACCAGUUGGCUACUAUGAAAAUGAUGAUCGAGGACGAGCUACAAGCGCUCUUGUUACUUGGAUCCUUGCCAGACAGUUGGGAGACCUUUGUGGUGAGUAUAAGUAACUCUGCUUCUAAUGGUGUUCUUACUCUUGAUAAUGUUAAAAAUAGCAUGCUCAAUGAAGAAACAAGGAGAAAGACUUCUGGCACAGAUAGCAGCCAAGUAUUUGUCACAGAGAACCGCGGAAGAAGCAAGAGUAGAGGGCCUAGAGGUCAUGGCAGGAGUCCUAGCCGAUCCAAGUCAAAGUUCAGGGGUGCAUGCCACCACUGUGGCAAAGAAGGCCAUAUGAAGAAAAAUUGUCGAGUUUGGAAGAGAGAGCAAAGGGAAGGAAACAAUCAGAAGAAAGAUGAUACUGGCAAUACCACCGCUGUCAUCUGUGGUGAUGUACCAGAAAUAUUGUCUGUUGGUGAAUGUCUGCAUAUGGGCAACUCUGACAGAGACAUUGAAUGGAUCUUUGAUAAUGGAGCUUCCUUCCAUGCUACGUCCAAACGGGAGUUCUUCAGUACAUACAAAGAAGGUGACUUUGGCAUAGUGAAGAUGGGGAAUGAAAGCUAUUCCAAAAUUCUUGGAAUUGGUGAUAUCUGCUUAAGAACUAAUCUCGGCUGCCAAUUGAUGUUGAAAGAUGUGAGACAUAUUCCUGAUAUACGUCUCAAUCUGAUAUCCAUCGGUACCCUUGAUCGACAAGGAUAUUAUCACCAUAUUGGCGAAGGAAAAUUGAAGCUUACUAAAGGCUUAAUGGUGGUAGCAAAAGCACGACUUUGUUGUACGUUGUACCGGUCAAAUGCACAGGUUUUUGAAAGGUGAGUUGAAUGCUGUGGAGGACUCAUCUCUAGACUUAUGGCAUAAGAGGCUGGGCCACAUAAGCGAGAAAGGCCUACAAGUUUUGGCAAAGAAGUCUCACAUUCCCUUUACCGAAGGUACGUCGUUAAACUCUUGUGAGCAUUGUUUAUUCGGAAAACAAAGAAGAGUUAGUUUUUCUGUUCCAUCUACAAAGAAAGGAAACUUGUUAGAUCUUGUUUAUUCAGAUGUGUGUGGUCCCAUGGAAGUCGAGUCACUUGGAAGAAAUAAAUAUUUUGUUACUUAUAUUGAUGAUGAUGCUUCACGAAGGGUGUGGGUGUAUUUGUUGAAAUCCAAAGACCAGGUGUUUCAGACAUUCCAGGAGUUCUAUGCCAUGGUGGAGAGGGAAACUGGGAAACCUCUCAAGUGCCUUCGUAGCGACAACGGCGGCGAGUACACAUCUCACCAGUUUAGAGAGUAUUGUGUAAAACAUGGCAUACGUCAUGAGAAGACAGUUCCUGGAACUCCACAACAUAACGGUGUUGCUGAAAGAAUGAACCGAACCAUCAUGGAGAAAGUCAGGUGUAUGUUGAGGACUGCAAAGUUAUCUAAGCAGUUCUGGGGUGAAGCUGUAAGGACAGCCUGCUAUUUGAUCAACCGAUCUCCAUCAGUACCAUUAGGUCUUGAUGUUCCAGAGAGAGUAUGGACUGGUAAUGAUGUGUCUUACUCUCAUCUGAAGGUGUUUGGUUGCAAAGCUUUUGUGCAUGUGCCCAAAGAGCAGAGAUCGAAGUUAGACUACAAAGCUACACCGUGCAUCUUUCUUGGUUAUGGCGGUGAAGAUUUUGGUUACAGAUUAUGGGACCCAUACCAGAAGAAGUUUAUCCGAAGUAGAGACGUGGUCUUUUAUGAAGAACAAACAAUUGGGGAUUCGGAUAAAGAGGCACAACCAGAUGGCGCAGUCAGAGGAGUUGAUCCAUUAGCUUCAGAUGAAGAAAGUCACGAUGACAUCCCUGAAGCAACUGCCAAUGAAGUGCCUGCAGAAUCAGAUAAUGCUAAUCAAGAGGAGCCUGAUCAAGAUGUGCCAAACCAUGAGAUUGCUCAUCAGGGGAGCCUAGUCAAGAAGAGCAUAUUCAAGGAGAACCCAAUCAGGGGGAGCCUCCAGCCCUACAAGAGAAUGAAGAUCAGGUCAGAAGAUCCAUCAGAAGUCGAAGACCGUCUACCAAGUAUUCUUCAUCAGAGUAUAUCAUGUUGACUAAUUAUGGAGAGCCCGAAACAUAUGAGGAGGCCAGAGCUCAUAACGACAGUGACAAAUGGAUGAAGGCAAUGGAGUCGGAGAUGGAUUCCUUAUCAAAGAAUGAUACCUAUGAGCUGGUGGAGCUUCCAAAGGGCAGGAAAGCAUUGAAAAACAAGUGGGUGUUCAAAUUGAAAAGAGACGACAACAUGACAAGGUACAAGGCUCGUUUGGUUGUCAAAGGUUUUGGUCAAAAGAAAGGAGUUGACUUUGAUGAGAUUUUCUCACCGGUGGUGAAGAUGACUUCCAUUCGAGUUAUCCUUGGUAUGGCAGCAAGCAUGGAUCUUGAGCUCGAGCAGUUAGAUGUUAAAACUGCAUUUCUCCACGGCAAUUUAGAAGAGGAGAUAUACAUGGAGCAACCCAAAGGCUUUGAAGUCAAAGGUAAAGAAAAUUUGGUGUGCAAGCUCAAGAAAAGUUUAUAUGGUCUUAAGCAGGCUCCGAGACAGUGGAAUAAGAAGUUCAACUCACUCAUGGUGAGUAAUGGGUACAAGAGAACUCAUGCUGACUCUUGUGUCUAUAUCAAACAAUUUUCUGGAGGUAAAUUCAUCAUCUUAUUGCUUUAUGUUGAUGACAUGUUGAUUGUCGGACAAGAUACCUCUAUGAUUAAAAAGCUCAAAGAAGAGUUAUCUAAGUCCUUUGACAUGAAGGACUUAGGGCCAGCCAAGCAGAUUUUGGGCAUGGAUAUAAUUCGUGACAGAAAAUCCAAAAAGUUGUGGCUGUCACAAGAAAAGUAUGUUGAACGGGUGCUUGAAAGGUUCAACAUGAAAGCAGCCAAAUCGGUAAGCUCACCUUUAGCCAAUCAUAUCAAGUUGAGCAAAGAGUCAUGUCCAAAAACAUAUUGAAGAAAAGGAGAAAAUGGCAGUUGUUCCCUACUCUUCAGCAGUAGGAAGUAUCAUGUAUGCAAUGGUGUGCACACGGCCAGAUAUUGCUCAUGCAGUAGGUGUGGUGAGCAGGUUUCUCUCUAAUCCAGGGAAGGACCACUGGGAAGCUGUUAAGUGGAUUCUCAGAUAUUUGAAAGGGACUUCUAAGAUGUGCUUGUGCUUUGGCGGUUCCAAACCAAUCUUGGAAGGAUUUACAGAUGCUGACAUGGGAGGUGACCUGGAUGGUAGAAAAUCUACGUCUGGGUACUUGUUUACUUUUACAGGGGGAGCCGUGUCUUGGCAAUCCAAGUUACAAAAGUGCAUUGCUUUGUCCACAACCGAGGCUGAAUACAUAGCCGCUACAGAAGCAUGCAAGGAGUUGUUGUGGCUGAAGCGGUUUCUCCAAGAGUUGGGUUUGAAGCAAAGUGAUUAUGGCGUUUAUUGUGAUAGUCAGAGUGCUCUGGACUUGAGCAAGAACACUACAUAUCAUUCACGCACUAAGCACAUUGAUAUUCGUUAUCAUUGGAUUAGAGACGCUAUCGAGAACAAGUUGCUGCAGCUGAAGAAGAUUCAUACCGAUAAUAAUUCUUCAGACAUGUUGACAAAGGUAGUCACAAAAUCAAAGUUGGAAUUCUGCAUUAAGGCUGCUGGGAUGAACUCCAGGUAACUUGGAGUCAUGAUCGGAAUUCCUCCCUCAUGGACUGGAGGGGGAGAUUGUUGGUAUAUGGUCCAGCCCAUGAUCAAUGUUCUAGAUUAUUCUAGUAAGCAAGAGAUGAGGCUGAAGCUUGCUAGACAAUUCUAGAAUGUUAUUAAGUUGAUGGAAGAAGCUAGAGAGUACUAGCUUCCUUGGUUGCAAAUGGAAAGAUCUAGAAGCUACAAGUAUAUGGCUAGUCUAGAUUUUUCUAUACUAGAGGUUUGAAGAAGGAACUAGAAACUAGUAGAAUGCCAAACCCUCACCUAUAAAUAUGGGUGUGAUGUAACCAAUUGAGAACCAAGAGUGAGUAGCAAAGGAUCAAGUCCAAAGCUAGAGUUCCACUCCAAGAGUGAGAGUGAGAGUGUUCCACUACACAUUGUGUGAGUGAAGUUUAGAGUGAUAGAAAGUGUGUGUUAUACUUUCUUGUAUCCAUCAAGCCUUGUCUUUGGCUUGGUAAGACUACUCUUGUUGUAUUCAUCUUUUUCAUAUAGUGAAGAUUGAUCCUUGUUUGGUGGACGUAGGCAUAAAUUGCCGAACCACAUAAAUUCUUGGCGUCCAUUUUCUACUUUACCUUGUGCAUUCUCUAUCUUGUAGUACCGACAUUCCUAACAAAAGUAUUGUUCAUAGUAAAAAGUACGGGCAAGCCAACUGCCUUGUUCUUACACUUGCGUUCUCCAAACGGGUGAAACUGCUAUUAUGAUCGGUCUGAAGUAGACGCGCUUAUUCUUGCGUGAGGAAAUUAUCAGUCUCCUUAACAAGAUAACAGCUAACUGGAGCUGAAGUUGGGGAUCCGGAACCCAUCAUGUAGCUUUUCAUAUUGUAGAACCAAAUUCACCACGCUGCCCUCAUCAUGAACGCCUAAUUUUGGAGUAACUUGUAAAGUGAUCUUAAAGCUCUUGUAUCGAUCUAGAGGGUUUCCUUCAAGCACUGUGAAAGUCACCGAAUGAUUUACAUCGUCUAUGGCUUCAGUUAACUCCUUGGAAAAAGUUGGUUUCCCAUCUGCUAACAUUUCAUCACAAAUCAAUUACUUGCUUCAUCCACAAAAAAACAUGUCGACAUAUAUAGUAAGAGAACAAUCUUUCAGCCACACUUACCUUCAAUAUAAUCCCACAAGAAGACACAACCCACUUUACCCCAUUCACCUUCAAGUAAUUUAUGACUCGGAACUUUGUCGGGGCUGAUGUUGCAUAUUUCGUACGGUGUUCGUGCAAAGAAUUCAUGGAACCUGUUUGCUUCAGACUUGAUUUCAACACUCGUCUCCACCUUGCUAGAAUUUGACAUUUUCCACAAGUACCAGAGUUGAAGGAAAAACGACUUUGGUGGUUCCCAACGUGAAAAUGGCGGGGUUUAGUGCAGCAACAAAGAAAAUGGCGGUGGCUGCUGCAAAUGGAUGUGGUGAUUCCCUCUCCCGCAGAAAAGAAGAUAAGUUUUUCUUACAAUAUUCUAAUUAUUCUCCAUGAUGAUGUCUGCCAUCUGCAAUAAAAAAAUAAUAAAAAGAAAAAAGACAGCCACUGAUGAUUGGUGAAGUGACGAGAUAAUCAUCAACUAGCUCAGCUCCACCCUCAGCACAACUGUGACGAAACCCACUUUUCUGAGAAAAUCACGAGAAAAGCAGAAAGCAAAAGAUAAAGCAAAAGGAAGACACAUGGGGACACUGCAAAAGUAAGGAAUAAACAUCCCACCAGAAUGAUGUAAUUUAUUUUUAUUAUCUUUCGGAGACAUCUGUAUAAACCCCAUCAGAGGGUAAUUAAAAAAAAAAAGCCCAAAAUAAUGGGCUGCAAACCCAAAAUAAGGGGCUACAAUGUCAUGGGCGAAGGCCCAUAUGCCCAAAAGACCCAUACCCUCUAUUACCACCAACCAGGUGAUCAAAAGUACGCCCAGUACUCCACAAUUAUUCGACAACCUGCCGCUAUUACCACCAACCAGGUGAUGAAAUGUACAACCCGUACUCUAAAAUCAUUUGGCAACUAGUCAUUCAUGCCACCAACCAGGUGAUGAAAUGUACAACCCGUACUCUCCUUCAUGCCACCAACCAGGUGAUCAAAAGUAUGCCCAGUACUUCAUAUUAUACAUGAACAUUACUCAUGUCAAUCAUACACAAACAUUCAUGAGUAUCACUCAUAUCAAUCAUACAUAUACAUUCAUGAGUAUCACUCAUGUCAACAUUCAUGAGCAUCACUCAUGUCAACAUCCAUGAGCAUCACUCAUAUCAAUCAAACAUUCAUGAGCAUCACUCAUGUCAAACAGCUUCAAAAGCUUCAUUUACAAAAGCUCUAGCUUCAAAAGCUUCAUUUACAGAGCUUCAGCUUCAAAGCUUCACUUAUAAAGCUUCAGUGCAGGGUAUACAAAUACCGCCUCCGAACAACCGCCACUUCGGCCCAUACAUGGAUUCAAUUUGAAGUCUCCAGCUAACAGACUCUAUUGACCGAAAAGACUUGGGGGACUACAUUAUAUACCAUAUAUUGGGCCUCAACUGGGCCUCAUAAAAAAUACUUGGGGGACUUAGCCCAUUAUCUAUGUACUGAGGAGCGAACCCUUAUUCUAUAAAAGGGACUUCCUCACUUUCAUUAGAGAGCAUCGCCGCCAGCUGAGCAACCGCCUCGCCGCGAGCAUCACUCCUAACCCAUCACUUAUGUAUUGAGGAGUGGGCCCUUAUUCUAUAAAAGGGACUCCAUCACCAUCAUUAGAGAGCAUCAACUCUAGCCCAUUAUCUAUGUACUGAGGAGCGAGCCCUUAUUCUAUAAAAGGGACUCCAUCACUUUCAUUAGAGAGCAUCGCAGCCAGCUGAGCAACCGCCUCGCCGCGAGCAUCACUCCUAACCCAUCACUUAUGUAUUGAGGAGCGGGCUCUUAUUCUAUAAAAGAGACUCCCUUACCAUCAUUAGAGAGCAUCAACUCUAGCCCAUCAUUCAUGUAUUGAAGAGCGAGCCCUUAUUCUAUAAAAAUGACUCUCUCACCUUCAACGCCACAAGCCGAGCCAACCAAGGCAACAUAAGCCACGAGCCGAGCAGCCUCGCAGCAUGUGCUACUUCUAGUUGAGCAUCAUCUCAGAUUGAGCACCGCCUCAUAUCGAACAUCAGUUCAAGACAACGUCUAGUUACUUCGGCCCACACAUGGACUGAAUUUCAAGUCUCCAGCCAAAAGACUCUCUUGACUGAAGACUUGGGAGACUACUGUUUAUACCAUAUUUAGGGCCUCGUAUUUAGAUCUUGUACAAAUACUCAGGGGACUUAAAUGUAAUUAUGUGAUAAAAGAAGGGGCAAAUAUGUAAUAAGUGAGGAGUCCUUAUUCUAUAAAAGGACCCCUCACCCUCACAAUUAGAGGAGGCCAAUUCCUAGGCCCUCUCACCCCCUCUCAACGCUCUCACUAUCAGUGCUCCCUCUCCCUCAGAUAAAUACAUAAUCAAAGUGGACGUAGCCCAAACCUUGGGGUGAACCACGAUACAUCUUGUGUCAUUUACAUUACUUGCAGAUUCACGGUCGGAUUUACGUUGUUCCAAAACCUCCGGUUUUGUGCAUCAACAGCCCUUACAUUUAUAUAGAAGAAAAGAGGGAAACAAAAACUUUACAAGAACCUAACAAUUUGCCCAUGCCAUCAGACAUGGAUGUAUUUAUUCACUAAAAAAAAUGCGUUAGUUGUAUUAUUUUACUAGAACCGAACAAUUUGCCCAGUAGACAUGGAUGGUGGAAUAUCUUGAUCAAUAUUAUUCCUCGUUUGCUCUCGUCGUUUCUAAGAAAACAAUGUUUUGUGGUUUUAUUAAAUAGCUGGAGACAAAAUGUUUCGAUCUUGUUCGUUUCUCUGUUUGUAUGCUUUUAUACAUGUUAUUUCUAAACAAUUUGUUUGUUUUAUGGUGGGCAUCUUUAAAAGUAAGAUACCCAUUUGUUUUUAAAGAAAUGUUAUUGUCACCUAAAAAUUUAAGUGUGUAUUUAUAAUUAUUUAUAUUUAAAAAAAAAUAUUCUUACAAUGAAUGUACAAUUAGAUUUUUGUAGUGUAAAUUUUCUGUCUUCAAUUUCGACUACUCGAAAUAUAUGAUCCGAUUGACCCCCAAACAUUGAGGUUUAAAUAUUUAUGGCUGGGGAAGACGAAUUCACCCAAACCUCGAACUCCUUUUCUUAGGAAAUAAAUUGAAAGUUAUAAUCUAAGGCCAAAUUCAAACCGAAACAACAACAUUCUAUUCUAUAAUUUCUCCUAGUCCUGAUCGGUUAGGGAUUCUAGUUAGUUCGUUUACAAACUACGUUGGCUAAUAUAUUUCAGUUACAACUUCAUAUAUAAAUGCAUUCUUCGUCGAAUUAACAAAUAAUCAGUUUGUAUCUAUAUAUAUAAAGUGAGAGCCCUAGUUUGGUGAAGCAUUUGAUAAACCAAAAAUGCCCUCACUUCAUACACUAUACCAACGUUAAUUGUCCAAUAAAAUUAGGGUCAAAAUUGUAAUAUAAUACAACGAAAUUCUACUGUGCGAAUAAUACAUGCACUCAUCUGAACAAUGACAAUUUUCAACCACUAGAUAAAAAUAUACACACUUAAAAUUCAUUGUGACCCUUAGAUCAAUCCUCCCACAAAUACUGCAUCACAUUCUAUCUUUCCACCAAAACCAAAAUAACAAAUAAAUUGAUAAAAACUGACAAACACUCCCUCCAAAUUAGAGUAGAACUGUCAAACACGUUGUCGCACAAAACAGAACACCGGUUGCAGCAGUUGCAAAGAUCGGAGAUAGAACCACCAAUCUACCACACGUUCUAGAGGGGAUAGCGAUCAUUCCAACCCCAAAUGCACAGAAAAGAGGAAGAACUCAUUUUCGUCUUCUGCACAAACCUCUCAUCCACGUGUUUUUCCAGAGUUUCUUCUGCAUCCACACUCAAUUUACACAAAUUCAGGUGAUUUUUUUUUCAUAAUUUCUACCCUCCAAUUAAGUAAUAUUACCCACAUGAAUCUGCUUUUCCGCUUGUUUUGUUUAUUAUUCUAUAUAAUUUAAUAAGGAAAUUCGAAUCAUUGAUGGCGUAGGAUGGGAUUGCUGGGCGUUCAAAAUUGCUCAGUGAUUAGUACUUAAUCGACCACACUGCUUAUAUUAUUUAAACUUAAUUGUUGUCAUAUGGGUUUUUCUGGAUUCCAUUUCUCUUAUUUAUGUGAUUUGAGUCAGUGGUAGUCAGGUGCAUGCAAUGAGAGACAUUUGAGGCUAUAGCUGGGAAUUUGGUUUCUAUAAAAUUACUUCUGCAAUUGGUCAGAAUUUAUAGGAGUUACUAAAAUUACCCCAUUACCAGUUUUUGUUUUACUAUAGUUGGUAAUGAUUUGUAAGCAGAUUGUACAUUGAGGUAAUGUGUGAAUUGAAUUCUGAUGGUUAAACUAAUACGACAAACUGGUAAAAAACCAUCACUGAAAAAAGAUAAAGCAUCACAACUGUAGAGUUUUGCCUAAUGAAGAAUUAGAACCGCGACGUGGGAUUCAACCACCCUCCACGUUCUGCAAACUACAAACCAGAUUGACAAAGACUCUUCCUCUACAGAAAACGAGGGGAGGGAGAAAUAGAGAUACAUAUUGACAAAGACUCUUCCUCUACAUCGACUGAUUCUUAUCGCAGGUAACUUUCAAACUUGAUUCUCAAUUUUCUAUGUAUUCCUUCCAGCGUUUGUUCAAACUUUCAAACUUGACUCUACUCGCCGUGAUCAACAACUGCAGCUUCUUGAAACAGCCUUUCACUCGUCAUAAACGACAAGUGUGGCUUCUUUACCAGUAUGUUUAUUAGUCUCUUUUCUAAUCAAAUUCAUUGCCAUUAAUUAACUGUUUCUCAUCGAUCAUUCAUUUCUGAUCAUAUUUUCAAUUUCCGUUCUAUUCCCAUUUAUACAUCUUUUUCAAUUGUGUAUGAAUUAUUUGCUUUGAUGAAGCAGAAUUAGAUUUGCGUUCAUAUUCAAUUCUAAUUAAUUGACGAUGUCCUUUGAGAGCGAGCCCAAACUAUCUAGCGAUUCGAUAUAAUCGGAGAAAGAUUUUCCAGGGUGAACCAUAUCCUUUACCUGACUAUUGAGCCGUAAAGUUUCCGGUUUCUUAAGGUUUCGGAUAUCCACUCAAUCUAUUGGGACCUGUCUGGAAAUCCCCACAGCCAUGUGACUUGCGAUUCUUCUUCUUAAUAAACGACUUAGUUUUUGCAUUUUUUGUUCGAAUUCAAAGUUUUUUUUAUACAAAUUUGAAGCUUUUCUUCAAGCUUAUUCAUUAUAUAGAUUCCAAAAUUUUUAAAUCCUCUCAAAGUAGUAGGGAUUUGGAAAUGAACUCUGCUAGAGAAGGUGGCUUGCGUUGAAAUUACCAUAAUAACAGUGUUGGGUUGGGAAUUUUUUACUGGUUUUUUAUUUAAUAUGUUUUGAAUCUUAUCUUGCAACCUGUUGUUUUUCUUCAUGGGGUUCAGGAGGAGGAACUUCACCAAGUAUUCAAAGUAAUCAAAGAUUCUUCAAUCCCGAGUUUUACCGAUCAUUCUGUUUGAUCAGGUUGCUACUUCACCCUUUAUGAUAAGUUAUUAGAUGCAUUUCAGUGUGUCCUGCAUUUGAUAACUGAGUUAUUUCGUUAUUGCUAGAAAGGUAAAUUUUACGCUAGAUUGCAAUGCAAGGUAUGUAACUCGAUAGUUUGAUGAGUUUGAAUUAUUUUUUUUAUUAGGGCUGUUGCUACUUAUUUAAUUAUGCUUGGCAAUUAGCCUGCUUGAUCGGGGGUAUGAUCGUUGUGAAUGCCGUAUGAUUGCAAUGGCAAAAUUUUAUUGAUUCAAGUGUGAAAUAGAUAAACAAAUAAGAAAAAACCAUGUUCAUGCGUAAACCAUGUCAUUGUCAUUGAAAAAACUAUAGGUAACCCUCUAAAAAUUAAUAGAUGAAGUCAAUGGAAUUGAGAGCUAUGUAAUCCAAGUCCCAGUUGCAUAUGUUAUUGGUGCAUUCAAGAGCUAGCUAAUUGAGGAAGAAAUUCAGAGGUUGAUGUAAGUUGUCUGCAAAGCAUCAUAACCUAGGGUUGAAGCACUUAGCUUUUCUCUACCCUCUUCCAUAUAAUUAGGAUUACAAGUUGUUUUAGAUAUUCAGUUAAUUUUGAAGCCAUUGGCAAUGUUUCAGUUGCAGAGUUUGAUUUAUCAAUUAUCUGCUAAAUGCAUGGAAUUUCAUCUUUUUUACUUUCAAUUUUGGGUCAAAUGUUGGGAAAUUUUUACUGGUUUUUUUAUAUAAUAUGGUUUAAAUCUUAUCUUGCAGCCUGUAGUUUUUCUUCAUGGGGUUCAGGUGGAGGAACUUCACCAAGUAUUCAAAGUAAUUAAAGAUUCUUCAAUCCCGAGUUUUACCGAUCAUUCAAUUUGAUCAGGUUGCUACUUCAUCCUUUAUGAUAAGUUAUUAGAUGCAUUUUAGUUUGUGAAACUAGGAAGGGCAUUCUUUUUGCUUAGUUGUAAGAUACUUGAGAAGCCGAAUAUUACACUUAAUCAAAGAACCGAAAUGGCAAUGUGCUAUUUCACUUUGUUUCUUUGAUGACUCAAAAUUGUAAUAUGAUUGAACUGAAUGAUUACCUGUUUUCAUCUGCAUCUCCAGAUUCAUUUCUUUCAUUUUUAGAAUCAUCAACUCCAUGAUUACCUGUUUUCUUUCAUAUAUGUUUUUCUUUUACUAAUUUAUGUUUUAACUUUUCGUUCUCUUUCAAUUUUCGUAAAUCUGAGUUUUAGAAAACACAUACAAUUCAUGUUACUAACAAAACUUUUGAUGCUUUUACACACUCAUUGGGAUUGUGUAAUGGUACAAGAUUAUUGUGUCGUGGUAAUUACCAAAAUCUUAUUGAUGCUGAAAUUCUAACUGGACAAUUUGUCGGAUCCAAAGUUUUCUUACCAAGAAUCCCUCUCAAAAGUACUAAUACUGCUGGGCUUCCAUUUAAACUUACAAGAAAGUAGUUUCCAGUGAAACUAAGUUUCUCUAUCACUAUAAACAAAUCUCAAGGUCAGACAAUACCACAUGUAGGCAUUUACCUUCCAGAUCACAUCUUCAGUCAUGAACAAUGAUAUGUGGCUUUAUCGAGGGGGGUCUCAAAGUCAACCACAACCGUGUUAGUAAAAAAUGGCUCCAUAAUCAGCCAACAAGGUGUAUUUACACGGAAUGUAGUAUACAAAGAAGUCUUGCUUCAUUCCAGCUAAUUAUGGUGAUUUCUAAUAGGUAACAAUUUUAUUAUCGAUAACCUUUCAGUAUGCAUUUCUCACUUAUCAAUUAACUCUUUUUAUUUGAUUUUUAAUUUUCUCACUAUCAUUUGUAGAUUGGCAAUGAAAAUUUGAAGCAUCAAUCAUGAACAAAUGGGUGGAAAUUGCAGCAUUGAUAUCAAAAUGAAAACUUUUUUUUCAAAAGAAACGGUGACAUAUAGACUCUAUGGGUAUUGUGAAUAAUGUACAUAUUGUUAUGCAAGAUUUAUAUUUUGACAUUUAAGUUGUUUUGUAUUUUUCUACGAGUAAUGUUUUCAUCUACUCUUUUUUUUACAUCUACUUACUAUUGUCCAUGGACUUUAGGUAGGAACUUGCGUCUAAAAUCCCAUGUUGUUUGACAAGUGCAUGAAUAACAUUUAAAUCAUUACUUUACGCAAAGUAAAAACGAAAAACAUGAUAACUUUUUAGGAUAUGCAUGAUAAAAAAAGAGUUCCUCUUUGCACAAUACAUUUAAAAUAUAUCUUGACAAUUACGAUGGGAAAAACUAACACAAUACACAUUUAGGGGCGCGUAGCACCCGUGAUGUAAAAAUGCCUCUCGCACGCACAUUAGUGGGUGCGGAGAGGCUAGUAAUUAAUUAAGAACAAGAGGACUCGAAACAGAAGCAGCAAAACAUGACCAUGACCAACAACGACAACGUUUUGGAGCCGCCCAUCAAUUUCUCGAUGGUGGAUGAGGGCGUAUUCCGAUCAGGCUUCCCGCAGCCGUCAAACUUCCCAUUCCUCCAAUCCCUUCAACUCCGUUCCAUUAUCUAUCUCUGCCCCGAGCCCUACCCGGAGGAGAGUUUGGAGUUUCUUCGGUCGCAAGGCAUUCGGCUCUUCCAGUUCGGAAUCGAGGGCAAGAAGGAGCGGUCUACGUCUCCGCUGAUUCCAGCAGAGACCAUCUCCGAGGCACUGAAAGUUUUGGUUGAAAUUGAGAAUCAUCCGGUGUUGAUCCACUGCAAACGCGGCAAGCAUCGGACUGGUUGUCUGGUGGGUUGCCUGAGGAAAUUUCAGAAUUGGUGUUUGUCUUCGGCGUUAGAGGAGUACCAGCGGUUUGCCGGCGAAAAAUCUAGGGGGACGGAUUUGAGAUUUAUCGAGACGUUUGACGUAUUGGGCCUCAGGGGGGAUGCCUUCACGGCAUUGUCCGCCAUUAUUAUUAAGUUUAUGCUUCCGGAAAGAGGCGGUUGUUGUACAAACAAGAGUUGCAAACCCAUAAACCCUAGGUGAUGUUUUAGUUUUUACGUGUUGAAAUUUUAUGCCCUUUUAGUUGUACCAUAAUGAAAAUUCAUUCAUUCGCUUAGUGACGGGUCCCACGUAUGGGAGUGAUUUUUUUGUUGUUGUUGAUUUAGCAUAAUCACGAAAUUUAGACAUGCUUAUAAAUUUAGUCCUCAAUUUAGGAGUAGGAAAUUUUUAAGAAUAUAUGGACAUGCAUGUUUACUUAAAAAAUUAGAAUGAAAAAUUAUGAAUGGAGAAAGUCAAAAAUACAAUGAAAGAAAUUCAUAUAAAAUUAACUACCCCUGAUAAAUUUGAUACCUGGAAUGAGAAUAAAAAGUCAUGAAUUGAGAAGUUGGAAAUAAGAUAGAAUAAAUCCGUACGAAAUCAACUACUCCCUGAUAAAUUUGAUUCUUGGCAUGAGAAGUCAUGAAUUGAUACGAAGUCUAAUUCUAAUUCUUUUGACAUAUUUUUUUCUAUUUUUAUUUUAUUUUUUAGUUGUUAAAUUAUCAAUGUAAAGUAGAACUCAAAUACUUUUUGACUCCACAUAACCACAUAAAAAUCAAGAAUUGAAACAGAGUAAUUCUAAUACUAAUUCGUACUCUAUCCUAGUGCAAAAAGUUAGAAUUGUAAAAAUUUAGAGCUGAUCUUGGUGAAAUAUAGAACGUCAUAGGACCAUGAUUCUGGAACUCCUUUCCCUCCUUCGACUGUGGUCGGCCUGGGUCAGAUUUCUUCGUUCAGGGAUUUACCUGUUCUGAAUAGUCUGCCCUUGAUGGGUCAACUCUAGUUAGUUAAUCCAAGCAUAGGAAGAUGAGACAAAAUACACACAAAGUUGUUAGGAUAUCUUUUCUUUUUAUAUUUGAGCGAUAUUCUAGUCUAAUCCAAAUUCAUGGAAGGAGGAUUCAAAUUUGGCUACAAUCGGAUUCACAUAUUAGGAUUGAUUUUAAAUUAAAUCCAGGUUGAUAAAAAUAUUUCAAAAUUUUUAAUGGAAACUUUUUUGUGAAGGUAUUGAAGUUGGGAUUGAAACAGAAGAUAGAGCGUAAUAUAAAGUUACAAUAACAUGUUCUAUUAAAUGAAAGUGACUAAAUAUUGAAAAAAAUGCUACACUGCGUGAUCAACUCCGGCAACGAGCAUUAGCACUGCAUCCACGGUUGUAGGGAUUACUCUGAUUCUGAGCACCCGGCUUGCAGUUGUUGGAGGAAGCACCUCUCUGAGAGCAAGGCACAGUGUUUCUCUGCAGAGCUUCAUAGCUUAUGUUUCGUGAGGUGGCCAAGAUGCGCCUGCUAAUCUCCGAGUCCAUGCCAAAUUCAUCAUCACGAUCAUCCAUACACUCUGCUACAGAACCCUCGCGGCGAGGUCUCACUGGAACCCAGCUCACCCCAUGAUCGCCGCCUGCAUCAACGGAGAUGAUCAGAGCGGCCACGAAGGCCAAGGAAAAGAUAAUCGCUGAGGAAUUGGCCAUAGGUUUUGGUAUGGUCUGUGUUUUUAGCUGCCAACUUGUAUUUUGUUGUACGCCUGUUUAAUUACUGAGGGAGACAGAUGGGGCGGCAAGAGAGAGAAGAGUUGGUGAAUUCUGAUGUAUAUAUUAUUGCACUCUAUUGUGUUAUUUAUAGUAGUAAAAAGUAUAAAAAAGGGAAAGUCCUAAGGGAAAAUCCUUAUCUUUCAGGCAAUCCAUCUUAAAUAACACACAAUCUACAAGAUAUUCUGCAGUCCCAUAAGGAUUUUUUACACAAAAAUUCCUAGUAAGUUUGGACUUUGAUACAUUUAAAUUUGAUUAAAUGGAAAAUUGGAUGCUGAUUUCUUCAAGGAGGUGAUUGUGGAUGCAAAUUUCUUCCUCCUUGAUCUUGGACAAAAUUGGACCUACAAAACAAUUAACACCUUAGGGUCAAGGCCAAGAGCCUCACGUGUCCACGAUGAACGCGGGGGGGGGGGCUUUGGCCGUUUGGCCGAAGAACCUCUGAUGCCAAAGUUAGAAUUUAGAGAGAAAAGUGUUUAGAGAGUAUUGGGAAUUUUGCGUGUUGGACCUAGGUUUUGGUGAAAAUGGGAGCCAAUACAUAGGGCAUAGGGUGUAACUUAUGGUUUAAUGUGUGAUUUAAUGGAUUAAUUAGGCAAUUAAUCGAUUAAUUGGUUAAUCAACACAUUUUUGGCAUAAAUAUUUUGGGGGUUAUGUAAUUUAUACCUUGUGGAAAAUAUAGGAUGAGGAUGGAUGAAAUAACUUUGAAUUUGUUACUUAUUUUGGGCAUGCUUGAUUUGGUUGAAGGAUGAUUGCCCGCUACUCGCGCGUAGGAAUCCCGUUGUACCUCAAGGGUAUUUUUGUCUUCUUUUGUCCAAAAAUCCACGUGUCGCCUUGUGAUUAUUUUUGGCUCCAUAGUGAUUACUUAAAUGACUUGCACUAAUUAGCCUUAGGGCUAGUUUGGUAUUACUGUGCUUUGAAAAAAACUGCUUCUGCUGUGCUGCGAAAAUAAACAACUGUGAAAUAAAGCGGUAGAGUGUUUGGUAAACUUUUUUGUAAAAAUGCUUUUAGCAAAAAAAUCAGUGUUAAAGUGUUUGGUAAAUUUUUAUAUAAAACUGCUGUGAUUAGGUUAAAUGACUAAAAAUGAUAUAAUGUUAAAUUUAAUAUAUAAUUUUUUAUUUUUUAAUCUCUAUAAUUGUUGAGUCAUCCAAACUCUUCCAUUUUCCAAAUCCCAUUUAUAAUUCUAGAGUCAUCCUUUUCGCCUAAUUUUUUUUUUCAUCUGACGUUCAGAUCCGAUACGUUAGCGUUCCGUUGGUUAUCAGACAGGAUCAAACUAAGCGUAGGCUGUUUCCGGAUCAGAUCUAGUCGAAGAGCUCUCCCCUAUCGUACUUAACUUGAAUAAGGCAGUUUCCCACUAGCCGCUUAAAGGAGUACUCAAGGAUUACCCUAUUACCGAUCUCGAACUGGCCUCCUACUGUCCUCGCUAAGAAAGAGUCUGCCCGCUUAAUUCAAUGAAGUAGUUGAUAUUUAUCUAUUAAAGUAAUUUAUCAAUUACGGCAUUCAAGGUCGGAUGAUAACAGUUCUCUUUACCCAAGAAGCUCGGGGAAAGGAAACAGAAGCCAUGCAGACUGAAAUUGACGAACUCCCCACCCACACUAAAAAGCAAAUAAAGACCCAUGUUUAGCGUCCUCCACUCUAAGGACCACAUCAUCCAGAAGUUCAAUCUCAUUUACCUCAAGAUCAUCGACAAGAUCGAUCUUCCAAUUUCUGAGACUGAUAUUUCUACCAUUUUUUCCCCUAGUUAUAUAACUUCCACUACCACUAGUUUCCCAGUUUCAUCUCCCCUACCAUCCAUGGCGUCUGCAAGCUCUCACAAACACCCAUCUCUUCUGUCAUCCAUUACUUUCCCCAUCACUUUCCCACCUUCCUCUUGGAGUUGCAGAAGGAGCUUGCUAUGAAGAUCUGUUGUGUGAAAUUGUGCAUCUUGGAUCGAGCACUUUUUUGACAACUGGGUUUUGGAUUUGUUUCCUGGUCUACAAUGCCACGAUGAGUUGAAAAAUACUCUGAUCAGAUUUCGAUUUCGAAAAUUGAAAUCCGACAAAACAAAAAUAUCAAUGAUGAAGAUUCAAUCUCAACCCAGCGAGAAGGAGAAACGGAGGAGAGUAUUUUUGAGAUUGUGAAAGUUUCAUUAAAAUAUACUGUUCACCCGCCUCCUUGAAAAAAUAAGUUGGUUUUGAGAAAUAACAAAAUGUAGCUUCUGUUUUUUGCCACUUUUCAGCUUUUAAUGAUCUGUGACUUUUAAAAUAAGCAGUGUUACCAAGCACAAAUUGUACUCCAAUUUUUUUUCAUCCCAGCUUUUAAAAUAAUUUAAGCAGUACCAAACCUUACCUUAUUCUAAUUGCAACAAAGAAAGCUGAAAUUGGAAUAAUUCGUGAUUUGUUCAAACCAAGAAUACAAAAGCAACAACCUACUAGAAAAUAUGCUCGUAGAGAUUUACGGGUUGUUUCUGCAAGUAAUUUUGCUAAAAGCGCUUUUAUUAGAACAACAUUGAGAAAUCAAUUUUAUAAUGAUAUGAGCAUGCCAAGAGAUUAAACUAGUUUACAACAUCAAUAUUAUAAUGAUAGUACUCUCAGUUCAUUCUUGCUCAUAGAAUUAAAGAGAGAAACCGAACUAAACAACAAUGCGGACUAGCUUGGUCAACUCUCAGGCCUUUAUUCUUGAAGAUAGCAAAAUUACUCAAAGUUCCAUAUCAUAUGUAUGCAUAAAUCUUGUGCUUGGCACUUAUUCCUUGAGAAGAUGUGCAUCAAUAUCUUUAAUGACAUUGACCAUAAAGCUGAGGUACUUCUGUGGAGGCGGAUCGUUCUCGUUGAGUUUUUCAUAUUCUAAAGUAAUUUUCACAAAACCUCCUUCACUCUUUGGAGUGACCUGGAAAAUGAUCUUGUAGCUUUUGUAAUUGUCCAGCACAUGUGAUCCUUCCAGAGCUGUAAGACUCACCCACUUGUUUACUUCAUCUAUUUCCACCUUUUCCUUGAAUGUCUCGACAUUUCCAUCUACACGUCACAUGGAAAAUUACAAUGAUACAUCUAUUCAUGGAGAGAUUUUUCAAUGCUCAGAACACUGGGUGGUACAACACAUGUUAUUAUACAAACGAAUGAAAAUUAUUUUCAAAUGUCUCUUCACUUAUAUAAUGAAAUAUAAUUUAUAUAUCCAUGUUCUGAGCACACUAAAAAUUCUCUCCUGUCCAUGAUCCGAUUCUUUAUAUAUUCAUCGUCAGGUAAUGCAAACCUAAUGGCGCAUGGAUGGCCUGGUCAAUAUAUUUCAGUUUUAAUUCUAGAAGAAUCUUAUACGUACAUAUACAUAUCACGUUAGCAUGUUUAUUUCAUAGCAGGUUAGUUUGUGUUAUUCAAUAAUAAUAAUAAUAAUAAUAAUAAUGUUACAGUAUUAACUAUAAACGUAACAUUAUUAUUAUACAACUUUUUUUAACAAACAAUAUUAUCUACAUUAAGGGAAAGAGGUGAGCUUAGCCUCACAAUGUUUGAAUGAUGGAAAUAAAUUUGGACUUUUGACAAAAUUUAGAAUUUAUAAAUUAACAUGCACCAAUUCUCUUGUCUAGAUUCAUAAACAUAGAAAUUUAGAAUUUCCGCGUGAAAAAAAGGGAGAAUUUGAGACCUCCAAUUCCCAAGUUUAAAUUUCAUGUAAAUAAGUCACUCAGUACUACGGUCUUGUAGUAUUUCUCUUCACUUGAAAGUGAGAGGUUAUAAGUUCGAAUCUUGUUGAUGACGAAUUUGAUACCAAAUUAGGCUACCCAUUGUGUGGCUUUGCCGAACUCCUUAGUGUAAAAAUAUCGAUGUACUAAAAAAAAUCAUGUAAAUAGGUGUUAUUCCAAAUUUUUAUGAGUGAGAGUUUAAAGAUAACAAAAUCUAUAUUGAAUUUAUAUUAUUCUUUUAAGUUAGUCAAACAAGAAAAUUUACAAAUUCUAGAAAUAAAAUUUCUUAGUAAUUUUAAAUUUUCUCAUCCAAACAGAAUGUUAGAGUCAUGAUGUAACACCCGUCGCUUUUUAUUUAACAAAAUUAAUUAUUAGUUUAACUAGGUUAGGAGGAGAGAGGAGGGUGAUUAAUUUCAUAUUACCUAGGGUGUAUUUCCAGAGCUUGACAGAGCCAGAAGUUUCCCAGUCACCUUCAUGUACUGCAACAUCGUGUAUUUUAUCAGAGGCUGCUUUGGGGACGUCGUGGUGCUGGUUGCUGAUGACUUUGUACAACUUAUCAGCGUUGGCUUUGAUCUCUACCUCAGCCUCCACAGUCAGCUUGCAAGCACCAGCUCCACUCACUGCCAUUUUCUUUUAUUUGUUAUUAGUAAUAUGUGAUUAGUCUGGGGAAAUUGUAGGAGACGUAUACUAACCUACAGGUUUCAACUUCUUAUAUAGAGUCGCAAAGUUGUAAAUUAACAUGUUAUAAACUGAUAGUUAUGGAGGCAGCGUGUGGAUAUGAUCCGAUCACUUAAUUAAAUAGUUAUAUAAUAAUAUUGUGUCUGUGGAUCUUCCAGGCAGAGUUUUAUUAAUUAUUACAUCUAGGGGUGGAAUUUUUUCCCGAAAAUCCCGAACCGUCCCGAUCCCGUCCCGAAAUUUGACUGAAAAAUUCCCGAACCGAAUUUUCCGAAACAUUCGGUACCCGAAACCGAACCCGUCCCGAAAGUUUUGGGUUGGGAUUUGGCCACAGCUUUGAAAGCUUUCGGUAAUCCCGAACCGAACCGAUUAUUAUAUAUAUUUAUUUUUAAUUUUUAAUUAGAAAUUACUUGAACCGUUGGAUUUGUUAAAAUCUAAUCCAACCGUCCAUUAGUUAGGUCAUUUUAUUAGGUUGUGAUCAGAUCUCUCGGACUCACUCACUCUCGGUCUCUCCGCUCCACUCUCGCUCACUCUCUGCGCUCCGCUGUCACUCACUCUCUCCGCUCUCUCUUGCUCACAGUCUCAGUCUCCCUCACACGCACUCUCACAAACAGUCUCGCCGCCCGUGCUCCCGCCGCUCUACUCCUCCGUCGAAUCCACGCUGCUCCUCAUCCUCCACAACUCACGCAAACACAGGAAGGAACCAAUUGAGUCCCAAAAUCCAGGAUAGGGUUUUUAAUUUUCACUGGGGUUUUGUCCUUUCUCUCUCUUUAACUCUUCAGACAGCAUUUCACAGAAACCCAAUUAAACAUAUGAAAAUAUACAAGCAACAACCUGUAAAAUUUAACAUAAAUAAACAAUGGUAAACUACAAUUAACAUAAAAAUUGCUCACAGAGAGAGAGAGAGAGAGUUCUUACAUGAGGUGCUGCAAUUGCUUGAGAGAGUUCUUACAUGUGGCUUUGUAGCUAGUGUGGAUUGUGACCUACUUAUUUGUGUGUUUAGAUACGCAAGCUAAGUAUAGCUGAUUGGUUUCGUAUCUGUUUGAGAUUUUUAUUUUAUUUUAUUUUGCUGUCAUAAUGUGCAGGACAAUCCCAAUUUCGAGGGUGAAACAUGUAGGAUCACUACUAGAAAUUUCCACUUUGCCGACAAAAAUAGUUUGUAGGCAAAAGUCAAAAUUCGUCGGCAAAGAGCCUUUCCCAACGAAAAAUUUUGUCGGCAAUUUUGUCGCUAAAAGCAUGUCGCGCAAGAUCUUUCUCGACAAAUCUUGAUAUUUCGUCGGCUCAUUUUUAAGGCGACAAAUCUCAGCCGUCAAACUGUGCCCAUCACCAAAACAACAUUGCGACAAAAUAUUUUGUCAGCAUAGGUUGUUUCUUCGCGAUGAAAUUAUUUGUCGGCUUAGUGAUCUUGUCGCGACAAAAUAUUUGUCGGCUGAGUAAUCUUGUUGCGACAAAACAUUUUGACGGCUAAGUAAUCUUGUCGUGACAAAAUGGUUUUUCGGCUAUGUAGUCCUAUGACAACAAAUUGGUUUGUCAGCUCAAAUGACUUGUGUAGACAAAAUAAUUAGUUGGUUGAAUCUUUUGUGAACAAAAACAUUUGUCGGCUAAUUAAUUUUGUGCCGACAAAACAUGUCAAGUCCAAUAUUUUCUAAUUUUUAAUAAUAUUUUUAACCAUCACAAACAAGCAAGCUUAAGAGAUCGAGAAGGGGCGUGAAUGAAGAAUUAAUGUAGGAACAACACAAAAUUCAUGUAAUAUAAACUAAUGUAAGGUUCACAAUUCGGUGUAGCUACAAAAUACAAAAAUAUCUAUGUUUUCAUUUCGAGAUUACUAUAAUAUAGAUAAAAUAUCCUUAAGUAUCACCAUUCUCACUAUAGUCCUCAUCAAGUUGAUAUGCAGCAUCAUGAAAUCGGGAAACGAUAAGGAUCAUCAUGAAACACUCCAGUAUCAAACAACUGUAGAAGAAAAACAAAUUAAAAAACUUGAUUAGCAAACGUUAAGGGUGCUAAAUAUCAUUGACAUUAAGGAACGCAAGGCCACACUAGUGGUAUUUCUAAACAAAUAACUUAUGAAACCAUAAAUGUGUAAACAACAAGAUAAAGAUAUCUACUAAUCAAGUUAACUUACCAACGCCAUGCAGCAUCACAACCUAGCAAAAUUACAUGUUUAAUAGAUACCAGGUAAUAACCAAGUUAACAUCAACUACUUAUAUGUCAUUCAUCAUUGUAAACAACAAGAUAAACAUUAUAAACAGCAAGGCAACAUGAUUAUCACUCUGUAAACAAGGCAGCAUGAUAAGUAGAUCAUAUAAAUCCUUGAAAGGUAUAUAAUUUAUAUAAACAUAACAAUACCAAUCACCUAUCUAAGUAGGUUAUAACUCUAGAACAUAAGCAUAUGCACCUGGAAACAUAAAUAAACUAUACUAAAGCAUCCUAAUUCAUCAUUGUUUAUAAUCUUUAUCAGUGUAAACAAGAAGAUAUAGACAUCUACUAAUCAAGUUAAUCCUCAAAUAUCAAAAUUACCUGGUGUGAAUGAUCCUCACAUUGGUCUCCAUGCCGUGCUGAUACCAGUUGUAAGCUAUCUAGCCCAGAAUUCCACUGAGCCAUAGACAACCUGCAAGUGUUAUAGAAAGGAAAAACAAAUAUGUCAAACCUAGACCACAAUAUCGAAAAAUUACAGUGGAAAUCUGGAAUUAAAGUCAAAGGACAUUGUUUUCACCAAUAUUAUACAAAUGGAUUGCCAAAUCAACCAAAAAUUGGAAACCUAGAUCAUAAAACUCGAACCCAAAUGAAAUAGUUCAAUUAAGAACAUGUUUUUCAUCCAUAUAUGCGAUUCAAUCAAAGCAAAUACAAUUAUUUCAUUUUCCAAUAAAAACAUGGAAAACGAAUACAAAAACAAACAAACAAGUUAGCAAAUUAAUGUGGUAAGGAAAAUGCAUAUACAAAAUCAUGAUAAAACCUGCAAUCAUGAUAAAAAAAUAUAAUAUUACAAAGAUAGAAAAAAAUUCCAGCCUUGAAUAUUUAUAACACAAAGAGAAUGAAAACUUCAUUUUAUAUCCAAUUCUACUCUCUCACUGACUGAUUAAUUAUGUGUGUUCCCCAUUUCCCAUAUACCAUUCCAUUCCAUUAGUUUUAAUAGGAAAGAUCAUCCAAAUCAUCUAAAACAAUGAAAACUUCAUUUUAUAUCCAUGAACAAAAGCUCCAAACUCUGAAAAACAAAACCAAUUUUAAUUCAUUCCAGAGCAACUGAAUAAAACAGAACUAAACACAACUGAGAAGAAAAACUGUUUAAGCCAAUCACACAGACUAUAUUAAAUCUUUACAAACCAACCGAAUGAUGCAGAAAUGCUUAAUAACAAAAUAGUUAAGCAACAAAUCAUGUAAAAUAAUCAUAAGUCAACUCAACAAAACCAAACAAAACACCGACACCACUGAAUAAACCCUGCCCAUUGGAAAAAAAUAAUACCUAACAAAGAACCCAACCACUGCAAGUGUAAAUUCAAAAGACAUAAGCGUUCAAACACUGCAAAAAUAAGUGGAAGAAAAACACAAAGUCACCAAAGACAAAAGCUUCCUAAAACGAAAAAUCAAACCAGAUGGAACAACCAUAGACAAAUGAUCACAAAAUAGAAGAAAACAUUUGAAAGAAAGAGCUAACAGACCUUUAUUCGAAAGGGCUUGCAACGCUGUUCACAAAACCCCCAAACUCUGGAGACCAAUAUUUUCUGCAACACAAAAGCCAAUCAGAUUAGGGAACCACACCGAAAUCACUAAAAAAAUAACCAAACAAUGAAUGAAAAACGCUAAAAGUUCAAUUUCACACCGAUCAAGCAAUAAUGUAUAGGAAAACCCUAAACCCGAAAGACCCAAAUUUCCCAAAACGAAAAAUCGAAUUAGAUCGAACAGCCACACCAAAAUAAGCAGAAAAAAAGAAGAAAACAUUCGAAACAAAAAACUUACAGACCUUAAUCACAUAUGCUCUGCAAGACUAUUCCCAAAAACCCUAAAAUUCACACACCAACUUUUGCUGAAACCAAAAACCCAAUCGGAUUAAACAAACACGCUAAAAACAAAGAAAAAAUUAGGAAACAACCAAUAUAACACAAACACUCUAAUUUUACAGGCAUCAAUCUGCAAAUUUUCUUCCCAAUCAAAGAAAACACACACACACACACACAAAAAAAAAAAAAAAAAAGAGAAACGACCUCAAACAGCGCAAUGAAUCAGAAAAAGAAACUCUUCAGACAACAGAGGAUCGAUGCAGAGAGAUAAGCAGAGACACGAAAGAUCAAGGCAGGCGGAAGAACACAUAAACAAAGAGGAAGAAAAAAGGGAAAGCUACGGAAGAAAAUAAGCGAUCCCUCGCUUCCGCACCAAAAACGACGGAGACCACGUGGUAGAUGCAGCAAUUGAAAUUAAACAGACCAAGCAGGGGCAAUUGCGUCACAACACUGUUACUUUCACUGUUCAUCAACAGUGUUCCACCCGUUUGGGUUUUAGUAUAUAUAGAAUUUAUACUUUCAUUAAGUAUAACAUAAGAAUCUGUGGUAUCCACAAGUGUAAAUAUUUUAAAUUGAAGAUCGAGCUCAUUCAUUGUAUUCAUAUAGGAUCAAGGAGUGUAGCUGUACAAAAUCAUCAAAAUCGAAGUUAAAAUAACCGUUAAAUCAUGAUUUUUCGUUUAUAACCGUCAGAACGUUUUGUCUCCUUACAUGAUCUCUGAAGGUUUUUUUUUUGCAAUUUUUGGCGUAUACGAUCUCGAAACAUAUAUAAACAAGUUUGACGGUUGGAUCGUUGAAACUAGUUUCGUAUAAUGCGUAUCCUAUGAAAAUGAUAGAUUCACUAACACUUAGAGUUUAUUUAUACUUUCAUUAAGUAUAACAUAAGAAUUUGUGGUAUCCACAAGUGUAAAUAUUUUAAAUUGAAGAUCGAGCUCAUUCAUUGUAUUGAUAUAGGAUCAAGGAGUGUAGCUGUAAAAAAUCAUCAAAAUUGGAGUUAAAAUAACCGUUAAAUCGUGAUUUUUCGUUUAUAGCCAUCAAAAAAUUUUGUCUCCUUACAUGAUCUCUGAAUGUUUGUUUUUUGCAAUUUUUGGCGUAUGCGAUCUCGAAACAUAUAUAAACAAGUUUGACGGUUGGAUCGUUGAAAUUAGUUUCGUAGAAUGUGUAUCCCAUGAAAAUGAUAGAUUCACUAACACUUAGAGUUUAUUUAUACUUUCAUUAAGUAUAACAUAAGAAUUUGUGGUAUCCACAAGUGUAAAUAUUUUAAAUUGAAGAUCGAGCUCAUUCAUUGUAUUCAUAUAGGAUCAAGGAGUGUAGUUGUAAAAAAUCAUCAAAAUUGGAGUUAAAAUAACCAUUAAAUCGUGAUUUUUCGUUUAUAGCCGUCAAAAAGUUUUGUCUCCUUACAUGAUCUCUGAAUGUUUGUUUUUUGCAAUUUUUGGCAUAUGCGAUCUCGAAACAUAUAUAAACAAGUUUGACGGUUAGAUCGUUGAAAUUAGUUUCGUAGAAUGUGUAUCCCAUGAAAAUGAUAGAUUCACUAACACUUAGAGUUUAUUUAUACUUUCAUUAAGUAUAACAUAAGAAUUUGUGGUAUCCACAAGUGUAAAUAUUUUAAAUUGAAGAUCGAGCUCAUUCAUUGUAUUCAUAUAGGAUCAAGGAGUGUAGCUGUAAAAAAUCAUCAAAAUUGGAGUUAAAAUAACCGUUAAAUCGUGAUUUUUCGUUUAUAGCCGUCAAAAGGUUUUGUCUCCUUACAUGAUCUCUGAAUAUUUGUUUUUUGUAAUUUUUGGUGUAUGCGAUCUCGAAACAUAUAUAAACAAGUUUGACGGUUGGAUUGUUGAAAUUAGUUUCGUAGAAUGUGUAUCCCAUGAAAAUGAUAAAUUCACUAACACUUAGUUUAUUUAUACUUUCAUUAAGUAUAACAUAAGAAUUUGUGGUAUCCACAAGUGUAAAUAUUUUAAAUUGAAGAUCGAGCUCAUUCAUUGUAAAUAUUUUAAACUGAAGCCCUUUUGUGACGCCAGCAUUAGUGUCGCUAUUCCAAUCCGACAUUACAUUGUUUUAUGUCAGAUUUUUUUCUAAAUUUCCGAUAGAAAUUGGGUUUCUUGUCGGUUUUUGCUUCGCCACUGAUAAGGUAUAUUGCAGUAGUGGGUGUUGGUACCAAGUAACAGAUUCAUGAUAAAUCGUUCAUUUAUUUGAUUCACAUACAUUAUCUCUGAGCGGGAAGAUCCCCGCCAAAAUAUUACAUGAUAUUUUAAAUGAUUUUUCGUUAGUUUUCAUUUUUUAUUAAAGUGUAACAAGGUAUGUUUAUAUCUUUCGCCAAAAAAGUAACCAAAAAUUGUUAGAGAAGGGAGACAGAUAAUAGGGGCGUGGAUGAUAAUCAGUUAAGAGUGCAAGAAUCGUAAACCUAGGGAUAGAAAUCGUCAAAAUUGUUUCUGAGCGGGAAAGACCCCGCCAAAUUGUUAGAAGAUAAAUAAGAAUUCUUAUCAAACUGAAAUCGGAUGGCGUGAGCGAAGAAUGUGGGAGGGAAGUCAUGAGCAAUUGGGAUUAGCAUGCAAUUGGGAGGGAGAUCAUGAGGCGACAAAAUAGGAAUAGCAUGCAAUGGGAGGGAGAUCAGGCAAUUGGGGGAUGUGAACCGACAAUUGAGGGAUGUGAACUGACAAUUGGAAUAAUAGAAAUAUUAUGGGAGGGAGAUCAUGAGGCGGCAAAAUAGGAUUAGACAAAAUAUGGGAGGGAGAUCAUGCAAUUGGCAGAUGUGAACCGACAAAUUAGGUUUGGAUUGCCACGGGAAAUUUAUAAGUUUGUUCUUAUAAUCAUAUGUUAUGUUUUUAGAAAACUUGGCAUGCUUGUCGAAUUAGAAUGGAUGAUUACAUACAACUGUAUUCAAAUUUACAAUUGUAAUUGCUAAUAAUUGAUCAUAGCCUAAACCAAGUUAUAUGUUGCUAGAAAGUAGUUUGGAGUUAGAAUUGAUAGGAAGAACUUUUUCAAACACUCACAUAUUAUGAAAUCAAAUUGUCAAUAUAGAUUAUUGAUGGCAUAAAACUACAAUCCAGAAAUAUGAAAUGCUAGAUAUCUCUUUAUCUAUGCUCCCGUUCAUAUAGAGAAACAAGAGAGAAUGACAGCAUAAAUAGUUGCCAAGAGCUUUGAUUGUGUUCCCCGGAAAAAAAUGGAUAGGUGCACUGGUGAAAACCUCUCACGUAGAGUUAUUAAUACCUUACCAAUGACAUACUUUAUUGCCUCUCUAAUCAAUUUGCCGAUGAAAUACUUUGUUGCCUCACAUCAUCGGCUAAUAUUUCAAUAUAGUGGGAAAAGUUCCCGCCAAAGUUUACCCGUCAAAACAAAAUUUGUCAGGGUAUCGAAUUUACGCCUACAAAAUGAUCGUCGGCUAACGUUUCAAUUUUCUCGGCUAAGAUUGGCAUUGUAAAUUGGUUCUAGUGUGAGUAUUCAGCCGACAAAUUAAAAAUUUCGUCGAGAAAGGACUCUUGUGCCGACAAAAUUUUGCUUUGUCGGUUUAAUUUGUCGGCAAAAUUAUAAUUUCUAGUAGUGGAUAUGCAUGAAUGCAAUAAUCGACAGGGGUGUUCUCGAUUGCUGCCAGCAUUGGUAUGUGCUUUAGUGUGGUUUUGUGUGUGUGAGAGAGAGAGAGAGAGAGAGGAAUUUUAUUUUAUGACAUGGGUUCAUCUUGGGGUUUUCAGGUUCUGUUUCUCAUGCAUUGACAAUUGGGCUACCAUUACAAACCUCUGCCCGCUUUGCCAGAAUGAAUUUCAAAUGAUCACAUGUGUUUCGGAGAGUGAUGCAAAUAAACAGUUAUCGCUUUAGUAUUAUUUCUGUUAUGAUUGCUAUGGAUUAUAGAAUGGUAUUAAUGUACAACCAGUUUAAAGCACAGUUGUUACUUUGAUUUCUUAACUAUCUGUUUUCAAUAGUUUUCUUUUUGUUGCAAACAGAAUUUUUAUUUUGAAGUUUUCUCAAAAUAACGAUUUGAUGCUGGUUUGAAGUGGCACUAAAUCAUAAGAGUUUGAUUUGUAUGUGAAGGUAUACGAUACUAUUGGGAGCAUCAAAGCGGACGAGGACUCAACUUAUAGGUACUUUCAUAAUUAUGGAUAAUGUGUUUAAGUCUAUUGGUGAGGGUUCUUUGUUCACAUUUAUGCGGCACAUGUUCCCAAUUUGGAAGCUUGGUUUGUAAAACUUAACUUAUUUCAUUUUGGUUGCAUGCACUUUUAAUUAAAUAGUUUGGUAGACAAAUACAAUUGUGAACUUAAGCUUAACUUGUUAGUUGCUUCCUUUGUAUGAAAAUUGAAACAUGUGGUAUUGUGAUAUUCAUAUUGUGGUGAAAUUGAAACAGGUGGGCUGGGCAGUGGCUGUGUAACCUUAAUUUUUUUUUUUUUUGGGGGCAGUGGCUGGCUGCAAUCUUAAAAGCCCAACAUUUUGGGCUUCAAGGCCCAAUCCCGAAGUAUCCCGAAAAUCCCGAAACACUUUCGGGAAUCCCGAAUUUCGGGAAAUGCACAUAUUCGGUUCGGUUUCGGGAUAUAAAAGCCCAUCCUGAAAUGUUUUGGUUUGGGAUUCGGGAAAGGAGUUUCGGUUCGGGAUCCCGACCCGAACCACCCCUAAUUACACCUACCAAACUUAAGAGCACGCGCAAACUUGAUGAGACAUAUAUCAACACGUGAGAACAAUGAUUGAUCAACAUUACCUCCAUAGUAUUAUUAGAGUGAAUGAUUGUAUGAUAUUAAUUUACUAGAGUGAAUGAUUGUAUGAUAUUAAUUAUGCGUUAAGAUCUUGGGAAUUUUAAUGAAAAAUUACUGGUAUUAUUCAUUUUAAUAAAAAAUUACAUUUUUACAUUAAAAAGUCAAUCUUAGUACUAUUCACUUUAUUCUUUAUUUUGUCCUUAUUGUUAAAACUCAAAGUUUUCAAGUCAUUUUCAUUAAUUUUCCUUAAGAUCUUUUGAUUUGGCAUGCGGAAGUGUGUGUGUUUGUAUAUUAUAUAGGGAUAAUACUAAGUUAGGUUCAUAUUAUCUUAACUAGUGAUAAAUUAAGGGUUCUUUCGAGUUAUUCGAAACAGUGGUUUAUAUUAUCUUGACUUACGUGCAACCUAAACACAAAAAAGAGAGGCUGUACUGGCUUCCAAAAUAAAACUAGAUGCAAACAAUAAUGUGGAGUUCCGGUUACUCUUUUGGAAUCAACCAAAGCUGAAUCAUUGAUGCCUAAUUUCAGAAAGUUUUCCUUUUCUGCAUGCAGAUCUUUUCAAUGGAUGUAGCUCAGUUUUGGGAGGUAACCACUUACUUCAUCGAGUUCAUUAAUUUUAAUCAAUCUAAAGUAAUUUAACUAAGUUUAUUAACCUUACAAUGUUGAGCGUUAAUACCCAAUUUUGGAGGAAUUGCAUCACGUUUAUGUAAAGGUAAUCGAAAUAAUAGAGCGGAAUUAAAUUCCAAUUACGGAAUACUCCAGUAUUUACCAAAUAUUGGAGAAUAAAAAAUUUGAUAGCACCCACUCAAUUUUUUAAUCCAAUACUAAUUCAUAUUCAAAUUUUGGAAUAAAAAAUCUAAUACUAAUUCGUACUCAUCAAAUGAAAGUAAAAUCUAAUUCUUCAUUUUUUAAGUAAUUAUUGUAAUGUGAGUAAACGCAUGAAAAUCAUGAUUUAGAAUAUUUUCUAAUGCAGACUCUAAGUCUGAAAUUGAAAUAUAAAGAUAGCCGUUGACGGGUCGAUUCUGGUUAAUCUAGGCAUGAGAAUACGAAAAAAAUACACACAAAGUUAUUAAGAUAGCUUUCCUUUUUUAUAUUUUAGCGAUAGUCUAGUCUAAUCCAACAUUAGACCACAUUCAGUGAUUCAAACUAAGAGAAGGGGGAUUCAAACUUGGCUACACUCGGAUUCUCAUAUGAGGAUUGAUUCUGAAGUAAAAGAAUAUAACCAAGUUGAUCAAGAAAUUUCAAAAUUUCUAAUGGAAACUUAUUAGAAAUUUUUUGUGAAGGUGUUGAAGUUGGGAUUUUUUUGUUUGUUUUCGUAUUGAAGUUGGGAUUGAAACAGAAGAUAAAGCAUAAUAUAAAGUUUCAUUACAAUUAACAACAUGUUCUAUUAAAUGAAAGUGACUAAAUAUUGAAAAACAUGCUACGCCGCGUUGAUCAACUCCGGCAACGAGCAUUGGCACUGCAUCCGUGGUUGUAGGGGUUGCUCUGAUUCUGAGCACCCGGCUUGCAGUUGUUGGAGGAAGCACCUCUCUGAGAGCAAGGAACAGUGUUUCUCUGCAGCGCUUCAUAGCUUAUGUUUCGUGAGGUGGCCAAGAUGCGUCUGCUAAUCUCCGAGUCCAUGCCAAACUCAUCAUCACGAUCAUCCAUGCACUCUGCUACAGAACCCUCGCAGCGAGGUCUCACUGGAACCCAGCUCACCCCAUGAUCGCCGCCUGCAUCAACGGAGAUGACCAGAGCGGCCACGAAAAUCAACGAAAAGAUAAUCGCAGAGGAAUUAGCCAUAGGUUUUGGUACGGUCUGUGUUUUUAGCUGCCAACUUGUAUUUUGUUGUACGCCUGUUAAUUACAGAGGGAGAGAGAGGGGGCGGCAAGAAAGAGAGAGAUAAUCGGUGAAAUUUUGAUGUGUAUAUUAUUUCACCCUAUUGUGCUAUUUAUAGUAGUAAAAAGGGAAAAUUUUUGUCUUUCAAGUAAUUCAUAGGAGUUAGGGAAAAUCCUUGUCUUUCAAGUAAUCCAUCUAAAAUAGGACACUACGUAAAAGAUAUUAUACAAUUCCAUAAGGAUUUACACAAUCACAUUCCUAAUUAAAUUAAGACUCUGACAUUUUUAAGUUUGGUUAAAUAAAAAUUGGAUGUUGAUUUCUUCAAGGAGAUAAUUACUUAAUUGACAUGCUUUAAUUCAACCUUAUUCCAAUUGCAACAAAGAAAGCUGAAAUUGGAAUAAUUCGUGAUUUAUUCAAAACCUACCAAGAAAACAAAAUCAACAACUACUACAAAAUAUGCUCGUAGAGAUUUCCGGGAUGUUUCUGCUCUUAAGUGUUUUUGCUAAAAGCUCUUUUAUCAGCACAAGGUUGAGACUUUAAUUAAAAAACUAAGUUUUUCUCGAAAAAAUAUAAGCAUGCCAAUAGAUUGAACUUGUUUACAACAUCAGCAUUAUAAUAAUAUUGUUGGAAAAUAUUAGGUUUACUUUAAUGUUUGGUUUUCUGGGCUUAGCCCGUUAGUAUUAGGGUUUCGUUUUCUUGCUUAUUAGGGUUAUGUUAGUUCUCUAUAUAUAUGGUGUUUUGUAGCUUGUAUGAUUAACAAGUUAGUCACAAUGUAGUCUCUAGGGUUUUUGUAGCCGUCUCGGCAUUCUAUGUUUGAUAUCAAUAAUAUUUCUAGUUUUGUAAUCCGUUUGUUUGUUCAUUGUGGUAUGUGCACUCUGAUAUUCAACUUGGUAUCAGAGCGGGUUUGAUUCCUCGGAAUUUAAUCUGUUUUGGAUGGAUAUCAAUUUGUUCAUCUGUUUGUCCACUGCGUAUCAGUUCGUCAUGGUAUGUUUUGUUGGUUUGUCUGUCUAGUAGUAGUUAGGGUUUUGUUAUAUGUUUAAAAAAAAAAAAAAAUUGAAUCAGUUUGCUGCGUCAUGUCAUCGUCCUCUGCUAAACUUGGAAUCGCCGCCACGAACCCCACAUCACCAGCGUGCUCCUACCAUCAGGACAUCACCGCGCCAACCCGCCAUGCCUGCACCCAGUGCCACCAUGUCCCGCCUACAACCCCGUUGUCUUACCACCACCUGCUGUAAACCCACAUCGCUCGCCUGCUUGCGCGCCGUGCAGACGGGAUUUGAUAAAGCCACACCAACUUGCUGCAAAUACAUGCAGUUGAUCCGUACCCAUGAGCCUGCUUGAAUCUCCGCACCCGACCCGCUUGUCGCCUGCACCCACUGCUUGCUUGCCGUUCCCAUUGUUCGUUGACCAGAACUCGCGCUUGGUUUACGCGUUCUGGAGAAAACCAUUGGAAAAAAGGAAGCAGAAUAAAAAGUAAGAAAAAGAAAAAAAAAGUGAUGUUUGAGGAAAAGGAAAAAAGAAAAAAAAGAAAAAGAAAUGCAAAAGUAUUAGAAGUUGGGCUUGCCGUUGGUCUUGUUGAUUGUUUUGGAGAAUGACUAUGGUCGUCUGCUAUUGUACCCACAACGAUUGUUCGAGUGCUUGGAUUGUUGAUUACUCGAGUGAUUAUUGUUGAGGUUUUCGUCUGCUUGUUUGUUGCCGUUGGGCUAUUGGAAUCUCGUCCGUUUAGUGACAAGGUCCAUGCUCAAACGAAAUAUGUCUGCCCUCUGCCAUGUGAAUCUAUAUCCACCUGCCUGUCUGUCUGUCCGCGUUGCGGAGCCUGCCUGCCUGUCUGUCUGUCCGCGUUGCGGAGCCUGCCUGUCUGUCCGCGUUGCGGAGCCUGUCUGCCUGUCUGCCUGUCUGUCUGUCCCCCUAACGGAGCCAGUCCACAUCUGCUUGUUUGCAAACCCAUGUCGUAUACCGCCAUGAGUUUGACUGGGGGUGUUGGAAAAUAUUAGGCACACUCAAUUCAUUCUUGCUCAUAGAAUUAAAGACAAACCAAAUCGGAAACCGAAAUAAGCAACAGUGCUAACUAGCUUGCUCAGCUCUCAGGCCUUUAUUCUUGAAGAUAGUUAUAUUACUCAAUGUUCCAUAUCGUAUGUAUGCAUAAAUCUUGUGCUUGGCGCUUAUUCCUUGAUAAGAUGUGCAUCAACAUCUUUAAUGACAUUGAAUAGAAAGCUGAGGUACUUCUGUGGAGGCGGAUCGUUCUCGUUGAGUUUUUUAUAUUCUAAAGUAAUUUUCACAGAACCUCCUUCACUAUUUGGAGUGACCUGGAAAAUGAUCUUGUAGCUUUUGUAAUUGUCCAGCACAUGUGAUCCUUCCAAACCUGUAAGACUCACCCGCUUGUUUGCUUCAUCUAUUUCCACCUUUUCCUUGUAAGUCUCGACAUUUCCAUCUACACGUCACAUGGAAGAGUACAAUUAUACAGCUAUCCAUGAUCCGAUCCUUUAAAUAUUCAUCGUGUGGUAAUGUAAACCCUAUGGUGCAUGGAGGUCUUGUCAGUUUUAAUUCUAAAAGUACAUACAUAUGAGGUAACGCAAACCCCUAGCUUGCUAGGUUUCAAGUUAGCAUGCCUAAUUAUUUUGCAGCAGGUUAGUCUGUGGUAUUAAAAAAAAAUUGUUAGUCAUAAGUAUAACCUUAACAAUGUUUGGUUGUAAUUUGCUUGCUCCUUCAUGCAAUCUCACAGUCUCACUACCAGCUCCACAAGUUUGCGGAGUAAGCUGCUUCAUUCACCCCAAAAGGGGUUCAUUUCACUAUCUUUUACACAGCGGAGGCUGUAUAAAGCUACGACAGAACAAAAUUCGGCACCCGGGAGAGGGACGAUCUCCAGAGAUUCUUUUACAUUUUUUGUAUUUCUUUUUUUGUUGAAUCAUUUCUUGUAAUUUAAACAUUUAGCGUCAUCUUGUAAUUUAAAUAUUACCUAUGGUGUAUUUCCAGAGUUUGACAGAGCCAGAAGUUUCCCAGUCACCUUCAUGUACUGCAACAUCGUGUAUUUUAUCAGAGGCUGCUAUGGGGAAGUCAUAGUGCUGGUUGCUGAUGAAUUUGUACAGCUUAUCAGCGUUGGCUUUGAUCUCUACCUCAGCCUCCAUAGUCUCCAGCUUGCAAGUACCAGCUCCACUCACAGCCAUUUUAUUUUAUUUGUUCUUUAUAAUAUGUGAAUAACGAUAGUGUAAGUCUGGGGAAUUGUAGGAGACGUAUACAAACCUAUAGGUUUCCACUUCUUAUAUAAAGCCAUGUUAUAGUUACGGAGGCAGUAUGUGGAUAUUAUCCGAUCACUUAAACAGUUAAAUGAUAACAAUGUGACAGUGGAUCUUUCACGUAAAAUUUUAUCACCACUACACCUACCAGAAUAAAACUUUUUUCUUUUUUCUUUUUUCUUUUUUUUUUAAUUAAAAGAAGAAAUGUCAAUUUCAUUCCGCAUUAUUAUCAUGGAACAAGACAUUAUUUUGAAUACAUUGAAGAAGAAAAAAAUAUAUAGAUAAUAAGUUAGAGGGGACAUGAAGCCUAGCCCUAACAAGAAGUAGAAAACUAUUUGAAACAACAAUCAAUUAAGACAACUCCUAAGAGAAACAAGAAUUUGGAAACACCGAAAGAUUAUGAGCAAAAGUCAUAACUGCACAUGACGGAUAAGAAUCACACAAAUAAUGAAAACUAACAUGAUCAACAUAAUAGUUUGCUAAACAAUUUGUUACAUGAUUUCCUUCCCGAUUAACGUGAGAAAACUGAACAUGCAUGGAAGAGAGAAUGGUAUAGUAAUUUGUCAAAUCAACCGAUAAACUAUGGUGCAUUGCCAAACAAGAAUUACACUCAUUUCAAAGAGAAUGCUGCCAAAACCUUUCGAAAGCAAUAAAAAUAACAUGAAUAAUAGCUUUAAGUUUCACUUCCAAAGCAGUAACAAUGCCAAAAAAAUCUUGUAUUAAAGCAUCAAAGAGACCCAAGUGAUCACGAAAAAUACCACAAAAACCAGCAAACUUGAUGAUAGAUUUCAACACGUAUAUGUACAAGAGGAUCAAUGAUUGAUCAACUUUACCUCCAUAGCAUUAUUGGAGUGAAUGAUUGUACGAUAUUGAGGCGUUUGUUUGGAUUUGGCACGAGGAAAUGUGUGUAUAUAUUGUAUAUAUAGUGAUAAAAUUAAGGGUUCUUUAGAGCUAAUAGAAAUCAAUGGUUUAUAUUAUCUUGACAUACUUGUAACCUAGAGAGAGAGAAAAAAAAGAGGUUGUAUUGUCAUCAAAAUAAAAUUAUGACACAAACAAAUAAUGUGGAGUUCAUGUUACUUAUUUGGAAUCAAUCAAAGCUGAAUCAUUGAUGCCUAAUUUCAGAAAGUUUUUCUUUUCUGGAUGCAGCAUCUUUUCACAGGAUUUUUUUCGGUUGUGGUAUUGUGAAGGAACUUCUUGGAUAGUUUUUUUUCCCUUUUACACUAGCUUAGGGCUGGUUUGGUAUUGCUGUGCUUUGAAAAAAAGCUGCUGUGAGAAUAAGCGGCUGUGCUGUGAGAAUAAGCGGCUGUGAAAUAAAUCAGCUGAGUGUUUGGUAAACUUUUUUGUAAAAGUGCUUUUGGAAAAAAAAGCAGUCUGAUAGUGGAUCUUUUCAUUAAAGAAGCACUGUACCUCCGUGUGCUUUGAAAAAAAACCAGUUUUCCAAAGCUACAAAUAGCAGCUUCAGCUUUUUCUUUUGAUUUCAGCUUAUUCUCACAGCAGCUUCUAAAAUAAGCCUUUUUUUUCAGUUUACCAAACACCUAAAACCCUCACAGCUUUUUUUCAUGGGUGCUUUUUUUUUAAGCACCUCACUCCCAAACUAGGUCUUAGUGUCUUCCUGCCAAAAUAAUGACACAGAAAUUUUCAUCAAAAGGGUUGGCGAUGUCGGGCAGCAAAUGUAGUUUCCCGUGAAAUUGCAAAAUUUGCUCACAAUCUGAUGAUUUCGUCUCUUGGGUUGGCUCUCCCUUCUCCUAACUGCUGAAGACUGAUGAAGCAGAAAUUUAAUCAUCAAUGAAUUUCCUUGACUAAUCCAUUAUCUUUCCGUUGCCCGUUCACUUUGAUUUGUUCAUAAUCCGAUUAUUGUUCAUUCCAAUUCCAAGCGCGUAAACGUGCCCUCAUAGUUAUGGACUUGUCCGCAUCGUUUAAUUUUCCUUGAAUACCUGACUUCGUCGCCUAUGGUUUCACAAGAAAAUAAUCUCUUUGUUAAACCAGAAAAUUUAACGGUUCAUUAAUUAGCAACUAUUUCAUUUUUUAACAAUAUUUGGCUACUCAAAGGAUGAGUAAGAGUUCCUACUCAAACCUAUUUGUUGCCAAUUCAUAGAACUUCAUGUUUAUAAUAGAGCAGUUCAUAUUAGAAAUCACUUUAUAAAAAUUGUCUCUACAAAAAAUCAAUUAGACUAAGGUCGUUUAGUAGUUGAACUGUGAAAAAACAAAGGAAAGAAAUUGGUGAAAAAAUUAAAAACCAUUUAUGUAUUUACUAGAAUAAAUUGACUAAAUGACCUUAAUUUUAAUUCAAUUUUUGCAGAAAUGAUCUCCACAGUGUGAUUCAUAAUAUGAACAGUUCUGUUCAUAAGCACAAACUUCAGUGAUUCGAACAUGAAAAAUUUUGAGUGGGAGUUCUUACUCAUUUUUGAGUAGCCAAGCAUUGUUCUUCAUUUUUUUUUUUUGUGUCAGUAAUAAUCUGACAGAGAACAAUAAUAAGUAAACUGUGAAAAGAAAAAUAUUGUACAAACGAAAAAACAAACAAAAUGAAAAAGAAAACAAAUUAAUAUUUUAAGUUGUUUUCACUUUGAAAAUUUUGUUUUAUUCAUUCCCACUUUAUCUAAUUCUUAGCCUUCAUGUAUUGAAUUAUGCAUUGUAUUGUAGAAUCCAAAAAAAAAAAAAAAAACUUUUUUGGAUUCCAUGUGUAUAAGCAUGAAAUUAUAGCCCACCCAUAUGAAAAUUUUGACUCCGCGGUUGCAUGUAAGGAUAAACAUGCCAAUAGAUUAAACUUAUUCACACUAUAACAUAAAAAUGCUAUUACGCUCAAUUAUAGAAGUUGCUCAAAAGACUAAAGACAGUCCAAGUCGGAACUAAACAACAAGGCUAUAGCUUGCUCUUCUUCCAGCCUUUAUUCUUGAAGAUAUAAGAUUAUAGAUUAUCUCCCCUCCUAAUCUCUCUUUCCAUCCCUCCUCUCAUAUUUAAAUGGUUACCGCGUCAACAUCUUGUUUUAAAUUUAUUAUAUAGACAAAAAGACAAAAAAGAAAAGUGUAAGAGGAGGAGAGAGAAUGAAAUGGUACUAGAAGGUAGAGAAUCCUACUCCAAGUGUUCGCUAGGGGCGAGGGGGACCCUGAGAGCAAAAGACUCUUCGUCUUCAGGUUUGAGAGUAAACCCUUUACAUCCUACACCAUGCUAAUAAUAUCCACCAAUUCUCUAUUUUAUUUAUAAAAAAAUAAAUUAAAAAUAAAUUAAAAAAAAUAAAAAAAAACAUAUGAGGGUGAAUAGUACCAUGAUUGAUAUUUUAGUGUAAAUAUAUGAUUUUUCCUUAAAGUGAACAGUACCGAAAGUUUUUCGUUAAAAUUCUAUUUUCUUUAAUUAGUAAUUAAUAUUAAAGUUCGUCUAAGAUUAUUUUUUAAAGGAGAUAUAUAUUAAAAGUAUCAAAUAGAAAAAACAAGACAACAUCAUUCAAAAAAAAGAAAACUAAUGAAAAUAGCUUGAAAACUUUGAGUUUUAACGAUAAGGAUAAAGGGUAAAGUGAAUAGUACUAGGUUUGACUUUUUAGUGUAAAAAUAUGGUUUUUCGUUAAAAUGAACAAUAUCGCGGGCUUUUCGUUAAAACUCUCUUCAAAAAAGGGAAAGGGAUCAUUUUCGGAUCUGUUCUACCUAAUCCUCCUCAUCAAAUAAUCCGAGCUUUUGAAAUUUGAUCUAACAGUUAAAGUUAUUAUAACUUUUAGAAUUAGUCCGUAUUUUUAACAGUUUAAUCAAAUUUUAAAGAUCUAAAUUAUUUGAUAAUGAGAAUUAGAUGAAAAUGAUCAAAUGAUCCCUUUUCCAAAAACAGGAAAAAGAAAAACAAGACAGCAAGUUUCUUUUAACCAAGGUAUUAAAUAUCGGUAAUAUCGGAAAUAUCGGUAGUCUGAAAACACGGAAAUAUCGAUGGAAAUAUCGGUAAAAUAUCGAUAUCGAUAUCGAUAAAAAUUACAUGGAAACCACGGAAAUUGUAAGAAAAACUUAGAAAUUUUAAUUGAAACUUUGCAAGAUGUUUAUUUAGUCAAUUAUCUAUUAGUUUAUCACAAAAAAUUGGAAGGAAAUGCAUUGCAUGAUGGAUUUAACUGAUUUAAAUUGAUUAUAUAGCGAGCUGGCAAACAUUGUGAGUGUAAAAAAUAUAUAGUAAUUAAUGAAAAAAGUUUAAAGACACCACAAUUAUUAUAUAUAAUGAAUUAGUACAAUAUUUUACACUUUAUAUAUUGCAUUUUUUUUUCUCUCAGAUAACACACACAGACUGACACAUAGCCCGGAUAUUUUGAAAGCAGGUUUGGAUUUUUUUUUUCUUCUCUCGGAUAACACACACACACCCCACUUCUACACACACACACUUCAAAGUGCACCCCACUUCUACACACACACGCACAGACACACUGUAACAACCCAACCCCAAAUUUUUAUAUAUUUUCGUGGUUCCCCAAAUAAUUAUGAAAUUAUCGUUUUAGUCCCCUAUCUUAACCAAAUCUGGACCAUUCAUCUUGAUUUCCAAAUUCUCUCAAGCUACCACAUGGCAGCACCCUAGCACCCUCACGUAUCUCUCUCUCUCCCCACCCCGUGACCUCUUUCUCCUUCUUUCUUCUCUCUGCACUCACUCUCCCUCUCUCGAAGACCCUCACUCUUUCACCCUUUGACCCACACCCGAGAGCACCCACGCACACCCUUCGUGGUACUCCGUCGACGGCAUCGGCAUCGUCAUCACCUUCUACACGCCGUCGUCUCUCUCUCUCUCUUUCUCUCUCUCCCGUCACUGCGCAACUCGACGAAACCCCAAGAACCUCCGGCGAGUUCUUCAUGGGUUAUGGUUAGGUAAGCCUCGAACCUCUCUUUCCGUGUUGGUUUGUUGCUUGGAUGUGAUUAUUGAGGUUAUUCUGUCCUUUUUACCAAGGAUUUAGCACGGAAUCAGCCCGGGAAUAGGCGCACCCAUCUCCGGCGAGACCGUGGGUAUCGAGAGGUUUUCCGACCACCACGGGUCGUUUCACGGCAAAUGGAAGGUAUAAACGCACUCCUCUCGUCUCGUGCUUUUAUUUGAUACCUAGAUCGGGGUCUAGAACCCUUGUUUGUGGUCGACCGGAGCUGUAGAAGCUCCGGCGUUCUUCUCCGAGUAGCACGGUUAAAAAAAUAUCGCGAUAUUAUCGAUAUUAUCGAUAAUAUCGCGAUAUUUUGCCGAAAACCAUUUGGAUACCUAUUUAAAUAUCCAUUACCUGAAAAACCGAUAAUAUCGGCGAUAUUUCGCCGAUAUUAUCGAUAUUUUCUUCCAUGCUUUUAACAGAUGAAUUUUAUUAGAGGUGGAAUUGGGGUCCAACAUCCCAGGUGUUUUCUGAUAGCAUAACCCAAUAACGUCAAAUCCAUUAAUUUGAUUAUUUAAUAAAUGGCUCCCACAAUAGGAUUUGGAUCCUCUAUGAGACAAUUGGUCGGGAUCUUCCUGACCAGUAUUUGUGGGCCGUUGGAUUUUUAUCUAACGGUUAUAAAUAGGGGGACCCUCUAAAUUUAUAAUAAUUAUAGUCGUUGGAUAAAAAUUCAACGGUCCACAUACAUCGAUCAGGAGGAUCCUGACCAAUUACCUCAGAGAGGAUCCAAAUCCCCCACAAUACACCAAUCACGUACCCCUCCCAACCAAUUUACACAAUUUUUGUAACAGUAGGUCCCACAAUAUAUAAUAAAAAGGAAAUUUGACUCAUCAUUUGAAAAAAUAAAAAAAAAUUUAACAUUUAACUUCAAAUACUCAUUUUAGUCAUUAAAUAAAAUUUAACAAUUUAUAAAUGAGUAAUGUUAGAGAAGCUAAUUUUUUAGACUAAAUUUUAUAAAUUAUAUGUAUUUGUUAACGAUUAAAUUAUUAUUUAAGUGUUGCUUAAUGUUUAUAUAGAGCCACAACCCACAAAGUCCUACACAAAUAGCAUGUUUUAGUUAUGGAGGCAGUUGUGGUGGAUAUGAUCUGAUCACUUGAAGAAAAUGACGAGUCUGCGGAUCUUUGUGGAUCUUCAUCUUUCACAUGGGAGGUUUUAUGACUACACCUACCAAAUUUAAUCACAACAGCGAACUUGAUAAUGAGACAUCAAUAAUUCAACGAUUCAGAAAACUUCAAUUAAAUUGGGACCCAUAAAUAAAUAUGUGGAAUUCCUAAUACUUCUUUUGUAAUCGAUCAAAGCUAGAUCAUUGAUGCCUAAUUCAGAAAGAGGAGUGUUAUUGGCACUUUAAAAGUCUCAUUGUACACUCUUCACAAGUGUAUUUUUCUUUCUUAAUAUAGAAAGUUUGGAGUGUAGAAUAAGAUUUUUGGAAUGCUACUAACAAUUCCCUUCAAAAAAAGGUUUUUCUGUUUUGCAUGCAACAUCUGGACACAUGAAUAUUCUUUGGCAUUCUAAUUGCGCACACGUAUUAUCUUUCAAAUAUAGAAAAUUUGAAGUGCAAUUAAAUUUUUAGAAUGUAAAUAAAAGGGGAAACUUGAUAUAACUCCAAUUUUUUGAGCCAAUAGUAAGAAUAGUCCAAUUUAUUAAAAUAAAUCCAAUUCUUUAAAUUUAAUUAUUUAAUUAUCAAUAAUUAUCUCUUAAAAGAAAAAACUUAUUGUAAAAAUCAAAUUUCUUCCUAAUUAUCUCUUUGAUUAUUAUUAUUAUUUUUUUUUAUUUCUUGUUCUUCUUCCUGCUUUAACCCAUUUAUAGAUUUUUUUUAAUUUUUAUAAUCAACCUAUAUCAUAGGUUAAUUGUAUUUAUCUACCUAUAUGACAGAUUCUUUUUCAUAGUUAACAUGUCACAUAUUAAUGUGUCUUGCUUGUAGGUAUAUUAUAUUUUUUUUCUACCUUUUAGUUAGGUUUCAUAUCUCACUUAUAGGUAUAAUAUACAUUCAUAUAUUUGCUACUUGAUUUAGGGUAGAAUGUUUUGCAGAUAGAUUUAUGUUAGUAUAUUAAUUUUUUUUGUUUAUAAGAUAUUAAUUAGAUAUUUUGGAGUUGAAAAAUGCAUAAUAUUAAAAGAUUUUAAUUGAUUUUUAAUAUUUUUAGAAAAUAUAAAAGGAGUAUAAAAGAAAUAAAAACAUAUAAUUAAAUAACCGGAGUCACUCCUAAAAACACUCUAUGUUUUUGGACCUGGAUCUAAAAGCCCCUAAAUAAAAUUACCUUCUUUUAUUGGUUUUUUUAAGGCUCGCAAAAAUGGUUGUCUUUGUUGUUUGGCGAAGGAACUUCUUGGAUAUCAUCAUAUUGUGGUCUUCUUUUUCGCUUGUAUUGCUAAAAAAUAACUAAUUACAAAUCGAUUUUCAUCAAAAGGGUUGUUAAAUAAGAUAUUAAUUAAUGCUAUAUUUUUUUUCUUGAUACUGUUUGGGUCUCUCAACCUCGAUUUAUUAUUUUGCAUUUUAUUUCUUCCAUGAUCAUAUGUAUCUCCAUUGUUUAACAACAACUAAAAAUACUAUUGUUUCUUUAAAAAAAAGUACUAUGUAUUUGAUUAAGGCGAUUUUAUAUGACGAUGAGCAACAAAGUGGAGACGGUGCACUACACCUUUUAUUUUGCAUACCAUAGUUCAUACAUUACAAUCUCACAUAUGAUAUCCCUUCACGUACAUUUGUUACAAGGCAACUUACAAAGCAAAGCAUUUUAAUUACUUGUAAUCAAGCAAAAGGCACGCAUUAUUAACACAAAUAUUAUAUACUAACGAUGGACGUCACACUGUUUCACCAUUGCAUUCUUUUCCUUUCCUUAAUUUAUCAUGCCUUGAUAAAGUGAGCAUCAAGAUCCUUGACGAUGUUAACCAUCAAACCGACGUAUUUGUCCGGACUGCAACAUCCUCAGUCAGUUUCUCAUAUUCAGUCGACAAUUUUGCAAUGUUGCCUUCAUUCUUUUGAGUGAAUUGAUAGACCGGCUUGAAGCUCUUGUAAUACUGGAAGACAUCUCCUUCCAGUCCAUUCAGUGUUAUGGAUUUGUUCUCGUUGUUUGACUACACUUUUUCCUUGAAUACUCGAACUUCGUCCCCUAUGUAUUCACAAGAAAGUGGUCUCUAUAUUGACCAAGGAACAAUAAAGGGAGCGUUUGAUAAAUAAUUUGUUUUAAGUUUUCACAAAAAUGAAAAUUGAAGUUAUUUUUGUCAGUUUUCUAAAUUUAUAUUAGUAAUUUUUAUUUUUUGAAGACUGAAAUAACAUGAGAUUGUUGAAUUAUUGCGGCACACCUCGAUUCUUUACCAACAUAUUUUGUUCUAAUUAUCCAUUAUAUCAAUAUAUAGUUUUCACUUAUGGGUUAGUUGUUCGCUUGUGAAUCAGGGUUUAGUUAUUGCGAUCCUUCUAAUAUUGCUGGAUUAUGAUUAACAUAUAAUUGUGUUCUGAUCUUAGAGAAAAAGGUACAUAUCAUGUUAAAUACAUGAAGGUAUUUAUAUGAGACGAAGAGAAUGGUACCUUUUUAGACAGCUAAAUCGCCGUGGUUUGGCCGUAAAACGGCUUGAAAGUGGCUAACUCGAGACCAAGACAGCCACUUUCGAGCUGUUUUCCGGCCAAACCACGGCGAUUUAGCAAUUAAAAAAGGUACCAUUCUCUUUGUCUUGUCAAGAAGUAUGAUUUUCAUUUUUGAAUCACUUGAUUUCUGAGUAUUGAAGAAGUUAUGAACGUUUUGAAGUUUGCCCAGUUUCCGGUGAGUUUUCAAGUUUCACUUUGACCAAUCAACUUUGAGGCUAUUUUCCGGCAAUCUUCGGCAACCAUUGGGCUUCUAAAUAGCUGUAAUCUUAUUCUACACUUUCCUAUCUUCAUUUUGAUAUAUUAUGGGUCAAAUUUGGUUAAGAAACGAUUGAGUUACGAAACUUUGAAAAUUGCCCAAACUUCCGACCAAGAGCUCCGGAACACUUAACGGAGUUUUUAACGGAAUGACCAAAAUGAUGGAUGGUGGCCAAUCGCAGGGACCACUUUUAUCGAUUUGGAAUCUCAGGGACCAAAGUGAUGAGUUAUGCAAAUCUCAAGGACCAUUUUGGCGAUAAAAUUAUGAAAUUUGGUACAAUCUUCUUGACAGACUCACGAACCCGCUCCAAUUGGAAUCACUAAAAAAUUCUACCGUUUGAUUACUUUAUGCUUAAAACAAGUUCACAUGUCCUACAAUAAAAACAUAGAGCAAAGCAUCAAAAUGUCACUAAAAUAAUAACCAAAAUAUACCAAGAAUAGGGAAUAAUAUAUAGUAUAAAAUCGACUCAUCAUGACCUUGCAUGAACUUAUAAGUAAGUUGGGCUACUUUUCAUAUUGCCAAUUGGUUUUAUGGUGUCACCUUAACUUUCUUCAUACCCAUGUGUGAAGCCAAAAGACUACGUGCGCUCCAUGUCACCCAUUUGUGUUGCCCACCUGUUAGGCUUAAAAAAUUUCCACACAUGAGGAGGCGUAUUAAGAAUGAAUCUCACAUUAAUGGGAGGAGAAAUUUUGCAUGGACUUAUAAGUAAGUUGAAAAAAAAUAUUGGACAAAUAUUGUAGAGUACACCACAUUUUAUUUUAUAGAUGCGAUCGACAACCAUAAUCUAUUACAUCACAAUGUCAUAUAUGACAUCCUUCGUACAUCUUUUACAAUACACACAAACCUAAUUAAGAAAAGCAUUUUAUUUAAGUAGGUACGCAUUGAUGAACAUAUGCAUGCAUGAUUACAUAUAAUUGAACCCUUUUUAACAAGACCAGCAAAAGCUCUUUCCAACCGUUGCAUAUGACGUAUGGUUUUUAUUCAUUAAUUAAUUAAUUUAUGCUCCCAGAAGGUGAGCGUCAAGAUCCUGGACGAGUUUAACCAUCAAACCGACAUAUCUAUCUGGAGCUUCAACAUUCUCAUUCAGUUUCUCGUAUUCGAUCCACAGGUUGGCAAUGCAGGUGCCUUCAUCUUUUUGAGUGAAUUUAUAGACACCCUUGAAGCUCUUAUAAUACUUGAACACUUCUCCUUCCAAUCCUUUCAGAGUUGCAGCCUUGUUCUCAUCGUCUAGCUCCACCUGUUCCUUGAAUAUCCCGACAUGAUCCCCUAUAUAUAUGCAUGCAUGCAUUCAUGGUUAAUUUCAUAACAACAAAAUAUAUAAACUUUCUCACCCUCUCUUAUUAGGAUCUUGUUUCCACCGUAGGAAAAAGGGGGCAAUAUGACUUAUUUACGAAACAUGUAUUUACUGUAUAUGACUCUCAUUGUCUAGAACAAAAAUUGAAGGAAGCAUUGAAAUAUAUAUAAGAGGUCAUAUAUGGUAAAUACAUGAUUUCUACGAUUGUUCUAUCUCGACCUUGUUUUUGCUACAACAAAUCAGAAUUUCUGCGAAAAAGCUGUAAACAUUGAAACUCAUGCUAUGAACGUAUGAUGAUUUGAGCACAUCUGUUAAGGUAUACAUACAUAUAAAGUGAAUAAUUAAACAGGAAAAUUGAAUUAAGUAGCGGUACCUAGUUCAUAUUUCCAAAUCUUAACAGAGCCGUGUGUUUCCCAAUCUCCUUCAUGCACAUCAACUCCUUUGAUAUGGGUAUUAGAGAUGUUUGGGAUGAGGUGGGCGCUCUUGAACAUGUUGUACAACUUGUCAGCUGGUGCCUUAAUUUCUAUUUCAGUCCCAAUUUUACCAUGCAAAACCAUGUUUAUGAGCAGUUUUGAUGGGUGCUACUCAGAAAUUAUAAGAGAAGAAUGUUAAAGGAUAUGUAUAAUUUGGGCUCCUACCCUCCUUAAAUAGAAGCGACUAGAGUUAAAUUGCGAGAUAAAACUUAAUGUGUCCGGAACACGAUACAGUACGCCAUAUAUAUAAUAUAUGUAAUAUAAAUGGAGGGAAAGUUUUUUUAUUUUAUUUUAUUUUUUUCAAGUGUUUCUCUACUUGUGUAUGACAUACGACGUAUGUACCCGUGUUCUGGAUAUUAAAAAUUCUCUCAUAAUAUUUUAAUAGUGGGUAAUCCAAUUUAAAAACCAAAUCAUGCAACACGUGAUAAGGAUUAAGUCAUAUAUUUUUUAAAUCAUACUUCUCGGAUAAUUGGAAUCCUAUGAAGUAAUGAUCACAAGUUCACAAUAUGCAUGGAUAGAUGAAGGGUUUGCUCAUGAGUAAUGUUAGGGAAACCAAAUUUCUAAAUCAAAAUUUGUAAACAAAAUAAUGUAGAGGUAGAUGAUUGAAUUAUUAUUUAAGCGUUGAUUAAUAUGCUUAUUUCUUAUUAAUAACAUAUCAUUUGAUUUGUAUUCACGCAUGCGAUAAAGAUUAGAUUAGUACGAUCACACUAAAAAUUUAUUUGUAAAUGUUUUAAAAUAAAAUGUAAUUUAUCUGCAAAAUGUUUUUUUAAGGUACGAUAUUCUUUAAUAACAAAUUUAUACGUACAUCAAUGAGGAUAGGGUGUAAACAAAGGGCCUCGAUAAAAACCUUGCCGGGGUUUUCAACCCGUUCGAAGAGAGAUUUUUCAAUGUGACCGUCACACAAGGAGGUACACCACGUGUCUCUAUGUAAAUGGUUAUAUAUGUGUGUUAAAAGAUUAAUAACUUAAAAAUUAAAAUUUUCCACCACUUACAUAAAAACACGUGAUAUACCAUCCGUGUUCCCGUCACAACUAAAAAUUUUCCCUAGUCGAAUGGUAAAAGAGUGUCCCACACCAACAUAAUUAAUUAGGAAUUGCUAUCCUCAAAGAGAAGAUCAAGAAUUACAUUAGGAAGUUCCUCAAACCAAACCACAGUGUUACCAUAACUCAAGCUCAUAUGUGCUAGCCUGCGUGCCACCUUGUUCGUCUCCCUUCGACUAAAUUCAAUCUUCCACUUGAACAAUGAAUGAAUAAUUGCGUGUGUCGUUUAGAAUGUUUCCAAAAUGUGACAUGUCAACACUUCCUUCUGCAAAAUGUUUUAGAAUAAAAAGUUUUAUCUCUAUUUAUUUAUUAUCAUUAUUAUAUUUCUGGAAAGAUCGAUACGUAUGGGCCAUGGCGUCUGGUUUUUUUGUCAUGGCGUCUGGUUUUUUUGUUAAAAAGCCAUCAAAUGGGGAGGCAGCGAUGAGGUAUUAGGUAUCCACAAAUGUCAGUUCACAAAAUAUUAUACUAAAAGUAAUUGAAAAGAAUCAAACAAAUCAAACAAAUAUUAAUUCUUUGCCCAAAAUAAUCCACUAAAAAAAGGGUCCACAGCAUAGUUUUUUCCACUAGAGUUUAUCGAUCCUUGAAGACUAUCAUUGAUGAUUGAUCAUCCAACAGGUGCAUUAUUUAUUUUUUAACAAACGCUAAUAGUUACACUAAGGGAAUGGAGGAGUGUGUUAAGUCUUACAAUAGGCUUGGCAAAAUAAUGUGAUUCAUUUUCGUUUAUGGCGAGAAUCAAAUCUAAGAUCUCUUACAUAUAAGUGAAGAGGGAUAGCACUAGACUGUAAUACUAAAUGGCCACAUACAGUAUUUAUAGAUAACAAUAAUAACAAGAAAUACUUUUUUUUUUUCAUGCUGGACCAUUUUUUCUAAGGUGAUGCUAGAAAUACCUUCUUUUUAAACUACAAUUGUAAAUCACGUGAUGUGGCGGUUAAUGGUCAGAUUUUUUUUUUACUCAUUAAAAAUGUAAUCCAACUAUCAACAGCCACAUCAUUUGAUUUACAAAAUUUGGUCUAAAAAGAUGGUCUCCCUAGCAUUUUGCUUCUCUGUAUAACUUUUAGUCAUGACUCUAUACCGACUUUCAUUUCUAGAUUUUAAAAUUACGCCACGCUACUCGUUAGGUCCGAUUUCAAAAAAUCGAAAACAGAAAGAAAAAAAAUUGAACCAUUCACCAAACCAAAACAGCAAGAACAAAAAAUUAAAAUUGAAUAAGCAGAAUCGAACCAAAAUUUUGGUUCGAUUCGAUUUCGGUUUUAGUAGUUCAAAAACCGAACUGCACUGAAAUACCUUGUAACCAUAACAAGUGCAUUUGUUACACUUGACUAUCUCGGACUGGAUUAAGCUCAGGGACUAAGUUAGACUGGCUUAGACUAGACUAAACUGAAUUAAUUUAGUUAAGUGUUUGUUCCAAUGCCGGACUAACAAGCAAAAUAAUAUUUUUCUUUUUUUUUCUUUUUCUUUUUCUUUUACCAUUUUCUACAACACAUUCUCUUUUGAGAAAGUUCUCCCUUUUCUCCAUUUUUUUUCUUGAAAUGUUAUCCUCACAACCCAGAAUCAACGUCUGCUCGAUUGGGUUCUUCUGAUAAUCCCUAAGUGGAGCCUCUGCAACCACAGCUUCAUCUCAAUCUUUUGCACAUCUUCACAAAUUCGCUCAAAUCACAAAAUCCAAAUUCGCGGGAAUUGCAAAAACCCAUAUUCAAUUCCAAUUCGCUUGAAUCACAAAACCCAACUUCGUUGGAAGUGCAAAUCACAUAUUUGAAUCAUGAAACCCAAACUUGAAAUGCAAACCCCAAACUCAAAUUGCAAAUCCAAAAUUCCGUUCGAAGCUUUGCAACAUUUGCAUAAAUCAGUUUCCACCCACAAAAUCGAGUAAAGUAAAUGAUUGAGAGCGCAUGAGGAGGAAGCGGGCCUUCCAGAAGACGUGACUUAUUUUUGUGUUCUUUGAGAUUCGAAAUGAACAGACGAAGAAAUCCUGGUUUCGCGAGUGUAGGCAACGGCAAAGCAAGCAAACGAAGCAAGCAGGGAGAGGAGAGAGGAUGCGAUGCAGAGAGAGAACAGGACGGAGCAAGGUCUUAGCAAUCCCAUGGUUUUCCCGGGGAUUGGCCAAGACCUAGUGAAGGAGAUAAGCCGUGCGAGUCCUAUUUAAUCCCACUUAACUUAGUCUGUAACUUAGUCCGUGAACGCAACAAACACGGGAGUACCCUAAUGUUUAAUCCUAUCUAGUCCAGUGAUAGUUAACGAGUCCAAACAAACGCACCCUAAGUGUAUUCCUCCUCUCCUCCUCGUCCUCAUCGCUUUAGUUCAAUCCUCUCCUAACUUAAGUCAUGUUCCUCUGCGCCUCUGACGCUCCACGUCCUCAAUCUUCAAUCCUUUCUCGACGUCUUCAGGUCAUCUCCAACCGAAGGGUCCAGAAGGCCAAAGGGCCUAAAAUAGCCCGAAAACCGUCUCCAACUGAGGGCUAGGCCAUAGGGCUCUAGAAUCUGGGAGGGCCCCACGGAAUCGGAGAGGGCUUAAGGGCUGGCCUUUUUUUUUUUAAUGUUUUGUUAUUUCUAUCGGUUAUAACCGACAGAAAUAAUAUAUAUUAUAUUAUUAAUGUCGGUUAUAACCGACACUAAUAGCAAUGUUAAUAUAAUAUCAGUUUGAACAGUGUCGGUUAAAAUCGACACUAAUUUGAAUUCCAACGGCUAGCCAGUCACUAGCCGUUGUAUUCAAAUUUUUUUUUUCUUUUUAUGAAUUUAAACCUUUUUUUUUCUAUAACUUCCUAUAACUUUUUUUCUAUAACUUAUAUUUUACAAAAUUUGGUUCAUAUUUUUUCGUAUAACUUCUAUUUCACAAAAUUUGUUUCAUAUUUUUUUUUAAAUUCUAUUUUUUUCUAUAACUUCCUAAGCCAUUAUACAACAUUAAAUUAAAUUAAGUAACAUAAAACAACAUUAAACAAUAUGAAACAACAUUAAAUAACAUUAACCAACAUAAAAAUUAUACAACAUGAAACUUAAACAACAUUUUUAAAAACAUUUAGCCGUUGGAUUUGAAUUUAAGUUGUAGUUUUUAAAUAAUAAAUUAUGUUUGGCGUGAUGGCUCUUUGGCCCUCGGUUGGAGACGGUUUUUUGUGAUAGGACUAAAACGAGCCAUCUAGCCCUCGGUUGGAGACGGAGACAAAUAUAAUCAUGUACUGUUCAUUAAAAUAUUAAUAUCUUAGAGAAUCUUGAAGGGCCAAAGGGCUAAAACGAGCUAUCUGGCCAGCCAUCGGUUGGAGAUGGCCUCAUGUUUCAGAUAAUCAGAAUCACCUCGAUAGACAAAGAAAAAGAGGGACGUCGAGAUCCCUCCAUCGCAACUCCUUCACCGCUGCUCUUCCAUCACAGCUCCACCGAAACCUGUCACCCUUUAAUCUAACAGUGUUUGCUGUUGAAUAAUUUUUUUUUUUUUGACAAGUCAUAGGAUAAUCCAAAUUUACCGAAACUACGAAGAGGGAAAUAUUUUGAACACAAGACGCAGUGAGUUAAAUAGAAAGAUAAUAAAUUUCUAUAUUUGGAUCAUCAUGAAAUGAAUUAAGAACAAAGGAAAUUGGUCGUUAUAGGACAGUUACAAAUUUUUGUUGCUGAAAUAGUAAAAUCAACACGACCGACAUAAGGCUUGACACGUGAAAUGUCUCAAAUGGCCAUGUACGUAUAUUACCUAGAAGAACACGAUCGAUCAUAUUGAUUUUCCUAUUACUUUCAGCAAAAAGGUUUUGUAAUGUCCUACAACCACCAUUUUUGCCUAGUCCAUUGAAAAUGAAAAGAGAAGCAAAAACACAAUCCAAUAUCUAGAUGGUAUAUCAUACUUUUGAGAUUCGAAAUCCUAUUUGUAUGAUGUAAUCAGUAACUGUGCACAUCAGCCAUGCAUAAUUGAGAUCCAGUUAAGAUUUAUACAUUAAAUUAUAUACAGAAUCAUCUUUGUAAACAUGAGGUAUUGAUCACUUAUUUAGCAGAUCUAUCUUUUCUGGAACUAACUGUAACCGGAGAGGCAGAAAGGCGAUUAUGUUCAUCUGAAACCACCGGGUAAUCGAGUUUCUUACUAUUGUUUUCAUCUUUGUAAGACUUUGAAGGAGAUGCUGAUCCAAAUAUCUGCACUGUUAGGCUUCCACCCGCAGAGAGAAACAAGAAGUAAACAUGAAUAAUGCAUACCAAAAACAAACAAGUAUACAUCAACCUACAAGACGCUUGGGGAUAUGCUGAAGUGCAGGGGAAAGGAUAAUGCAUUGGUCCUUCAUGAUAUAACCAAAUGAGCUGGCUUAGUCGCGCAUACGUUGUACCUCGGAUUGGAUUAAAAUUAGGGAACUUUAAUGAAAAGCACCCGGUACUGUUCACUUUAACGAAAAACCACAUUUUUUCACUAAAAAGUCAAUCCUGAUACUAUUCACUUUACCCUUUAUUUUGUCCUUAUCAUUAAAACUCAAAGUUUUCAAGCCCCUUUCAUUAGUUUUCCUUUAAAAUUACCGUAAGUAGUAAGAAGCUCAAAGUUUUGUCCAAAGGGUUGAAAACUUAAAGUCUAAGACACAAGGGAAUAAUCAGGUUCCACAAGGAUGCCGCCCAUGAUCCCCAUGGGAAUUUAUAAAGAACUAUGAAGUAUGUCACAGUUUGAGUUUGAAUAUUGGUACUGAAGUUCGGUAAACUUCUACCCAAUAUAACGUCUAGUUGACAGUACGCUCAAUCCUAUAUAACCACUGUUUUUUCUACGGUAAAAGGUGGUUCGAACAUCUAGCAUGAAACUGGAUAAAUCUUUGCUGCUGAAAGUUUGUUAAAUUCAAAGCAUUGCGCUUAUUGAUGGUCUACUUGGUAGUUUACUAAUACUAGGUAAUGAUAAAUAAAAAUUGUGAGGUAGAGGUUUUUUUUUAUUCCCUCUAACCAGAGGUAAAGAGUACUUUACCUAGCACCAGAGCAGCGCCAACCCAACCAGUAGCACCCCACCUUUCCCCAAGGAGAAACCAUGCAAAAGCAGCACCCCAGACCGGCUCCAAACUAUAAAUUAUUGCUGUUUCUGUUGCUGAUACAUCACGCAUUGCGGCCAUCUGGAAAAAAUACUUUCCAUCAAAACUUUAAGCUAAAAAGAUGCGUUGCAAAUAAAACAAUAUUGGAGAGUUUUUUUUGUUUGGAAACAGCAUAAGUAGUAUACUCAACCAGAGGUCCUAUAAUUUACAAAUAUUAAUUUUUUAUACCGGCGAUAAGAUAAGCUUUAUAUCGGAGAUAUUUGUAUCCAUUGAAUCACUAGUAACUUAGAAUAGUAAAAGGUCGUACCCAGUGCACAAGGCUCCCGCUUUACGCAGGGUCUGGGAGAGGUGAAUGUCGGCUAGCCUUACCCACUCUCAGAUCAGCAUUUACACAUACCUCUACCCAUAAGCAUAGACCAGUCGAAAAUAUGCCCGAGUACAGUGCAGGUAUCCAUGGGAACACAACCAUCCAUUCCCAGAACAUACCGCACGUCCAUAACGAUGGGUUAAAAUCUUGGAGGCCACCCGACCCUACUCCAACACAGUACCAUAUUGUUGACAUGACAGUAACAACACAUACCUGAAUGGAAUCUUAGAACCUUAGAACUGUCCACACCACCAAUAAAGAUUAACAAGUAGCAUUAAUCACGAUACAAUUACCAUGGACAUAACAUAAGGACAACAUAUACUAACCUCAUAACAAACCAGGUACGAGCAGGAACUAUUGCUCAUGACAUACCAUCAAGCAAGGGAACUAUAACUACCUGUUAAAUUCAACAAGAAAAUGCCAAACAUUGUAUCUUCAGGUACUCCCAGAAAGCAAGAAAUUUGCCUUCCCAUAAAUGCAUAGAAGGUUAAUAAAGGUACUUACAGUGAACAUGGACUGAAACGAUGCACGACCAGCAUCUGAAGUUUGCAAUCCCAGUGCCUGCAUGAGAUACCCUAGACUGACCCAGGGACCCAACUCAAUCCCUGCUUUACAUGUCUGAGCAUCACCUCGAGCUUGGAACACAAAAGGGAUGAACGGAAUGGCUGACACAGCAAACCGCACAAUAGUGAAGGCUGCCGGGUCCAUGACGGCUUCCACCUCUUUUACAAUCGAGAAAUUACUGGCUACUGUUGGAAAUUCAAAUUAAAAGUCAUGUGAUCUGUCCAUGUGAUGCUAACCUUUCUUUACAGAUUGUUUCCAGCAAAAUAUAAUCAUCAUUGCUCCUUCAUUAUUCAGCCGAAUGGUGAUGAAAGACAGCAAGUGUGCUGCCAUGUGAUGUGCUAGCAGGAAGACAGCAGUGUGCUGCCAUGUGCUAGUCGAAUCUGUGUUAUUUGCAGCUGGAAAGACAGCUGCUGUGUGCUAGCCGAAUGUAGACAACCUGGAAUACAUUUGGUCUUUUCAUUUUCACGUUCCCAUGUGUUAAAGACAGCAGAUAUGCUGCUGUCUGUGUGCUGUCAAUGGAUGGUGUAAAGGUGUAGGUUGUCUUGUAUUUAAGGAAGCCUCUCGUAAGGCUUCAGUGUGCAUAAGAAAAAUCCCAUCUGAUUUGUCAUUCAGUUCUUGAAGUGUAUUUGCAAUCUGUUUUUAAUAUCAAAGUGCCUUGUUUCCCAAAGCUUGUAGCUUCCCUCAUUUCUCUAUUUUUGUCCAAUUUUAUUGAGAGUGAAAGUGAGAGGUGUGAUAGAGUUUGUAAACUUAUCAACCACAUAUUUUGGUAUUGAGUUAGUAAACUUCUCAAUACCAACAGUUGGUAUCAGAGCCAGAAUACCAUUCUGGCAGGUGCAGCAGUUAUGGCAUCCAACUUAGUGCAGCUCCAAGUUCCCACAUUGAAGAAAGAAAAUUAUGAAAGAUGGUGCAUCCAAUUCAAAGCAUUGUUUGGAUCACAAGAGCUAUGGGAAGUUGUCAGUAAUGGGUAUGUUGUACCCACUACCGAGCAAGAAGCCACAUAUACUGCAGAUCAAAGGAACACUCUCAAGGAUUUACGAAAGAAGGACCAGAAGGCGUUGUAUCUUCUCUAUCAAGGAUUAGAAGAUUCAACGUUCGAGAAGGUUGCAGAAGCAACAACGAGCAAGCAAGUAUGGGACACACUCAGUACAAUCUACAAAGGAGUAGAUCGAGUCAAGAAAGUGAGGUUACAGUCACUUCGAGCAGAUUUUGAAACUGCUCACAUGAAUGAAGGGGAGAGCAUCUCCGACUAUCACUCAAGGCUCAUUGUGAUAGUAAAUCAGAUGAGGAGAAAUGGCGAGAGACUCGAUGAAGUACGAGUUGUGGAGAAGAUACUUCGGUCACUCACAUCUAAGUUUGAGCAUGUGGUGACUGCCAUUGAGGAAUCCAAGAAUUUGGAGGCGAUGAGCGCAGAGGAGCUACUAGGAUCCCUCCUAGUUCACGAGCAACGCAUUCAGAAGAAUGCAAGCCCCACAACACUAGAGCAAGCUUUGGAGUCAAAAUUGAAAAUUGACAAACCAAAUAAAGGUCGUGGGCAGUGGAACUCACGUCGUGGGAGUUCAUCCAACCGUAGCCGAGGACGAGCCCGAGGAAGAGGUCGAGGCUAUGAACAAAACCGAGGUCAAUCUCAAGAGUGGAGAUCUACCCGAGGAAAUGCGCAUAUCCAAUGUCACACUUGCAAGCAAUAUGGACAUUAUGCCAAUGAAUGUUCACAUAAAAAUGGUGAGCAUGUCAACAUGGCAGAAUCAAGUGGAAAUACUGAUGAAGAACUUACAGUCUUGCUAGCACACCAUGAUUCCAGUAGCCAACAAGAUGUUUGGUAUUUGGACUCUGGUGCAAGCAAUCACAUGUGUGGAAAGAAGGAGUUUUUUGCCGAACUCAAAGAUGGGGCCUAUGGAUCUGUAAGUCUUGGUGACUCCUCAAAGUUGCCAGUUGAAGGCAAAGGGAAGAUCAAGAUCAUCCAGAAUGAUGGUAGAGAAGAAUACAUCUCCGAUACCUACUACAUACCAGGUAUGAAGAGCAACAUUCUGAGCAUUGGUCAACUGCUCCAGAAAAGGUAUAUUAUACAUAUGGAGGAUAUGUUUCUCACUCUCAGGAAUGCAAGGAGAAAACUUAUUGCACGUGUUCAAAUGUCAAAGAACCGAAUGUUUCCCGUUGAAGUUGAACACAAAGAUUGGGAGUUGCAACAUCGGUGUAAUGGAAGAUGAGUCAUGGAAAUGGCAUCUUCGAUUUGGCCAUCUUCAUUUCAAUGGCCUAAAGUUGCUGUCAAGUGGAGGAAUGGUUCGUGGUCUACCCCAGAUUGAAGUCACACGCCAAGUAUGUGAAGGUUGUGUGCUUGGCAAGCAAGCACGACUAUCAUUCCCUGUUGGUGAUACAUGGAGAGCAAAGGCACCACUGCAAAUGGUACACACGGAUAUAUGUGGUCCAUUGGAUCCUAUUCUUAUGGAGGUAAAUAGGUAUUUUAUUACUUUCAUUGAUGAUUUCAGUAGGAAGACUUGGGUUUAUUUUCUCAAGGAGAAGUCGGCUGCCCUAAAAAUCUUCAAGGAGUUCAAGGCACUCACAGAGGCUGAAAGCAACCACAAGCUUGUGGCUGUGAGAUCAGAUAGAGGUGGAGAGUACACCUCCAAUGCUUUCCAAGCAUACUGCAAGGAGCAAGGAAUUAGGCAUCAACUGACUGCUGCCUAUACCCCACAGCAAAAUGGGAUAGCCGAAAGAAAGAAUCGAACCAUCCUUGACAUGACAAGGUCCAUGCUUAAGGAGAAGAAUUUGCCAAAAGAAUUGUGGGCAGAAGCUGUAGCUUGUUCGAUUUAUUUGUUGAAUCGAUGUCAAACAAAGAGUGUCAAAAGGAUGACACCACAAGAAGCUUGGAGUGGAUAUAAGCCGAGUGUUGCACACCUAAGAGUUUUUGGGUGUGUUGCAUAUGCUCAAGUUCCAGAAGCCAAGAGGAGAAAGCUCGAUGAUCGAGGUGAGAAGUGUGUGUUGGUGGGCUAUAGUGAAGAGUCCAAGGCAUACAAGCUCUACAACCCACUAACUGGCAAGCUAGUGGUUAGUAGAGAUGUCAUCUUCAGUGAGGAAGAGGCAUGGAAGUGGAACAACAAAGAAGUCAGUAAAGAGAAAGAUCGUCUCCACUAAUUUUGAAGAACCAGAAGUUGUACCACCUGUUGAGCAACAACCUGCUCAAACACCACAACAACUCCAUUGCACAGAACUGCAAGGAGUGGUCCUACAUCUAGUGAAGAAAGCAGCUCUUCAACUCCAGUGUGAGACUAAGAAGUCUCACCGAGAUAUAUGGACAAGAAGAAGAAGAAGAAACCAACCUUUUCUGCUUGUAUGCAGCCCACGAGCCUCUCUCAUUCAAUGAAGCUGUGGAGAAGAUCGUUGGAGAAUAGCCAUGGAGGAAGAAAAUCCAUGCCAUCGAGAAGAAUGACACUUGGAGUUGACAAAGCUCCUACCAAAUCAGAAGGCAAUUGUGUGUCAAGUGGGUGUACAAGAUCAAACGCACUGCAGAUGGGAGUGUGGAUCGGUACAAAUCAAGGCUUGUAGCAAAGGGCUACAAACAAAAGUAUGGAGUGGACUAUGAUGAAGUCUAUGCUCCAGUUGCAAGACUUGACACGGUAAGAUUACUAAUCUCUCUUGCCGCUCAUUUCAUAAAUGGAAAAUUUAUCAACUAGAUGUCAAGUCAGCCUUCCUUAAUGGAGUACUUGAGGAAGAAGUGUACGUGGAACAACCAGAAGGCUUCCAAGUACAAGGAGAGAGAAGAAAAGGUGUAUCGUUUGAAGAAGGCUUUGUAUGGCCUCAAGCAAGCACCACGAGCUUGGAACUCAAGGAUUGACAACUACCUUCACCAAAAUGGAUUUUCAGAAAUGUCCAUACGAGCAUUCAGUUUACAUGAAGAAUGGUGCAAAAGGGGAGUUCUUAAUUAUUUGUCUCUAUGUAGAUGACUUGUUGUUUACAGGAAACAAUGAAGCAAUGUUCUGUGAGUUCAAGCAAUCCAUGUUCAGUGAAUUCGAGAUGACUGACAAUGGAUUAAUGUCAUACUUUCUUGGCAUAGAGGUGAAGCAAGAAAGUGACGGUAUCUACAUUCUCAACAAAAGUACAUGAGAGAUAUAUUGGAGAAAUUCAAUAUGGAUAAGUGCAAUAUUGUCAACACUCCAGUUGCAACUGGAUUGAAGCUGUCCAAGGAAGGAGAAGGUGAGUUUGUAAACUCAACCGUGUACAAAAGCUUGGUUGGAAGUCUAAGGUACCUUACAAUCACAAAGACCUGAUAUAGUUUAUGGUGUUGGACUCGUGAGUCGGUACAUGGAAAUACAAGGGAGUCUCAUUGGCUGGUUGCCCAAGAGAAUCUUGAGGUACAUAAGAGGUACUCUAAAACUAUGGUCUGUUUUAUAAUUUUUGGUGAAGAUGCAAAAUUAUUUUGGUUAUUCAGAUAGUGAUUGGGGAGGUGACCAAGAUGAAAGGAAAAGCACAACUGGCUAUGUGUUUUUUCUAGGAUCAACAGCUUUCUCAUGGACUUCAAAGAAGCAAUCAAUUGUUGCUUUGUCAUCAUGUGAAGCCGAGUAUGUUGCUGUAGCCUCAACAGUAUGUGAAGCAAUUUGGUUAAGAAAUCUAUUGAAGUCAGUGUGUCAUCCACAAGUGGAAUCGACUGUGAUUCAUGUGGAUAACAUGUCUGCAAUCAAGCUUGCAAAGAAUCCUGUUCAACAUGGAAGGAGCAAGCACAUUGAUACCAGGUUCCAUUUUCUAAGGGACCAUGUGAAGCAAAAGACAAUAGAGCUUGUCUAUUGUCACACGAAGGAACAAGUGGCAGACAUCUUCACUAAGCCAUUACCAGUUGAAUCAUUCCGGCUAUUACGUGAAAUGCUAGGCAUGAAGGCGUUUUAAUUUGAGGGGCCAUGUUGGAAAUUCAAAUUAAAAGUCAUGUCAUCUGUCCAUGUGAUGCUAACCUUUCUUUACAGAUUGUUUCCAGCAAAAUAUAAUCAUCAUUGCUCCUUCAUUAUUCAGCCGAAUGGUGAUGAAAGACAGCAAGUGUGCUGCCAUGUGAUGUGCUAGCAGGAAGACAGCAGUGUGCUGCCAUGUGCUAGUCGAAUCUGUGUUAUUUGCAGCUGGAAAGACAGCUGCUGUGUGCUAGCCGAAUGUAGACAACCUGGAAUACAUUUGGUCUUUUCAUUUUCACGUUCCCAUGUGUUAAAGACAGCAGAUAUGCUGCUGUCUGUGUGCUGUCAAUGGAUGGUGUAAAGGUGUAGGUUGUCUUGUAUUUAAGGAAGCCUCUCGUAAGGCUUCAGUGUGCAUAAGAAAAAUCCCAUCUGAUUUGUCAUUCAGUUCUUGAAGUGUAUUUGCAAUCUGUUUUUAAUAUCAAAGUGCCUUGUUUCCCAAAGCUUGUAGCUUCCCUCAUUUCUCUAUUUUUGUCCAAUUUUAUUGAGAGUGAAAGUGAGAGGUGUGAUAGAGUUUGUAAACUUAUCACCCACAUAUUUUGGUAUUGAGUUAGUAAACUUCUCAAUACCAACAGCUACAACAAGCGAACAAAAUGAGUGAAACAAAUUUAAAAUUGUGAUCCACACACUUCCAAUGCGCCUCUGGAGCCCGAAUUUUAUUCCAAGCAACUCCCAAUCAACCAGCAUUUCGUUUGCAUUUUCGUUAUACAUUAGUAAUUGAAUUUUUGUUAGAAAGUAAUUCUGCCCCCUCAAUACAAAACGCGGUAAGCUCUUAGUUCGAUCUUCACCUAAAGCUCUACAUGAUCUCUCCGUUCAAGGCCUAAACCCUAUAUUUCAUUUCCCUUUACACACAUCCUUCUAAGUUUUCUACUUUUGCUCAAAAAUUCGAAAUUUUACUUUGCGUAUUAUCAAGUGAAAUAUUUUCCCACAUUUUCAUGGUUUUUAUGAACAAUCAAACACUUUUCAUAAGGAUUCGACGUAAACUAGCAGUGAAGGCUGUCGACUACCUGACGCCCUCCCCCUCCUUCUUUAUCCGGGCUUGGACCAGCAAUGUAAGAUAAACUUUAUGAACAAUCAAACACUAAGCAGAAAAUAAUUUAUGAAAAUAUUAAAAAGGUUUAAAAAGGAAGAAGCUUUUUACCAUGAGCGACGGUGAUGACGUUGAGCAAGAUGAUGCUCCUAACUUUCUUGGAAGCGAAAAAGAUCCUUCGCCAUAGAGAUCGUUUGCCGAACAAGGACUUGAAGCUUAGGGUCGUUACUCUCCUUUCGUCUUGCGAUCGAUUUCCACUAGAAUUUUUAACCAAUGUGGUUGGGUUCGGAUUCCGAUUCGGAUUCGGACGAUCCAAUUUCACUGGCUUUCAAAGUCCCUGUUUGGCAUUAGGUUUAGAGCUACUACUAGGAGAAGAAGGAGGAGGAGGAGGAGGAGGAGGAGAAGAAGCGGUUAAACGGGAUCGUUUCCGGGGAUUUGUGUGGAAGGAAGAGAAAGUUGAGAAGUUAGAAGAAGAAGAGCAUUUGAUGGCGGUGGUGGCGCAAAUUGAUGAGUUCCACGACCACCCGAAUGGUGAUUGGGCAGCCAUGCCUGAGCACUGGAGCACUGAACCCAGAACAACUGCGCGUUGUGGCUGGCUGGGAUUAAUUACCAGUUACACCUGAAAUUACUGAAACACCCUCGUUGAGAUUUUGGUUAAGGAAGUUGAUAUUUUGGUCAAGGAGUAAACUGUCGGUUUACCCCCUGAACUUUUACCUCACUUUCGAUUUCCCCCUGAACUUUUCCAUUGGAAAAUUAAGGACUCAAACUAAUUUUUUUAGCCAAUUUGCCCCCUACCGUUAGUUUUUCAUAUAUUCUAUCCAUAUUUCCGUUAAGUGAGACCAUGUGCACAACAUGUGAGGGUAGUUAAAUUAUUUCACUCUUAAAAAUGAUUAAAAAACUGAAAAUAAUAAAAAAAGCAAAACUUUCCCUCUAUUUUUUCCUGCUAAUUCCUAUCCUCGAUUUUAUUUUUCCCUCUCAUUCCUAUGCAUGAGAAAUGACAUAUAGUGUUAUUGUCUACCAUUUUUAUUUUCUCUAACAAAUUAAUAAUUUGACAAAUGCUAAUGGUGCUAUUGUCUCCAAAGCAGUGCAUUAAUAUAAGAAACCCUAGUCUUUUUUAUGGACAUGUUUCUUAUAUUAAUGCACUGCUUUUGAGACAAUAACACCAUGAGCAUUUGUCAAAUUAUUAAUUUGUUAGAGAAAAUAAAAAUGGUAGUACAUGCUUCAAAAAAAAGAUUAACUUAGCUACUUAUGAAGACAAUAACACCAUAUGUUAUUUCUCAUGCAUAGGAAUGAGAGGGAAAAUUAAAAUUGAGGAUAGGAAUUAGCGGGAAAAAAUAGAGGGAAAAUUAUUAUUAUUUAUUUAUUUUUAGUUUUUAAUCAUUUUUAAAUUGAAAUGACUUAACUAUCCUCACAUGUUAUGCACAUGAUCUCACUUAACAGAAAUAUGGAUGGAAUAUAUGAAAAACUAACGGUAGGGGGCAAAUUGGCUAAAAAAAUUAGUUUGAGUCCUUAAUUUUCCAAUAGAAAAGUUCAAGGGGGAAAUCGAAAGUGAGGUGAAAGUUCAGGGGGUAAACCGACAGUUUACCCUUUGGUCAAGUCUCCGACUAUCAGUUAAAAUAUCUAUAAAAAAUUAUUAGGACGGUUCAGUUCGGGUUAUCUAAAAGUUAAUAUAAAUAAUGUUGGGCAGAUUAAAUUUUCAGAUCAAAUUAAUAAAAAUGAAAAUGUUAAUUAAUAUUUAAUAAUAAUUUAAUCACCAACUAUCAUUUUACAUGAUUUAUAAAAUAUAAUUUAAAUAGAUGGUAGCUUUUGUUCUUUAGUGCUUUUGCUAAAAGCUCUUUUAUCAUUAUGAGAUUGAGACUUUAAUUAAAAAACUAAGUUUGAGACUUUAAUUAAAAAACUAAGUUCUUCUCGAAAAAUAUAAGCAUGCCAAUAGAUUGAACUUGUUUAAAACAUCAGCAUUAUAAUGAUAUCACACUCAAUUCAUUAUUUCUCAGAGAAUUAAAGACAAACCAAAUCGGAAACCGAAAUAAGCAACAGUGCUAACUAGCUUGCUCAACUCUCAGGCCUUUAUUCUUGAAGAUAGUAAUAUUACUCAAUGUUCCAUAUCGUAUAUGUAUGCAUAAAUCUUGUGCUUGGCGCUUAUUCCUUGAGAAGAUGUGCAUCAACAUCUUUAAUGACAGUGACCGCAAAGCUGAGGAACUUCUGUGGAGGCGGAUCGUUCUCGUUGAGUUUUUCAUAUUCUAAAGUAAUUUUCACAGAACUUCCUUCACUAUUUGGAGUGAUGAUCUGGUAAGUGACCUUGAAGCUUUUGUAAUUGUCCAGCACAUGUGAUCCUUCCAAAGCUAUAAGACUCACCCGAUUGUUUGCUUCAUCUAUUUCCGCCUUUUCCUUGUAAGUCUCGACAUUUCCAUCUAUACGUCACAUGGAAAAGUACCCGGUCACCAGAGUCUCGACAUUUUCAUAGAAGGUUUAAAAAAUUAAUUGUUAGUUUGAUUAGUUAGGAGGAGAGAGGAAUGUUAUUAAUAUUACCUAUGGUGUAUUUCCAGAGCUUGACAGAGCCAGAAGUUACCCAGUCACCUUCAUGUACCGUAACAUCGUGUAUUUUAUCAGAGGCUGCUUUGGGGACGUCAUGGUGCUGGUAGCUGAUGAAUUUGUACAGCUGAUCAGCGUUGGCUUUGAUCUCUACCUCAGCCUCCA
RNAcentral lists this long non-coding RNA (145599 nucleotides) under Malus domestica (apple). Its description in RNAcentral is "long non-coding RNA (MDOM_LNC016009)". The record is from RNAcentral. Lineage: Eukaryota; Viridiplantae; Streptophyta; Magnoliopsida; Rosales; Rosaceae.